CGUCAUGCUCGCCAUUCUCGUCGCCACUGCCACCAGUUUCGGGGAUUCGUGUGCUCCAGGGGAUGCGUUGCCACACAACCCUCUCAGAGCCUGCCGCACCUACGUGGUCAGUCAAAUCUGCCACCAAGGCCCCAGACUCCUCACCUCGGACAUGAAGAGGCGGUGUUGCGACGAGUUGUCGGCCAUCCCGGCGUACUGCAGGUGCGAAGCGCUGCGUAUCAUCAUGCAAGGGGUAGUAACUUGGCAGGGUGCGUUCGAGGGUGCCUACUUCAAGGACACGCCCAACUGCCCUAGGGAGAGGCAAACGAGCUACGCCGCCAACCUCGUCACCCCGCAGGAGUGCAACCUAUGGACCAUCCACGGCAGCCCGUCCUGCCCCGAACUGCAGCCCGGAUAUGGAGUGGUCUCGUCAUAAGUUAUAACGACUAGCUCGAUCAUGAAUAAGCAUGGUGCAUCGAUCAAUGGACCAAUCGAUUGUAUGCAUCUAUGCCCAUGUGUGAUGUGUGUUAAAUCGUAAUAAAGAGCAUCAGAGUAUUUUCAGUAUUGUGUUCAAAUGUUUGGCGGUAAUCAACUACCGAGCAUGAUACCCCCGAACCCUACCCUCUCCCGUGCCGCCACCCGUGAUGCGGCCGGGGAGGAAUUCCAGAUCCUCGCCGCGAUCCUCCCCUCCUGCAUCCUCAUCCUCACGCGUGAUGGGGAGGCGCAGGCCGGUUCCCUUGGGCCUGGGCGCGGUGGUUGCGCAGGGUGCCGUGGCGCGGCGGCUCUUAGGUGUGGAAGUCACGCGGGGUGCGGCUGCGGCUUUAAGGGACCGCGUGCCUGGUGGUGCUCGCCGGCACUGCGGCGGUCGGAUCUGGCCAGCAGGCGGAGCAGGCCGCGGCAAUAGGCACUGGUGGCUGCUGUGAUGGGCCUCGACGAUGGAGGCCAUGACGUGGUGGCACUCUUCUCGUGAGGGGAUGACGGCAGCAGCUAGCGGCGGUGGUGGUUCCCUCCUCUCCUCGGUCUGCUCCUCGGACGAGGCGGGUUGGGAUGGGGUGCGGGCUGGUUCUGGUGUCGGCAACGCGGUGGCUGUGGUACGCCUGGCAGCGCAGGGUGGUGGAAUGACGGGUCCCUUCUCCUUAGUCGGUGCAGAUGGCGUGCAGAGCAAUGACAUCUUCUUCCUAUGGUUUGUGCUCUGUCGGGUCAGAUCUGGGUCCUAGGCAUAUCAAGGCUGGUUCCUGGGGUAGGUGACGCUGGGCUCAGCCUGGGAUGUGCCCACGAGAGGUGUAUUCGCGGGUGCGAUGUGCAAUGGUGGUGGUUCUGUCAAAGCUGCCACUCCAAUGGUCCUACAGAUCGUCGCCGAUGGCCACGGACUAGGCGUCAUGCUGGCACUUCAAUGCCUACAUGGUGGCUAUCGGUAGUCUCAAGAUCGUGUCCUCAUGGUUCACCAGGACUAGCUGGGGAUGCACGUGUUGACGACUCCUACUAUGGAGCUGUGGGCCAAGAUCCAGAGACUGAUGUCGGGCUAGGAGUGGAAGCAGGCCUUCUACUCCUCCUGUGGUGGUUGGCGUGUCGUGAAGUGGUCGGGUGACGAUGUCUUGCGGCAGGGAUGGUGGUCCCCAUGGUUGGCUCUCCAGCGAGUCUUAUGGAGGUGGUGGUGUCUUACCCUGGUCGUGUGGGCGGCAAGGGGUAGCGACUGGUGGCUCGGACGUGUAUCAUGCCAUUGGCAAAGGCAUUGCCCUUGGAGCUCGCCACACAUGGCAUAGCAUCAUCGAGAUGGCACGGGUGAGCCGUCGAGCCAAGACUACGUGCUUCUUCGUAGACAAUGACGGCGCCCAAUGGGCGCCUCUAUCUUAUAGAAGAAGUCAUCGUGCUUCUCUCUCUGUGCUAAGGCUCUGGGUGAAAAUCCAUGCCCGCUUCAGACUCGGCAGCGGCAAUGCUCGGCGUUGUUCUCCCUAUUAAGGGUGUUGUCGUGAAGACUAGAUGUGCUAGGGUGUGGUGUGGGAACGUCAAGGGAGGUAGAGCCACUUGCCAAACACUAGACCCAUUGAUGAAAAUAAAAAACUUACAAGAAUAAAAAAUCACAAGAAAUUUGGUAUGGCUCUUUUUUGGGAAACUUUUGAAAUUGGGGAGAAAAAAAUCAAACUAAAGGAUAAAAGUGGGGGCGGGGGUAGCGCUCCAAAUUCGUAGUAACGUGGUUGUUGAUACCAAUAUGAUACGGGGUAAACCCGAGGUGGCCCGAUCUGCAUGAAUUGGAGGUGGAUUUGAGAAGAACAUGAUGAACAUGAAGAACAUGAGGGAAAAACAUAAAGAAAUCAAAAAGGAAACCACCACUAGUAGAAAACGGGCCUUUGGCCUGGACCAUUUAGUCCCGGCCUGCCUCUGGGCCGGGACUAAAGGCCCGGCCACGUCGCCCCAAUUCUCAAUGCCUCCCUCGAGGCUUUAGUCCCGGCCCGUAAGGAGCCUUUAGUCCCGGUUCGUGUCCCAAACCGGGACUAAAGGGCUACGCGGCGGGCAGUGGUGGUGGCAACCGUUCGUAUCCCCCUUUAGUCCCGGAUGGUGGCUCAACCCGGGACUAAAGGACUAACACGUGGCCUGCCGUAGUGGUGGCGACCGUUGGUAUACCUCUUUAGUCCCGGUUGGUGGCUCAAACCGGGACUAAAGGCCUAACACGUGGCCUGCCUUAGUGGUGGCAACCGUUUGGUAUACCUCUUUAGUCCCGGUUGGUGGCUCAACCCGGGACUAAAGGCCCAAACGGUUUGCAUCCCGCGCCGUUUCGGGCGAUGAAAAGCACGAACCGAAGCGUACAGUCGUCAUUUCUCUGUUCUUCUUCUCUCUCGCGUCGCCCUCUCUGUUCUUCUCCUCUAUUCUUCCCUUCUCUUCUUCCACCAUGCCAACUAGCUUUCAUGAGGUGCUCGCACAUGGCACGACCAAGCUCCGUGUCGUGUACACGAACCUGAGCAGGGAGGUGCCGUUUUUUCUUCAACAGUUGAAGGAACGAUGGUUUGACCACGCAGCGGAUCAUGAGAAGUUCUUGGGGCUUGAUAUGGAGUACACGGCCGAUCAACGCGGUGUUGCCGUCAUCCAACUAUGCUUCGCACGCCAUGUCUUGAUCUUCCAAUGGGCGAGGUAAGUUUUGAGGCUUUCUUUGAUCCAAGAUAAUGAUAUUGUAAGUUUAUUUGUUUCAAUCAUAGUUGGUUCCCUUCAAAUAGUUGUAGUGAAACAAUUUUGAUUAGUUGAAGGGGAGCACAAUCUAAUUGGAAUAGUGUUCCAUAAUCUGAAAAAUCGUAUUAGAAUCAACUAGUGUUUAAUAUGUUUCAUUGGAAUCAUAGUUGGUUCCCUUCAAAUAGUCGUAGUGAAACAAUUUUGAUUAGUUGAAGGGGAGCACAAUCUAAUUGGAAUAGUGUUCCAUAAUCUGAAAAAUCGUAUUAGAAUCAACUAGUGUUCAAUAUGUUCUAUUGGAAUCAUAGUUGGUUCCCUUCAAAUAGUUGUAGUGAAACAAUUUUUGAUUAGUUGAAGGGGGGGCACAAUCUAAUUGGAAUAGUGUUCCAUAAUCUGAAAAAUYGUAUUAGAAUCAACUAGUGUUUAAUAUGUUCCAUUGGAAUCAUAGUUGGUUCCCUUCAAAUAGUUGUAGUGAAACAAUUUUGAGUUGAAGGGGAACACAAUCUGAUUGGAAUAGUGUUCCACAAUCUGAAAAAUCGUAUUAGAAUCAACUAGUGUUUAAUACGUUCCAUUGGAAUCAUAGUUGGUUCGCUUCAAAUAGUUGUAGUGAAACAAUUUUGAUUAGUUGAAGGGAACACAAUCUGAUUGGAAUAGUGUUCCACAAUCUGAAAAAUCUGAUUGGUUCAAUAUGUUCCAUUGAAAUCAUAGUUGUAGUGAUACAAUUUUAUGCGGUGUUCUUUGAUCCAAGGUUAUGAAAAUUGAAUAUAGCUAGUGAUCUCUCUAGGUUCCAUUGGAUAGCAAUAUGACAUGUCAUAGUCAUGAAAAUUGCAUAUAGCUAGUGAUCUCUCUAGGUUCCAUUGGAUAGCUAUAGUGAUCUCUCUAGGUUCCAUUGCAUAUGUUCUAUUUGAAUCCUAAAGAUAAGUUUCUCUUUUGUUCUUGUGAAACAUGUUUCCUUAUUGCAGCAGUAUGUAACAUUUGUUCUAUUUUAAUUUGUUUCUGUUGCAGGAGUGACAAGCAUUGUCCAGAACUCAUGGAGUUCCUUCGCAGCGGCAUCACUUUUGCUUCCGUUGACAUAAGGAACGACAAGCUGAAGAUGAGGCACAGCUUCGGUAUUGAGAUACCAGCUAGUUGCCUCGUUGAUCUCCAAACGAUAUUCAGGCUUCGACAUGACAGGACUUCGAUGGCUCAUAUGGCAGUUGCCUUGAUCGACGAGUCAUAUGGUGAUAUGAAGACCAGUUUCCCAAAGUCUCAGCACAGACUUUGGGAGAAGGGCCCACUUGAUGAUAUCAACAUUGAGUAUGCAGCAAAAGGUGCAUACGCUUCAUACGAGUUGUACCGCAAGAUUCGAGUCGUCCAGUAUGGCCAGCGUCACCUCGAGGAAGGUGGACAUUCUGAUUCAGAUGAUUCAGACGAGUAGUGUUCUGAACGUCGAACACUUGUAUAUAUAUAUAUGGUAGCUAUUAUUAUGUACUGUUUGGACUAGUAUCAUGUACUUCUUGGACCAAUUUAUAUAUGUCUAGUUUCUGUUUGUGCCAUUAUAGCUUCCAAAUUUGAAUGGUUUAGCCCUUUCUAACUUCAUUUGCUACUUUUGAAUGGUUUAGCCCUUUCUAACUUCAUUUGCUACUUUUGAAUGGUUUAGCCCUUUCUAACUUCAUGGUAUCAUGCAUUUCGACCACAUAUAUAUACAAAAAGUCUUCAGUUCAAAUAAGUUCAAAAAAUGAAAUCCCUUUUGUAACAGAUCUGUUUUUGAUUAAAAUACUCAUUUAAAAAUGAAAGACCAUUAGUCCCACGUGGCGUGCAGCGGAACCACGUGGCGUGCCGCGGAACCACUUUUGUUGUGGGGGUCGCUUCUCCUUCUUCGAAACGCUGCUACUUCGAGAGAGAUUGUCCGUUUUGUACACGAACUGCAUCCAGUUUUUGUCGUAGCCCUCUCAACUUUUUAACACAUGCUAUGUGGGUGAAAUGAUGAUAGCAUGCCAACUUUCAACAUUUUCAGAGUUCAUUUGUAGUGCUUUUCAAUUUCAGGGUCAACUAGCUMCAAAAAAAUAAGUAAAUGCACGAAAUAUACCAAAUGAAGUCAGAAAUUGUUGAAAUUUUGUGAUGUGCCUUAGAAUGGUGCAUUUUGAACACACAAAAAGUAUGGAGUUCAAAUAAGUUCAAAAAAAUGAAAUCCCUUUGUAAGAGAUGAGUUCUCGUUUGAAACGCUGCUACUUCGAGAAAGAUUGUCCGUUUUUGUACACGAACUGCAUCCAGUUUUUGUCGUAGCCCUCUCAAAUUUUUAACACAUGCUAUGUGGGUGAAAUGAUGAUAGCAUGCCAACUUUCAACAUUUUCAGAGUUCAUUUGUAGUGCUUUUCAAUUUCAGGGUCAACUAGCUCCAAAAAAAAGUAAAUGCACGAAAUAUACCAAAUGAAGUCACAAAUUAUUGAAAUUUUGUGAUGUGUCUUAGAAUGGUGCAUUUUGAACACACAAAAAGUAUGGAGUUCAAAUAAGUUCAAAAAAAUGAAAUCCCUUUGUAAGAGAUGAGUUCUCGUUCGAAACGCUGCUACUUCGAGAGAUAAUAGUUUGGAUAGUCAAAAUUAUUAAUUAUGAAAAUAAAAAUUAGUUUUGCAUUAUUUAUUCAAUUUGAAACACUUUUCAUUAUCAUAGUUUUGUCAAAUUCUCAAAUAUGCAAAAAGAAUUAUUAAUAAACAUAGUUUUUAAUUGAAAAUAACAAAAUAGAUAAUAGUUUGGAUAGUCAAAAUUAUUAAUUAUGAAAAUAGAAAAUAGUUUUGAAUUAUUUAAUUCAAUUUCAAACACUUUUCAUUAUCAUAGUUUUGUCAAAUUCUCAAAUAUGCAAAAAAGAAUUUUUAAUAAACAUAGUUUUUAAUUGAAAAUAAAAAAAUAGAUAAUAGUUUGGAUAGUCAAAAUUAUUAAUUAUGAAAAUAGAAAGUAGUUUUGAAUGAUUUAUUCAAUUUCAAACACUUUCAUUAUCAUAGUUUUGUCAAAUUCUCAAAUAUGCAAAAAAAAAUUUAAUAAACAUAGUUUUUAAUUGAAAAUAACAAAAUAAGUUAAUAGUUUGGAUAGUCAAAAUAAUUAAUUUUGAAAAUAGAAAAAAAUUGAAACUAUAUGAGAAAUCAUGGACAAAAUUCAACCUGAAUUCACUUUGAAUUCAGAUUGAAUUUUCUCCACAAUUUCGAAUAUAGUUUCAAUUUUCAGUAAGUUUAGGCCCGUAAGCCUGCUUUAGAGAGGAGCUUGAUGGACAAGCUGCGACGGGGCUUAUAAACAAGUGUUAGUCCCCCUCGUUGGGCGAGGUGGGACUGAACUGAUCGUGCAGCCGAGGAGGGGCUUUAGUCCCGGGUGGAGCCACGCGCGGGGACUAAAGACACCCUUUAGUCCNNNNNNNNNNNNNNNNNNNNNNNNNNNNNNNNNNNNNNNNNNNNNNNNNNNNNNNNNNNNNNNNNNNNNNNNNNNNNNNNNNNNNNNNNNNNNNNNNNNNUUGUCAUAUACUAACAACUCAAAUUGAUUUGGCUGUUUUAGACAUGAUGGACAAAAAACUUGUUUUAGAAAUGAGGUAGUUACCCCUUUGGAGUUAAUUUGUAACUCAUGUGUGAAGACUAAAUGGUUUUGUGUGUUUAACUUCAAACUUUCAAAAACAUCACAAAAGCUUCAUUUUGGAGUGACUAAGAAGGAUCGAGGCUUGGUUUGUCAUUUUCAUGUUUGCAACUUGUUUAAAUGUUUGUCAAACUUAGGUUUGACCAAGUUUGAAAUGAGCAUAAAAAAUAAAUAAAAAUAUUGGAAAACCACUGCACAUGUUCUUAUUUUGUCAUAUACUAACAACUCAAAUUGAUUUGGCUGUUUUAGACAUGAUGGACAAAAAAACUUGUUUUAGAAAUGGGGUAUUUACCCCCUUUGGAGCUAAUUUGUAACUCAUGUGUGAAGACAAAUGGUUUUGGGUGUUGAACUUCAAACUUCCAAAAACAUCACAAAAAGCUUCAUUUUGGAGUGACUAAUAAGGAUCCAGGCUUGGUUUGUCAUUUUCAUGUUUGCAAGUUGUUUAAAUGUUUGUCAAACUUAGGUUUGACCAAGUUUGAAAUGAGCAUAAAAUUUUAAAAAAAAAUUGGAAAACCAGUACACAUGUUCUUACUUUGUCAUAUACUAACAACUCAAAUUGAUUGGAACCAGUUUUCUAUUUUUUUUUUGAAUUACUUAUGCUUAACCCUAACUUUCGAAAACCGUACAACCUCGUUCGUGAUAGCCAAGUUUGUGAAGGCUUUUUCAUGAAAAACUCUAUAGUCCAGAUUUCUUUAUUUUCUUAUGGAGUUAGUCACAUAUAAUGAUGAUUGNNNNNNNNNNNNNNNNNNNNNNNNNNNNNNNNNNNNNNNNNNNNNNNNNNNNNNNNNNNNNNNNNNNNNNNNNNNNNNNNNNNNNNNNNNNNNNNNNNNNUGUGGCCUGCAGCCUGACCAUUGUGUGUGGACUUGUAGUAUUGUACAGUAGUUUUCGCCGCAAAAGGGGCCCGUGUGUCCGCGGUAGUGCCAAACGAUCGAUCGACGGAUGGCAUGAGCAGCAUGGAUGGUGUCACGCGCAUGUAGGACAAGUAGUAUAAGUUUUUACUAAUUUGCUUAGUAAAACCUGAAUUAUGUGCGCUAGCGGCAAACGCGGACUAUCUGUAGGUUACGUGGGAAGCCCGCAUAAGCCCACUUAAAUAAACGGGCUGACGCAGCGUGAUGCGGAGUGUCCCACUUGCAGCUUGACGUUCCCCUCAAAAAAAAACUUGCAGCUUGACGUGUCGAUGCGGGGUGUCCCGCGGACUUGCAGCUUGACGUGUCUCCCCUGUAACGAAUGAAAAGAACUGUUGCUUUCAUUGAUCAUCAAUCUGGGUAUUUAUACAAGGACUCCCGUCUUUUGAGAAUGUCGGUUACAAGAAGAAGGCGCCUGUAGGAGACGUCGCUAGUUUGGAGAGGCGUCUGUUUGGAUACAGGCGUCUGUACAUAUGGGAAAGGCGUCCGUGCGAAGGAACGCUUUGGGCACUAAAGAUAACUGCCUAAGGCAGUUGUUAUCUAAUCCUAACACUCCCCCUUGCACAAAGCUACGUCUUGUAUAUCUUGUAUCCCUUGCAUAAUCUUGAGAAUCUUCCAUGUAGUCUUGAUGAUCUUUGAAGUUGAUAGUUACUUCUUCAAAAACCCUGUGGGAAAAAUAUGAGGAGAAUAGUAUUUGAUAUGUUGUGAAAACUCCUUUAAAACCCUGUGGGAAAAGUAAGGAGAAAAUGAUACAACAUAUAAUGAUCAUUGUCUCUUUCAUAACUUAUAUGAGAAAACCUUGAGAGGAUAAAACUCAUUGAUAAGUUUAGAGGACAAUUAAUAUGUCUUGUAUACUUCCGUUAAAAACCCCGAUGGGGRAAAUAGGAUGUAUGACAUAUAUUCUUGUGUUGAUAUUACCUCAUUAAAAACCUUGAUGAGAACCUCGAGAGUAUACUCAUAAAGGGAAAAAGAGUGUAAUAUAAUGUUUUGAAUAGGUUAUAAUUCAGGAAGAGAAACUCCCCCUGAUCUUUGCAAAAUCCCGAAGUCGUCGCAUACCUAUCCCAUGAACAUAUUUUUCAAAUGUUGAAGUUGGGAGUGAUUUUGUAAAUAGGUCAGCGAGAUUAUCACACGAUUUGACUUGCAAAAUGUUUAUCUUCCCUUUCUUCUGUAAUUGAUGGGGAAAAAAUAAUUUAGGAGAAAUAUGCUUAGUGAUNNNNNNNNNNNNNNNNNNNNNNNNNNNNNNNNNNNNNNNNNNNNNNNNNNNNNNNNNNNNNNNNNNNNNNNNNNNNNNNNNNNNNNNNNNNNNNNNNNNNAUAGAAAAUAGUUUUACAUUAUUUAUUCAAUUUGAAACACUUUUCAUUAUCAUAGUUUUUGUCAAAUUCUCAAAUAUGCAAAAAAGAAUUUUUAAUAAACAUAGUUUUUAAUUGAAAAUAACAAAAUAGAUAAUAGUUUGGAUAGUACAAAAUUAUUAAUUAUGAAAAUAGAAAAUAGUUUUGAAUUAUUUAUUCAAUUUCAAACACUUUUCAUUAUCAUAGUUUUGUCAAAUUCUCAAAUAUGCAAAAGAAUUUUAAUAAACAUAGUUUUAAUUGAAAWWAAAAUAGAUAAUAGUUUGGAUAGUCAAAAUUAUUAAUUAUGAAAAUAGAAAGUAGUUUUGAAUGAUUUAUUCAAUUUCAAACACUUUCAUUAUCAUAGUUUUGUCAAAUUCUCAAAUAUGCAAAAAAAAUUUAAUAAACAUAGUUUUUAAUUGAAAAUAACAAAAUAAGUUAAUAGUUUGGAUAGUCAAAAUAAUUAAUUUUGAAAAUAGAAAAAAAUUGAAACUAUAUGAGAAAUCAUGGACAAAAUUCAACCUGAAUNNNNNNNNNNNNNNNNNNNNNNNNNNNNNNNNNNNNNNNNNNNNNNNNNNNNNNNNNNNNNNNNNNNNNNNNNNNNNNNNNNNNNNNNNNNNNNNNNNNNUAGGGCGAAUUCUGCAAGAAUCAUACAUCAAUAAUACAGGCGGGUUGCAGAUGUAAUCCAAGGCAGCACGAACAACGGUUGCUCUUAUAUAAAAAAGGUACCUCGCUUGGUUUUCUUUUGUUUGUUGCUGGCAAGCCAGAUAUUAGAUCGCCGGAGUGACUUCGUGUCUUCCGGUUUGAGGCGUGAUGUGUUCUCUUCAGUAAGAAAUUUGGGUCCAAAUGGGCAUCUGGAUGUGAGAAGGGGACUUUCCCACAUAUUCGCCGGGCCGGCUUAGGUGGAGAAGGAGAUGAAUCGGAGGAAACAGAAAUUACCUCAACGGAGUCUUCUUGGCUUUCGUUAUCUUCAUUCUAUUACAAGAAGAGUGAGAGAUAUGAAUAAAGGUCAAAAGUAAUAGGUGGCGAGUGAAAAGGGGACGGAUUGGUACCUCUGAAAGUGCGUCGCCGACUUGAGAUUCGUCGACUUCAGAUGGCUCGGCCGCAGUAGAUUUGCCUUUGCCCUUGUUUUUCUUGAAGGGCGGCUUAGCAGUCUUCAUGGCUUGCUUUUUAGGUCUCCUAGACCAGAACUUGUCGCCUUUCUGUAAAGGUAUAUGGCAUGAAGUCGUAAUGGCAAUAAAACAGAAGGAAUAAAUAUCAAGGGCGGGUCAGCUUUGGUUACCUUGGGCGCCGGGUUAAUCUUGCAGAAGGGCUUAAGGCCGAUUUGGCCGCACUUUCCUGCGGGCUCGCCGGUCAGUUUUUUGAUGAUGGCGACGAUGUCUUUCUCUGUUAAUGCUGUGUGAAAGUAGCAUUGGGGAUGAUCCAGAGUGCCGUCAAAUUCACACAUUAGACCAUCUUGGCGGCUCAGAGGAAGAAUCCGCCAUUCGACCCAGCAGCGGAUCAGGUCGACCCCGGUAAGACCAUUGUUCGUCAAGGAUCUCAGUUCAGACAAAAUUGGGAUGAACUCCGACUCUUCUUCCUCGGUGAGCUUGUCGGGGAGCUUGAAGUUAACCGGAAGGCGGGUUGUCCUGUAGCCCAGAAGUUUGUUCUCACCGGCAGGGGACGUUUCUUUACAGUAAAACCAAGAUUCACCCCAGCCCUUGGGAUGGCUAGGCAUGGUGAGUGAAGGAAACGGGCUAUCCCUUACGGCGCUGGAUGUUGACACCGCCGAGUUCCAAACUGGGGCCGUUGUGGAAUUCCGUCUGGCGAUUCAGAUGGAAAAAGUGCCAGAAUAGAGGAACGGAAGGCUCGAUCCGCAGAUAAGCUUCGCAAAGGACUUGGAACUGACUCAAGUUGCUUAUAGAAUUGGGUCCCAAAUCCUGGAGUCGGACAUUCAUGAAGGUCAAAGCGUCCCUAAGGAAUUUGGAUCCGGGCGGCUUAAAACCCCGUUCCAAGUGUUUCACAAAGACUACUAUUUCCCCUUCUUUGGGGUUGGGGAGGUCUUCUCCCAACCCGGUGCACCAUCCAAUGACAUCUUGAGGAUCCAAACAGCCCGUUUUCACGUAACUAGCUAAAACAGCAUCAUCAACUUUGGUAGGAAGCCAAUCGCUCUUGAAAACGGCACCCAUGCUACAAAUAGGUAAAAGUAUGAUAUUACAUGUCUCGAACAUUUACUAUGUGAAUCGGGAUCAGCUCCCGUUAACCCGCCAGACUAAGAGGCCGGGUUGGGUUGAUAUGGCGACUUAUCGAACCAGGGCUAUUCCCAAAGGCAACAUUACUGUGGAUGGUAAAAUCUAUUCGUUCCGAAGCACUAAGGGGGGGAUGAAGGUUACAAACAGUUUUUUGCAAACAGUGAAUGAGGAAUGGAUCUGCCGAACAGAUAUAGGAUCUACGAAUAUGGCUGAGCAUGAACAAUGUAUUAUCAGGUGAUGCCUCUCGUUUGAAGAAGAUAUUGUAUUCAGAAGUUCGCAAGAACAGCGAAUGGUUAAAAUUAUUCAAGGCACUGGCUACCCUAGCGGCGCUCGGACUAAUCGAUUCGAGGGAAAUGAAUGACUACGAGCGGAAAGCUUCAAAGCUACGGCAAUGGCGAAGAUACGAGCAAGGAAUAAACCUACUCCUAAGAGGGGGAACGAGGAUCUAACCUGAUGUUCUCGGUCGAAGAAGACCGGCGGUGACGGGGAUCGCUGGGGAAGCGCGGGGGUCCCGAUGAACGAAGAGGCCUUUGGCGGCGACGGAGCUCAGGGCGAGCAGCGAGGUUGCCGGUGAUGAUAAUAACGGCGGACGGAUCGACUGAGGUGCGAAGCUUGACGACGGCGACGGCUUGCGGGCAGCACUGGAGCUCCUCGAACGGGGGCGGAAGUUGCGGCCGGCGGCGGAACCCUCGGGAAGCGGUGCGGUCUUUUGCUGCGAUAAUGGGGGGGACUGACGAGACUGGUAGGUGGCCAGCGCCAGCCCUGUCCCUUCCGCCUAUUUAUCAGGACGGGCGCUGGAAUCGAGGCGCCGUGAGCGGGAACCGUUUGGGAGUAAAAGAUUCGCCAUGAUGACGUCCGAAAAUUUUGGGAUAAUGAUGCACUAAAAGAUCCGUUGGGAUUGUGUUAAAUUUCCCGAAGAUCGAGGGCUAAGGAAGGUGCUGACGGGAAAAGGAUUGGCGACUCAAAGAUUUUUCCGGUACCGGUUGGCGAGUUAAAAUUUCUGGAGUAUGGAGGAAAACGAAGGAGUGAAUCACCUUUAACUAAAGCGGAAGCAUUGGCAUGAAAAUUCAAGUCAAUUUGGGGCCUAAUGUUGGGGAUAUUGCUUAUUAAGUGACCCGCCCAAUAUGGGCCGGGUUACUUGUAAGGCGAUUCAUCCUUUGGGGCUAGUUGGGCCUCAGCCUGGGCGGUUCAAGGCCGCGGGAUGGUUAUGAUUUAUGGAAGGACUUUGGGUUUUGCAAGACGGCGACUUAGAGACCGCGGUGGUCACGAUUUGUAAGGAGGAAGGGACUCUUGUAAAACCCUAAGGCCUCGACCUAUAUAUAAAGGCGAGUCUGAAGGGGGAUAGACAGGUUAGAAAUCAUCGAGUGCUAGGUUAGGCGAGUUACGCCCCCCUUGUAAUCGAAUCAACAUCAAUACACACAAAGCAUGACGUAGGCUAUUACCUCCUCCCGAGGGGCCGAACCUGGGUAAUCCGCCGUGUUUCCUCCCGUUAACCCCUUUGAGUCGCCACCAAGGUGCGAUGGCUCCCAUACUAAGUCCUUUCACGAGGACAUCUGCCGUGACAAAACCACGACAGUUGAUGCAUUCUUGACCUCUGGGCCAGAGCGUAGAUUGACGGCCAAGAUUUCUCUGAUGGGGUAAUCCGCCGUGUUUCCUCCCGUUAACCCUUUGAGUCGCCACCAAGGUGCGAUGGCUCCCAUACUAAGUCCUUUCACGAGGACAUCUGCCGUGACAAAACCACGACAAAGAGUGCUCUUAAUAGUUUUUUUUUUGCCCUUACAGUGUUCAGUCAAAAAAAAAAAGAGGGCACUUAAUACAAUAGUGGCUUCUUAUGACACCAUACUGCAGCUAACAACACAUAUUACAUAACUCUGUCGCGUUGUUGGAAAUUUGUUGACAAAACAUUGUGUUAGGCAUUUUACAUAGAAUAUGAAAUCACAUUGUUUAAAUUACUGCAUGCGCUGUACAAGGCUAAGAACAGUUUAUGUAGUGAGGAGUCUAACGUGCUCAAAUACUGUAAUACCAAGCGAAUAAGAACUAUUUAGCAGAGAAAUUAGUGCCAUCCACUUAACACAUGGCCUGAUUUGCAAAUAAACUUUACCGAGCACAUUAUAUUCUGGAUAACGGCAAACAACUAGUCUAACUGAAGCAUUUCCUAGAUGACCACAAGUAAUCUGUUCUGCUUCUUGCAAAUUUAUUAUUCAAUCUGAAUGUUCAGGAAGCUGACCACACAUCAGUAGACAUACAAAGUGAAUGAACUAAGUACAUAAGAAUAGUUCCGCUCAUCAAUAGCCGAGGUUUGGUGGUACUACCAAUCAUGCAGAAUGUCAAACAGUUUCUGAAAUACGUUAGUUUGUGCAAGUGUGCAGGCUCAUGAGCCGUGUUGAUGUUUUUGUAGCUUAUACUUGCAUCUCGUAGGUGAUCUGCAUUUGAGAACAUCUCCCUUGAUAACAAAUUGCUUGUUCGUGACAUCUGGGGCUGGAUAAGCUGCAGUGUGACCUUAACAAUCCAUACCACCUGUCUUGUCAAGAUGUCUUGUACUAGUUGCCAUGUACUCGCUCCGUCCGGAAUUAAUUGUCGCACAAAUGGAUGUACCUAGACGUAUUUUAGUUCUAAAUACAUCAAUUUCUAUCCAUUUUUGCGACAAUUAAUUUCGGACGGAGGGGGUACUUAAUUAGGACUCUGGUGUCCAGGUUGAAGCUAUUAUACUUGUUUAAAUGAUAAGGUAGUGAAGGUUCCCUAGUAGGUUUGAUAUAAUAUUUUCUCCAUUUUUUGUUGUUGCUCACCACAACAUGCAUGGGAAAAAGUUUUCCACUAUAUUAUGCUACUUAUAUAAUUAAUAAUCAAACACAAUAAAUAUUUAGGUUUUAGGUUUUCCCCCCAUUGUAUUGUUGUUUAGUGCAAUCUGACCCCAAUCAACAAUUUUCCUGAUUUGGCCCUUUUAAAGAUUGAAGUUUGUAUUGUUUGGUAUCCAUGCAUACAUACCAUUCAUGUUUACUUUUGUGGAUUUCUCUAUUACUCCAAUGAGGUUAUCGCAUUCUGCUGCAGGGCUACAAAUGAGGAAGGACCUGGUAGUAAAAUUGAAAUAUUUCCAAGACCUUGUAAACCUGAUUCAAAAGGUGAGAAAAGCACCUUAAUAUUGUUAAAUUGUGCGCAGUUAUCAUCACAUCAGGCAAUUCCUUGCCAGAGUCACCGCCAAUGUUAAUUUUCAACAAUCAUUUGUAGAAUCUGGGUACAUACUUAGUUUUAUGGCUGCAUCUAUUAUCAUGCUAGCAUAUAUGAUAUGCUAAUUAAUUAGUUCGUUCUAUGUACUUCAGUGUAGUAUAUGAAUAUGAGAAUAUACUCAUUUCCUUCAUACUGCUUCUCAGUGUUCUGAAUUCUGCUUAUUUCCCUUCUCCAAUCUUCUCCAUUUUAGUCAGCUCAAGGAAGGCAGAGAAACUUAAGGAUCAGAAACCUUCCAUAUGUACUCUAUGUGAUCCAAAAUGUCAACCAGGUUGGGUCACUUUUAAUGGUAACUAUUGAUUAUUGGUCACAAUCAUUCAUUUUUUCACCCCUGUGGCACCAGGACUCAUGGAUAGAUUAUUAUUAGAGCGGAAGUCUUUAUGUUCUGGGUCACCGAGUUAUCCUUAUUUUGGUGAGUCGUUGCUUGCAGUUUUCCUGACCAUCAUUAUACAUGGGGUCAUCAAUCACUUAACUAUGUUGCAAAAUUCAGGCGUUGCUACAAAAAAAGAGUUGAGGUCCAAUGGUUAUCCCCUCCCAGUUUGGGACGAUGGUGAGUUCAUUCGUGUCCUUUUGUUAUUUACCCUUUUCUGUUGGAACAUCUGUCAUCUGACUGGUUUCUCCAGUUCCCCUCCACUAUUGAAUCUUUUUAUUGCUUUUGCCAGGGGACAAUCGUUUGCUUAACACUUUUGAAGAGAAAUUUAGUGAAGAUAUCUUGAGUAAACUCAAAAGAAACGUUGCUUCAAAUAUGUCUCAAAGUGUUGUUGCAUUGGCUUCAUUCAGUGGUAAUUAUAUUUACUAUAAGCUUGUUUACUCUCAGUAUUCCUUUUCCAAUUUCUUCACUAAAUUAUCAGUCAUUACUCUUGUAGGAAAAACAAGGUGUUUUGCUUGCACGGGCGUAUUCAUAGACUGCAAUGGGUCCACCACAAGAGUUCUGACCUCGGCAAGUUUGGUUAGAACUUCUGACAAUGAAAAUAAGGUUGCUGAUAACCUUAAGGUUGUUACUCUGCUAAUAAUUGUUUAAUUACCGCAUUUACUUAUUCAUGAUAUCACUGGUUUAGCCUUACCAUAUCAUUAUUUGCAGAUUGUAGUGUGCCUUCCAGAUAAUCGUCAUACCAGAGGGACAUUGCAACAUUAUAAUCUACAUUAUAACAUUGCCGUAGUCCACAUCAAGGAUUUCUGCUGUACUCAAACAGCACAAAUCGAUAACCAGAUGCUAAUUGAACCUCAGAAGGAGGUAGUAGCUAUAGGGCGCGUCUACCAAUCAAGCCAAUUAAUGGCCACAGGUGGGAUAGUGAUUGACAAACCAAGUAAGCUUGAUUGUAAAGAGCUUAAAAUCUCCACUUGUAAAAUCACCAAGGUACGCUGUAUUUUUUCGUGUGGUGAAAAUAAAUAGUUGCAUCAGAAUUUGUAAUUAAAUCCAUCACCACAUCUGUAAGGCUUACAAAUACUGUCUUUUCCUAUUCGUUACUUCUGUGUGUGUGUGCUAGGCUGGGAUUGGAGGGCCUCUUAUUGAUUUUGGUGGGAAUUUUAUUGGCAUGAACUUCUAUGGCUUGGAAGAGACUCCGUACAUACCAGUGAAUUUAAUUCUUGAAGUCUUGAAGAAUUUUGAUGCACAAGGGUAUGCUUUUCUUAUUUAUGUAUUUUUUUUGUACAGUAUGCAUAAUAUUCAAUCUUGAGGGAAUUUAGUAGCCUCGAUAGGACAUUUGUUACCAUUUUGAUCUUCUUAUACUGAGCACAUUAAUUAGAAGCUUGAAUAGAACUGCUGCGCAUACGAUAAAUAACAUACGGUACUAGUACGAUCAAGAACAUCUUGUGGUUGUGGCCGACAGUUGAGCAUGUCUGAUUGUAUGUAUAGUUAUGAUUAUAGAAGUAUCUUAUCGUAUGUCUCAUGGCAUCACUCUAACCUGGAAUUAUAAAGGCAAAUAUGGGUUGGUUUUGGUUGUUAUUUUCAGGUUACUUUUAAGUUGGAACUCAUGCUAGUUCUUAAAUCCCAACUUGCUUUCGCGGUUGAACCAUUAUGCCUCUUACUGUUGAGACAUAUGAAGUAGUGAACUGAUGUUGCGUGGUGUUGAUCUUCUCCUCACACGCAUGUGUUUGUUCUUGUACGUUAAAACUAUUUUCGGUCUGUUUGUAGGACUAUUACUAGAGAAGGUGAUGAUAGCCCAAACAGGUAUUGUUUAUUCACUACACAUUCAAUAACACUGCUUGCUUAUGUAUAUAGGAGUUUUAUUUAGCAGCUUAUUUAUAUUUUACUCUGGACAGAUGGCCCGUGCCUAAGCCAUUUUGGUGCUAUCCGAUGUGGCACGAGAUUGAGGAAGAAGUAGAUCUGGAAGAAGAACUUAAAUAUCAGCGGCGGCUAAAAUACUAACCUGAUGAACUGUAUCUGGAUGCAUGUCAUCAAGCGGCUGAUCCAGUUGAAGCACAAGCUGAUCCUGUCUAGCAAGUAUGAAGUGUUUGUAACUUAAUCUGAAGCCUGAAAUACUAGCUUAAGAACUUGCGCUCUUGAGGUGAUGGACCUGUACUAAGGCUGAACCAGGGCCAUUAACAGACGGGUUGGGGAGACUGUCGUACUUUUCGGUACUGAAAGUUUGUUUGCAGCUGCGGUUGUGAUUUUAAGGGUACGGUGAUGAACAGUUGUCCUAAGAAACAUCAGCACAAGUCUGACCCCAACGACUAAGUGAUGGUGACCUGCAUCUCUUGGCAAUCAGAUUCAAAUUGAGUAGCAGGGGACGGUAGCUAGCUCCAUUCUGCCGCGCUCAACAUGCUUCAUCAGCACUAACUUUUAAGCACUUGGGCGUAGCUCUUGUUCAUUUUGGUUGGGUGCUUUGUCAGCUGCAUGAUAGCCGUCUGUCUGCCUUGCUUGUGUUGAGAACAUGUUAGGGGAUGAUCGCUUGGCAGAAAGAUCUGAUACCCUGGGCGUUUUUAGACAAAGGAUGAAAAGACAGUUUCUUCAUUUGCCCACACACGCCAACCUACUCUAUUUGCCUUGCUGCUUUUCUAUGCAUGACUGUUGUGUUUCUUAUCACAUGAAUGGAACCAGAAGUAUUAUAAUUUUGGAAUUUCAGUUACAUACGCUGUGGUUCCUCAACUUGUUUCAACACCCAGUCGGAUAACAUUUUUGAGUAGCACCCAUUUCAGCAAUAAAAGCAUCUGAAACGCGCUCAUGGAUUUUCAACACAAAUAUUUAACUUUGGGGGAAUACUGCAAACCCAAAAAAUUUCUUCCACAUUGGGCAAUCAGCACCUCUCUAAGUUCACGCAACACCCAGUCGAUUAGCCUCUGCGCGAGGUUUGAUGCCACUUGGAGAAGUUCUUUAAUGCUAGUAUAUGCUCUGUUAUUUGCUGUUCGUAUAUAUUUCGAAUUUUAACUCAUUUUUUGUAUUUGAAAACUACUACUGUGAUGUCAGUUUCGUUUUCAGUGGUAAUGGAACCCUGAAGAUAGCUCUGUAUUCUUUUGAGUAACAUCCAUUUCGGCAAGAAAAUCAUCUGAUCCGCAACUCAAAGAAUUCUGCACACUUCGUCAGCAUCUAUGAAAAUGAUAUCAGACCUGACGAUCUGGAGCACUGGUUCUGCACUUACUCNNNNNNNNNNNNNNNNNNNNNNNNNNNNNNNNNNNNNNNNNNNNNNNNNNNNNNNNNNNNNNNNNNNNNNNNNNNNNNNNNNNNNNNNNNNNNNNNNNNNNNNNNNNNNNNNNNNNNNNNNNNNNNNNNNNNNNNNNNNNNNNNNNNNNNNNNNNNNNNNNNNNNNNNNNNNNNNNNNNNNNNNNNNNNNNNNNNNNNNNNNNNNNNNNNNNNNNNNNNNNNNNNNNNNNNNNNNNNNNNNNNNNNNNNNNNNNNGCCGCCGCCGCCGCGAUCGGCGACUCCGUCGGCGGGGCCGCCGGGGGUUCCGCCGGGGCCGCCGCCUCGCGGGGUUGCAUGCUCGAGCCGGACCUCGGCAGGUACGCGUUCCAGCCGUACAAGGAGAACCCCCUCGUCGGGCCAACAUCCGCGACGUAAGACGCCUUUGAACUCUGCCCAAAGCUUGGAUCUUUGGCUCCUUCUAUUGUCAUAGAUGCCUGCAUUUUGUGGAAUUGGUUCAGAUUCGAGCCAAUGCACUUUGCUUUCGGCCUAAAUUUUGAUAGUUUUAUGCAUCACCUUCAAGUAAUUCGGCUGUUAUCAGUUUAUAAUUUCGCCAGGAACUUCUUGAUUUGAUAUGACAUUGGCCUCACUUACUUUACUGUUUAUAAAAGAUCGAUAUGACCAAGUUAUGUAUAAUUCAGAUGCUUUUCCUACAUUGUACUGCCUUCCUACUGUAUUUGGCAAUGUUUAAAACAUACUGCAAUGUGUGUUUUCACCCUUGCUAGUAUUGUCUGAUAAGUGGCAACUGACAUGUGUGCCAAUUCUCUAGGCUGUUGCAAAUGGGGGCACUAGAAACUGGUAAAGUUGCCAAGGAUCACGAAUGGUGGCGCCUCAUCACUUGCAUUUGGUUGCAUGCUGGUGUUAUCCACAUACUUGCCAACAUGUUGAGUCUCCUGAUGAUUGGAAUCAGGCUUGAGAAGGAAUUCGGUUUCCGUAAGUGUCGAAGCCGAUUUUGCAUCUUCAGUUCUCUGCCUAGACACUUCCUUCAAGAGCUAAUAGCUAUAUAACUUGACCAUGUGUAAAUGUUUGUUUAUCGUAGUGAGGAUCGGCACGCUGUAUGUGAUCUCGGGGGUCGGCGGUAGCUUGUUGUCUGCUCUGUUUAUGGUGUCAAAUAUCUCUGUUGGUGCUUCAGGUGCACUGUUUGGAUUACUGGGCUCCAUGCUGUCAGAGCUGAUAACAAACUGGACAAUCUACGAGAAUAAGGCCGGUGCUUAAAUCUAAAGAUCAUUUUUCCAAACUUGUAUUAUUAUAUUUAUUGUGCCUAAUUUCGUUCUUGUUUUGAAAGUACAGUGUGCGGCUUUAUUGACUCUUGUUAUGAUCAUUGUUAUCAACUUGGCUGUUGGGAUCCUUCCACAUGUUGACAACUUUGCUCAUAUUGGUGGAUUCGUAUCGGGGUUUUUUCUUGGUUUUGUGCUCCUAAUGCGCCCACAGUUCGGAUACAUCAACCAAAAGAACUCUCGUCUUGGAGUUCACUCGGGCACGACUAAAUGCAAGUACAAGCCUUAUCAAAUUGUACUCUUGGUGAUUGCUUUGGUGAUAUUAAUUUGUGGGUAAAUAUCUUCCCUGUCAGCAGAAGAGUAAUAAUGAUCUACAUAUUCAGUUCAGCCUCUAGGUUUCAACUGCCUUUGCUAACUUUAUCAUUGGCAGGUUCAUCACUGGCUUUGUAUUGCUAAUGCAAGGGUUCGAUGCUAGCCAGCAAUGUUCUUGGUGCCAUUAUCUGAGCUGUGUUCCUACUUCAAAGUGGGACUGUAAAGCACCGAACAACUAUUGCGUCGUAAGUUCUUUACACAUAUAGAGUCCUAAGAAAUGUCGUCGUCCCCUCUAAUAUCAGAUGUGACUAUCACUUGUUGGCAUAUAGCUUCUCUGUGUCAUUCAUGAUAAAUGUGUCUAACAGUAAACGGAAUGAGUUUAUGAGCAUGGAAUAUGCUUGAUUCUCAUACUACUGAGCAGUUUUUUCUCUUCAUAAAAAUUCUCUUAGAUGAGAACCCUUAGAGCGUCAACCAGUGCAUCCUGCUGUGAGCUGAUCACAUAUUAUCACUCAAAAGGUCCCCUCCCGUUGGUUUUCAACUGUUGUAUCAUCGCUCUCCUUUCUACAUAGGGGGCUAUGUGUUGACAUUAUCUUACCGUAGAGUGGCCUGAAACAAAUGCCUGCAAUUGUUUUUGUUGCUACAUUUUGGAACCUUAUUUUAAUGAGAGUGAUUUUUGUGCACCCACACACAAUGCACCCCCGGUGCACCCAUGAUUAAAAACUUAGCAAAACAUUUCAAAAAAAUCUGAAACUUUGUGGAUGUGAUAAUGACCAAAUGUUUUAGGCGGUUGCAAAAUUUUGUGACGAAAUAACAUCCGAGGAAAUCUGUACAGAAAAGACAAUGUUUGUGCUGAAAACAUGUGAACAGUAUCAUGGGUGCAGAGCAUCAUUUAUAUUUCGUUUUGUAUAGAGAUCAUUUGAUGGUUUUUGAUGGCCAAACUUUGCAAGCUCCUAAAAUAUUUGCUCAUGAUCACAUCCACCAAGAUUCAGAUUUUUUUGAUUUUUUUUCGAAUUUACUGUUCACUCGGUGGGUGCAGCCACUACUUUCCCUAUUUUAAUCUGUAAGCAUAACUAGAGCUUUCGUUUUAGUUGUACUUCCUCGCCUGAAGUUUUACUGACACCAAGCUUCUCCUGCAGUCUUCACAGCUUGGAGACCAAUUAAACCUGACAUGCCAAAGCACCGGGAAGACCGAAACGUACGUUAUCAACAGCCCAACCAACCCGGAGGCGGUUAAGAACCUUUGUCUCGGCCUUUGCAGCUGAUGGAUGGUGGAUGUAUGCGCUUUCAUGGCAAGAAAUUGAUAUCUGCAUAUCUAUGGAAGGGAGACUAGAAGCCUAUGUUUACAAUGGAUUUGGCCUGUGUUAAUGCUUUUGGGCUCCUAUAGUUCUCUCAUGCAUGUGUUGUAUGUUGUGUAUUGCAAAUGUCGACCGGCGGUGAUGAAAGAUGUAUGCUUUGAAAGAGGCAUUAGUUUCUGAAAUCUCAUGUGAGCGCUUGCAUUCUUACGUGUCUUGUGGUGUGGAUGUUGAGCUUAAUUAAAUUGUUGUGUCAAGAAGAAGGGGGUUUGGUGCAGAAAAUUUAACAGACAACCUCACUCCAUAGUUGUGCAUGAAGCGCAAGUAUAUACAUCUCCCUGUUCUCAUUCAAGAGCCGAAGCAAUGUGAGACCGAUCCAAACAUGUAUCACCAAUCGAGGCGCCACCCUUAUCCAAAAGGCGUUACCUAGCGAAAAAAGAAAAAUGAAAGGAAAGGGCAUGAUGGAAUAGUUCGCCACCGCCUGAAUUAUGGUUGUGAGCAGUCAAGCGAUCCGGCUGCCAUUUACCGCCGUCUAAAUGUAGGGUAUCUCCUUGAGUUUAGAUAAAUUUUCAGCACCAACCGAAAUUAUUGAAAUUCAGUGAUUUCAGUUUGCAUUUCGGCCAAAGGGCCAAAUUAUUCACUUGAAUUUAAUUAAAUAUUUAAAAAUUCAAAAAAAAUAUAUAUUUGAUUUUCAAUGUAUUACUAAAAUUGUUGAAAUAUUUUGGCCGAAACCUAAUAUUUUAGUGUCUACUGAAAUUAAUGAAAUUCAAUGAAUUUUAUUGAAAUCUCACUGAAAGUGAAAACUAUGGCCACUCCACGAUCCGAGUCCCGUGUUACCCGAGGGCCGGAAUGGAGCUAAAGGGGUCGAUGCUCCUAGUUUCAUCGAAAAACAAUUGCGAAAUGAUUAACAGAAGAUGAAGUCGGACGUUAAUCUUUCGACUCACCCCUAUGAAUAGAACCACAACCGCAUUUCAUGUACUGGUGGGAGGUUGUGAGUGUUUAGUCAGAGGGGUAUACAUAACCUAUGGUGUGCAAAGACUAAUUCCACCUACGAGCAUCUAGGGACCCCCAUGGCCUGCACCAGCCAUGUCCAAGUAGGCACUUGGAAAAGAUAAGAACGUGCUUGACAGGUUCAACCUAUAUAAGGGGCUUAAGAUAGAUACCUAAUUACUGACAUAGUUCAACCUAUAUAAAGGAUGGACAACCCUCCGUUGAAGGAUAUGUCGUCCCAAAAGGUGAACUCUAUAACCUAGCUCUCUAUAUAUUGGAUAUAUAGUUUGUUGUAGUUUUCUCAUUGAUCAAUAUACACUCUAAACAGGACAUAGGCUUUUUACAAGAAAAAAUAUAACAUGCUAUAUAAAAUAGCGUGACCCCUAAGAUAUGCUAUUUGCGUGAUAUAGUGAGCUAUAACAUUGCUAUUAGUCAGGCCUUGUACAUUGCUUAAUUUAGCCAGCCAAUUUUCUAUCCGUUAUAGUGUGCUAUUAGCGGUUAUAGCGUGCUAUUUUUUUCCAGUGCUUUUUAUCCAUUAGGGGGGCUCAAUUGGAGUAAAAUAACCGUGUCAUAACCAUCUACGACAACAUCCCUUGGGCACCACCCUUCCUUCUACCGUCUUCCACGAUAUCCCAGUAGAUCGUAAGGUCGGUGGUGCAUUAGUUGUCGACAGCCUCCUAGACGGUAGUUAAUUGGUGUCACUUGAUAUCCUUAGAUUUGUGAGCGGAAAGUAGCCACUACUCUAGGUAGUACUACACCUGAUGAGCUUGCCAAAAUCUGAAAAAACGUGAUCAAGCCAAAUCCAAAAAAUCUGAAAAUUUGAGACGUCAAACCUUAUACAAAAUUUUGCAAAACACGGUAUUCCCAGGAACAUUAGCAAAAUAUUGAUCUUUUUCUUUGAUGGAGUAAUCUCUAUCAUUAGAUUUACCAAAAAUGAGAAUAUGUCAAAGGAGAAAGAUCAUGCAGUAAAAUUUGAAAUAAACUUAGGCUGUGUUUGGUUUGGCUUUUUAACCCAACUUCUGCUUUGAAGAAGCUAGAAGCUAACCGAUGGGGUAAUUUUUUAAAACAGCUUUUGACAAUCUGCAGUUUUCACGUAGUGUAAAUUUUGAAGCUGGGUUACCCCAACUUCUCAACUUCUCAACCAACCGUUUUUAACUGUCUCCUUAAAAUUGAGAGUUAUUUACCCACCAAUGCCACUGGCAAGUCAAAUACCUCUUCGCUCUGUUUCUUUCUCUUGCUCGAGUUGGACCCAGUCGGACGAGUGUCGCCUCCCAUGCACGGCUAGGGUUCACCGCAACCGCCACUGCCCUCCGCCGCUCGCUGCCGCUGCCCUCCGCCGCUGCCCUUCGCCGCCCGCCAUCCGAUGACCAGCCACCCUCCUCUCUUCUUCCAUAUUUCUCCAUCCUUCCUUCCUCUUCCCUGCCUGGUCAUGGUGACAUGAUCGUUGGCUCCAGAGUCGGCGUACCAGAUGGUACGUACCAUCACCUCCUUGCUCUUGAUUUUCAGCUGCAACAAAACGAGCAUCGGGGACAUAAUCGUCAUCGUAACGGUGCCAACAAUCCAUGACCUCAUGGCCUGCCUUCUUGCAAAGUUGACACCGAACACGACCAUUGGAGGAAGCUUGUCCAGAGGAGGUGUGGUUGUUGUUGUAGCCACCCCCUCCAGACGUGCGGAGUUUUUGUUGUUGUAGCCUCCGUUCGGGCAUGCACCUUGGCUGCUGCCACGGCCACGCCCACCGCCGUUGUUGCCACGGCCCCAUCCCUGGUUAUCGCGCCCACGGCCAGUCCCGCGGCCACGAGCAGCAGCAUUGGCCGAUGACUGUUGUAUGUUCAUCCCAUGGAGGAGGUUUAGGCGCGUGUCAAAGCUUAGCAGUUGGGUAUAUAGUUCUUGAACAGUCACGGGCUCUACCUGUGCAGCAAGGGUCGACACGACCGGGUUGUAGUCGAGAUCGAGUCCGGCCAGAACCUGAGAGACAAUUUUUCCGCUUGAUAGUGUCGCUCCAGUGCAUGCGGUCUCAUCUAAGAGCGCCUUGAUCUUGGCUAGGUAUUCUGACAUAGUCAUGUUACCUUUUUUGAGGUUGGUGAGCUCAAUCUGUGUAUAGCAUGGAUCGCUGCCCAUACUUCCCCGACGUCUGAAGGGUAACCACCUGCGCAAGAAUCUCGCGAGACAAGGAACCCAUCAGAAACCCUUGAACUUGUUGCCGCCGCGCAUACCAGAGGACGCGGGCGAAGUUCGCAAUCUGCUCCUCCUUGCCAUCCUUGAUGAUGGUGAGUGUCUCCGGCGGCGUUUGGCUCACCACAUCAAGGUGAUGGCCCAUCUGUGCGCCCUUGAUUUGGGGCAGCACAAUAGCCUUCCACAUGAGGUAGUUUUGCCUCGUGAGCUUCUCCUGCGGUGGGGGUUCGAUGGACAUGGGAUAUGCGGAGGUGGAGACGAGGGAGCGAAGGUGGAAGAUGACGCAACGGAUGUGGCGAGGGUACUCAAAGUACUGGAUUCUGUGGAAGGGGAAGUCAUGGCGAUGGCUGGCGAUGAGCCUAGGCUAGAUGCGAUGUCCUUUCGAUCUUUGAGAAGAAGAUGCUCUCAUGACCAUGUAAAACUAGUUAGAAGCGUUAAACCCUUUUCCCGAACCGCGAUUGUAUUUGUAGAAGAGGUGUCGUGGCUUACAAGUUGAUCAACCGAGAGUCCGUUGAGAGAGAAGUUACAAAGGGGUUCGACGGAGGGGAACGAAAACAGAAGAAGAGAUAGAAUAGGAAACUAUGUUUAAACCUAAUUCUAUCUCAUUACAAUGUAUUCUAACAUGGUGCAACGUAUGUGGUAUGUAGGCGGUUUUCUCAUGUACCAAGGGUAGCAAGGCAAUGAGUCAUGUGACGUUGUUGCUUGCGCGUUUUUUGUCCCAGUUUUCGUUAUAAAUUUGGUCCUCUAUUUGAUUUUGAGUUGGUUUCCCUUAUAAACCGGAUCAAUAUUUUUUCGAUGAGGACUCGUUCACAUGGGAUACCUCCAAUGACAACCUUUUAAGGGAAACCUAUGAACUCAGCCGUGGACAUCAAAUAAUGUUGAAAACUCAGUUAUUAUGGGUGAAAUUACAUCGAUCAGAGGCUUGUGAAAUAAAAGUGUCGUUUCUAGGAGUUGAUUCAUAGGAUGUGCAACACUUGGGAAAAGCCACCCUCCCCUACCCAUCACACAAGACACUUUAAGGCUAGCUCGCAUUACAUUUGCAUGUUGUCCAUGCCAAGCUAUGAAGUCCUCGAAACAAGCUUUUUGCCCUGCUUUAUAUAUAAAGCUUCAACCAAACAUAGUACACUGCCGAACAAUACAAGGGGAUGGCGUGGCCCUCAAACAAUGCCGAUCCCACGCUAACUGUAUCAUGCACCACGCACGCGACGACACAACCAAAUUAAAGUACAGGAAUUACUGAGAACAACACCACACUAAGCCCUAUAACACCUAAGUUCCACAACAACAUCCCCAAGGGGUAGAGCGGCGUUAAGCGUCGCCGUUGCCGUGUCCCGAAUAGACAUAGGUUUUCACCUGGAACCGGGACAUGGAAAGGAGCACCAUGACGACGUUUUCAAGAAGACAAUGGCGUCCGCGUGCGUCGACGUCGCCGGCAACAAUCACGAAACUUUCGCCUGACAACUCCCCCGCAUCACCAAACAAGGUCUCCACGACCAGCGCAACGAGCCCAAAACUCCAGAUCCAUAUCAGGGCGCCGCUAUUGUCAGAGAUAAAGAGUGCACCCGAGCCACCCGCUGCAACACCUCUCGCCGGCCACACGACUAGGACAUAAUGCCAUCAUCGUCGUCAUGGUGCCCGCCGGAGAGCCAACCAUGCGAACCUCCAUCCAGGGACACCACCCCGGCAUACAUGUCCAAGGCUCCACAAACCGUCCACAUCAUGGUGCAUCACCUCGAUAAUAGGAGUAAACGGGAUCUCCUUCCACUCCUAGCCCGACAUCAAUCCCGGAGUAUGGGUCGAUACCUCUACAGUAGAAGGCACCCAAGCCCGCGUCUCCAGCAGGUCCCGGUGGACCGUGGGGGUACACUAGCCCGUGACUCCAGACGGCCAUCGUCGAGCGCACUUGCACGACGCCAUGUCUGUGGCCCUUGACGUCGAUCUGCCCAACGGUGUUGUGAAGCCUCAACCACCACCAAUGUCCAUCGUACCCGUGAGAAGAGGGACCUCACCAUCCACGGGCUCCUCCAGGACUGAGCCCAAGCACACCUACCUGGAGCGCAAACUCCAACUCGCCCUAAGUCAUAGCCAUGUCUACGGCCAGAGCCAGGGGAAGGAGGCCCACUGCCACCGCCCAGCGCAACCGGUUCAUGGCCGGCACAGAGCUCCGAGGACUGUCUCCCCACCGACCAGCACCAUCCGUGCCUCUGGACAAGGCAACUCCAGUCGCAAACGAACAACCCCACCAUGGCACAUCACUAGCGCGGCCGAGCUCCUGGCCUCUAGCAUGCAUCAACAUACGGACGACACAUUCUCCCUCGUCCUAAAGGAAAAGAACAUGCUUCAAUGGUGGGAAGGGAACUUUGGGCGAGAGAGGCGACGGAGGAUUUCUCGUCCCGAGAGGGGAGCGAAGGGGCAUGCCGGCCCCAUUGCGAACGAUCAUGUAUUCAUGUCGCUCGACACCCCUAAAUCAUUCGAGACACGGACCGCCCUAAAUCAUCCGAGAUACGGACGAUGUGCUCCUAGUAUUCGUGAAAUUAGUUCAUAAGUAUUCGUGAAUUUAGCUUAUAAUGACAUCAUCGGGAUUAUUUAAUUUAAAAACAUUUACAAAAAGAAAAUCCUGGCCUCACGAGGAUAACAUGAGCAUCAAAGAGUACACUGAUAAUGUGGGUUAACAUGUGAUGAAUUGCAGCGUAUAUAGUGAUCGCUGAUCAGACCAAGGCUUGUGCUCCUUGGCAAGCCAUCCUACCCAACGCAACCAACCCGAAGCCUUCCGCUCCAUUCCAUUCCCAUGUCAAGCGACGACGUGCCCAUGGCCGACGCCGGCGAGGUCCUCGACGCCGCCACCGCCACUAGCACCCAGGCCGCCGACGCGCAGGCGCAGCAGCACCCCACCACCGAGAGCGCCCUGGUCUCCGACGCGGAGCAACACCCGGCCGCCCUGGCCUCCGACGCGCAGCAGCACCCAACCACCGAGAGCGCCCUGGUCUCCGACGAGGAGCAACACCCGGCCGCCCUGGCCGCCGACUCCGACGCGCAGCAGUACCCCACCACCGAGAGCGCCCUGGUCUCCGACGAGGAGCAACACCCGGCCGCCCUGGCCGCCGACUCCGACGCGCAGCAGUACCCCACCACCGAGAGCGCCCUGGUCUCCGACGAGGAGCAACACCCGGCCGCCCUGGCCGCCGACGCGCAGCAGCACCCGGCCGCCGGAAGCGACCUGGCCUUCGACGCGCAGCAUCACAUGAGGGCCGCGGCGGAGCGGGAGGAGGAGCAGGACACGAGGUACCUCAUCGACGAGCUCGCCGGUAAGUAAUCCAUCAUCGCCCGCUCAUCCAAUGGAUUUGAUUGGUCGCCAUCAGUGACCCUGAGCUCCAUAAUGAUCUGAUCAUUUACGCAAAUAUUGUUGGGUCGUUACCCGCCAGAGCUGAGGAUCAUAUUUGACGAGAUGAUACCAGAGUUGAACUGCGAGGAUCUGGAGGAGCAGAAUCAGAGGCUCAGGGAUGAACUCGAAGCCACGGACGAAGAGAUCGAGCUGAAGACGGAGAUGAUUGCAAGAUUGCAGGAGCUGGAGAAGGUAUAUAUGCUCAUGCCAUCUCUUGCUGCCUCAACUCUAAAAUGCUAAGUAUCUUACUUUCAGAGUGCUCAACUUUUUAACUCAGCUCUACUCUACAGUGUCUUUUUACAAAUUGACACCAGCAUCAGUAGUUCAGUAAGUACCUAACAAAAAGUAACGGAUGCUAAUGUCGGAUGCGAGGCCUCAGGUGAGUGAGGCCUGAAUUGCAAGUUUAUACGCGAAAUUUACAGCGGCGUGCCGAAUUUUGUUACUGAAGCGAUCAUCGACAUCAUAUAUAUGUGUCCAGAGAGACACUGAAAUGAAGCAACCAAACACAGUGUUGAAUUCAGGCUGUCAGUUUACUUUCAGUUUUGGAUUAUUUGAUUCAGGCCGUUCAUAGAGACACUGAAAGUAAACUGAAAAAUAAACACUCUGAAAACUGUCGGUUUACUUUCAGUUUACAAAGUGUUGAAUUUUCAGUUUACUUUCAGUUUUCAGAGUGUUAAAUUUUCACGUCUUCAGAGUGUUGUUCUGCAAAUGAACACCGAUAUCAGCACUUGACAAAAUAAAAUGGGUUGCAGAUAACAACGGCGAAUGCUCAAGUCUGGCUGAAAAGGGCGUGAAAUGCUUUUUUUUAUAAGUUAACUCUGAAUUAAUUAUAGCCAAAAAAUUACAGCGGCAUGUCCACUUUUCCAUUGAAUUGAUAGUUAUCAAAAUGAAGCUUACAACCAACGCAACACGGUGUACAUAUGCAGCUGGCAGCAAAAACACUAUAAAUUCAAAUCAUCUGCAGAAUUAGCAUCAGUGCCACUUUGCUUUCAGUUUUCAGGGUGUUGAAUUUUCACCUCAACUUCGUACUGUAGUUUUGCAAAAGAACACAGAUAUCGCACUUACAAAAAAAAACAGUUGUGGAUAGAAAUUGGAAUUUGUAAAUCCGGCUGGGCUUGAAAUGCAUUUUUUUCAGUCAAAAAUUGGAAUAUGCCGAAUUAAUAUUGUAUUGACCAUGGACCGCAAUUCAGCAUAUGCUCAGAGAAACAGUAACAGAGAGCACCUGCCCAGCUCAAAAGUAACAACCAACAAAGCCACCUCCCCUUGCAGUAUGACCCGGUUUAUUUGCUUUCGCCAUCUUAACAUAGUCUUGUGUUGUUUUUAUCGUCUUAGGAUAAUGGUCCCACACAUGGUGCUUUGGAGGUCAACACACUGGACAUGACAGGUGGAGAGAACAAGCUGCCUGUGCUGCAUGAGAUAGAGAAGGUAGGGUCCUGCAUUUCUUACCUGAACUCUACAACAUGUUAAACUUUCAGUUUUCAGACUGCUGAAUUUUCACCUGAACAUUAGAAUAUUUUUGGAAAUGAACACAGGUAGGGUCCUGCAUUUCUUACCUAAACUCUACAACAUGUUAAAAUUUCAGUUUUCAGACUGCUGAAUUUUCACCUGAACAUUAGAAUCAUUUUGGAAAUGAACACGGAUGUCCGCAUCUGCAGUUAUCAAAAAGAAAUUACAGAUGGCAAUGCCAAAUGCACGCUGAAAAGAGCGUGGUAUGUUGAAUGCCUAAUUCUGUUUUUACUCAUCAUGGACAACAUAUGCUCAGAGAGUACUUGCCCUGCUUUAUUACAAGCCAAAACAUCUAGGUGGGGGUUAAAACAAUGUCGAAUUCAAACCAUCUACCUGUACUCCCAAUCUUAAUGCUAGAAUUAGCUUCAGUGUCAGUCCCUCAUUUAAUCCAGAUGCUACUCAGGCAGUAUUCCCCCUAAAUUAGUAUUAGGAAGCAUCAUCUUAAGAUGAUUUCAGUGGAAACUCUUGACAAAUAUUGGCUCUUUUAGCUGGAUUAUCGCUACAUUCAUAACUAACAGACUGAGCUCUCCACCGCAAUAUCACCUGGUUCAUGUCCUUUUCAUGGUCUUACCGAAACUCCCAUACACAUACACAGGGUGCUUUGGAGAUCAACACAUCGGAGCUUGGAGGUGGAGAGUGCAAUGUGGCUGACCAUGCUCUCAUGCUGCAUGAAAACCACAAGGUUUCUCCUUCUCUUUGAUAGGACAAUCGAUAAGCUAAUCUGCAUCAAAUUUUUAUCAGCUCCAUCAAACAGCUGGCCAUGCUAUUCAUACCAAAUAACAUAUCCAUACGCGCCUUGUAGCAAGAGAUGGAGGCUAUUCAUUCCAAGCUAAUUCAACUUGAGAGGCAACUGGAGCAAAGGGAUAAAGACCUGGUGCUCAUCGCACGGCAGCUGAACAUGAAACUACAAGCAGCGGUGAAGCUCCCAGAGGAAGACCAUCAAUGUCUUUAUGGGGUAAUGACUCAUGUGAGAAAUAUUCUGGACGAGGAAGUGAAAAGGAUGAGUGAUUCAUUGUACCGCCUCAACAGAGAGCAGCCUAACGGCAAAGAGCUCCAAGAGAAUCGCCAAGAGUUGAUUCAGGUAAAAGUAAAAGCUCACAGUUUUUAAAAUUUCUAGUUGCUCUAUCUGGGAGGAGUUACAUUGUUGCUAAAAGUUUUCCUCAUUGAAAUGAUCAUAAUGUGCAGGUUUUCGAGAACAUGCCGAUUAGUAGGGGCGCAGUUUUUGGAAUCAAAAGGAUGGGCCAACUUGAUGAAAGUCCUUUUCGCGCCGCAUGCAAUUUAAAAUACAGGGACAAUGAUCCAGAGAACAAAGCUGCAAGGUUGGUUUCGUAUUGGCAGGGGAAAAUACAGAAGCCAUCGUGGCGUCCGUUUGUUACUAUUCGGAUCAAAGAAGAAGAUCAGGUGUCUAUCCAAUUUCCCUACAGCAUUCAUUCACUUACAUUUCUCUGAAUUUUGUGUGAACAAUCACAAGGGUGUUUUGUGACAAUUACAGGAGGUUAUAGAUGACAAUGAUCCAAAACUAAGCAAGCUGCGGUCUCAGUACGACGACAACGUCUGCAAUGCAGUGAAGGAUGCACUGAGAGAGCUCAACGAGUACAGUCCUGGCGAGCGGUGCAUCAUGAAUGAGGUCUGGAACUUCCGGGAAGGGCGGAAAGCGACAACGACAGAGGUGAUCACCUGCAUUUUAGAGCAGCUGGUAGCGGCAGACCCAGGAUUGCGAGGAAAUGAAUUCAAGGUUCCCACAAAAAAAUAUUCAAAUUCAAUAUAACCGGCUAAAAACAGCUGUUUAGUUGUAUAACCGGAUGACAAUAGUUCAAUCAACCAACUAAAACAAUAGAGACUAUCACCAACCGGAUCUGUCUUAAGCUUUCUUUGCUACAUUUGUUUGGAGAAACAACAAAAAAUGGUCUCCAUUGAUAGUUAGUAGAGCAGAUUGAUGCUGAUACUGCUAGGCUAUUUUACCCAAAAGCAUUGUGAGUGCCCAGUUACUCCAUGAAGAUGCGAGUCUAGUCAGUAAUGUUCAAAGCAUGGCUGCUUAUAGAUUGUUAAUGAUGUCAGAACUCUAGAGUUACUCAUGUGUCAGAACUCUAGAGUUACUUCAUCACAAAAGAGGAAUUCUAGAGUUACCAUGGCAACUUAAACUGCAACCUGGUAAGCUAAACAAUGCAAUAUCUCUAGCACACGAAGGUUGGAAAUAUUGACACCCAUAUACGCUGCAAAUCUACUAUAGGUGAAAUUUGAAAAGAACAGCAUAGCAAUACAAUCUCCUGGUUCAAAUGUAGUUGCACAAAUAGGGAUACAAGCGGAAUGUGUCUGCUUGUCCGCAAUCGUCCACAAAGAGAAAAAUUAAACUAACACGGUUUUUAAAGUAAUGAAGAUUAGUGCAAGUUUUGCUUUGGGGACAAGUGGACGCCAUCCGCUUGCUUCCCUAUGCACAAAAGAUGAAGCAAUCAUUCAACAUACAACUAGCGGUGUUUGUUAAACAUUGUAUUGUUGCGGUAUAGUAUAAACCGUAUUCCUUGUGUAACACGUUAGGCUUAGAGAUAAGAUCCCAGUUAAACUAGAUUGCUUGAAGAUCAAUCCUAAGCCUAACAAACUCUUGUAACCUCUUUGUAAUCCUCGCGUUGGUGCCCAUAUAAACACGCACGCGUCCCUGCGGUAUGUAUACGCUUAACCUACGGGUUUUCACAUGGUAUACAGAGCUAGUCUCUUCCAAUACAUCUAGCCGCCGCCAUGUCCACCUCCUCCUCUGCGAUCGCCAUGGCCUCUCCCUCCAUCGCCUCUCUCGGCCACACCAUCACAGAGAAGCUAACAAGGGAUAAUUUCCUUGUAUGGAGAGCCCAAGUCCUGCCGCACAUCCGUGCCGCCGGUAUGAUGGGGUUCCUUGAUGGCUCAAACAAGGAACCCAGCGCCGAGCUUCUCCUGGAGAAAGAAGCUACUGGCAAGAAGGAGAUCGUCGCUACUCCCAACCCCGAACAUGCCGUUUGGGUGACCCAGGACCAACAGGUACUUACUUUCCUGCUGGCAUCUCUCUCUCGCGACGUGCUGAUGUAGGUCAGCAACUGCGAGACUGCUGCCGAGGCGUGGAAGGAGCUUCUUUAGAGCUUCUCAUCGCAGUCGAGGGCGCGCAUCAUCCAGCUCCGCUCGCAGAUCACCACUACUCGCAAAGGUGAUCUCUCCGCCGCCGCUUACUUCACCAGGAUGAAGGGGCUCGCUGAUGAACUUGCUGCUGCUGGAAACCCCUUGAUGAGGACGACGUGGUGUCGCACAUCCUCCAAGGGCUGAUGCAUGAACCCGAGUACAACGGGUUCGUUUUUGCUAUCUCAACUCGCACCAUCACUGAUCAACCGAUCGGUCUUGGAGAGCUGUACUCUCUCUUGCUUGCAGCAGAGGGUCGGAUCACUACUCAGGUCACCUCCUACACGGCCAAUAUGGCUGCUAAGGGAGGUGGCCGGGGCGGCUACGGUCGCUCUGGGAACGGCAACGGCGGUCCCCGUGGCUACAACAACAACAACACGGGUGGCCGCUUCUUCGACAACUCGGGCAACGGUGGCGGGCGUGGUGACCGUGGUGGUGACCGCGGUGACCGCAACAACAAUCGGGAAAAUUGCCAGAUCUGCAAAGAGAGCGGGCAUGGUGCGUGGCGCUGCAAAAAGCGCUUCGAUCGCAGCUUCAACAACAAUGUCCGUAACCCAGCUAGCAGUGGAGGUGGAGGUGGAAACACAUCUGCCAAUGCUUCCCAAUCUUCGGGGUCCUAUGGAGUGGAUACCAACUGGUAUCUUGACACCGGCACGACAGAUCAUGUCACUGGUGAGCUUGAGAAGUUAGCUGUUCGGGAUCGCUACACCGGAACGGAUCAAAUCCACACUGCAAGUGGUCAAGGUAUGAACAUUGCUCAUAUUGGCCACUCCGUUUUAUCUACUCCCCAUGGUUCUCUAAACUUAAACAAUAUCCUCCAUGCACCUCUAGCUGACAAAAGUCUUCUCUCUGCUUACAAACUUAUCAAUGAUAACUAUGCUUUUUUGAAGUUUACCCUGAAAUUGUUUUUUUUAAGGAUCGGGACACUCGGAGAACAAUCCUUCAAAGCAAGAGUAAAAAUCGCCUGUUUCCAAUCUCUGGUCGCCAUGAUCCUCCUCAUCGACAAGCACUUGGUGUGACCAAACCUUCCACUUCAAGAUGGCAUAAGCGUCUAGGUCAUCCGACUUUACCGCUUGUCCAGAAAAUUCUUAGAGAUUUUUGUCUUCCUGUGUCCAAUAAAAACGAUCACUUGUUAGUUUGUGAUUCAUGUCAAAUGGCCAAGAGCCAUCAACUCCCUUAUACUCGUUCCACUAGUGAGUCCAAAGCUCUUUUAGAGCUUUUUUUCUGAUGUGUGAGGGCCUAGACCCCUUUAUGUAGGCAAGCAAAAGUACUAUGUUAGCUUUAUUGAUGAUUUCAGCAAGUUUAGCUGGAUUUAUUUACUCAAGCAUAAAUCUGAUGUGUUUGCCAAGUUUCAUUUUUUCCAACAACACGUUGAGCGCCUCUUUGAUCGAAAGAUCCUUGCCAUGCAAACAGAUUGGGGUGGUGAAUACCAAAAACUCAAUGUAUUUUUUGAACGUAUUGGCAUUACUCACCAUGUUUCCUGCCCCAUGCUCAUCAACAGAACGGCUCUGCUGAAAGAAAACAUCGCCACAUUGUAGAAGUUGGGUUAUCCCUCCUUGCCCAUGCUUUUAUGCCCCUCAAGUUUUGGGAUGAAGCUUUCCUUACCGCCGUCUACCUUAUUAAUCGCACUCCUAGUAGAGUCAUCCAUAAUCAAUCCCCUCUUGAGCGUCUCAAACCCAACUACACUUUCCUACACAUCUUUGGGUGUGCUGUUUGGCCCAACUUACGUCCCUUCAACAAACACAAGCUGGUUGGCCCAACUUACGUCCCUUCAACAAACACAGGCUUGAGUUUCGCUCCAAACAAUGUGUCUUUCUAGGGUACAACACCAUGCACAAAGGGUAUAAGUGUCUUGACGUUGCUUCCGGUCGCGUCUACAUCUCCCGUGACGUAGUAUUUGAUGAGCAAGUCUUUCCUUUCGCCACACUUCACCCCCAUGCCGGUGCACAACUUCGCAAAGAGCUUGUCUUACUCCCAUCCUACCUCCUCCCAUCACCACAAUUCCUUGCUAGGGGGGUAGAUACUGCUGAUGACCAUAUGACAAUGUCUCAUAAUACUAACCCUGAUGAUCCGUGAGAUGCUCGUGUGCAGGAAAUUUUUGCAGAAAAUGGCGAAACAGUGCAUGAUUUUAUGUUCGCAGCAGAUCUAGGUGCUUCUGCAGAAGAUCCCGCCUCGGAAUCAGCUCCAGAUCUGGGUCAGGCUGCGCCAGGUUCCGUUCUGGUCUCGGGGGGCCGCAACUCCUGGCGCUGAUGCUGCCAGCGGAUCUUCUCGCGGUCGUGGAGCGUCACCCGAGGCAGCCGGUCGGUCUUCGGCGGGGCCAGGCGGGCCCCCUCACGGCCAGAAGAUGUCACCCGAGGCGUCCGGUCGGCCGAACGUGGCGCACGGCUCGGCGGUUCCCGUGUCGGCUUUCGGGUCACCCCCUGCGGCGCGUGGUUCGGUGGCUCCCGUGUCGCCUGCGCCCUCUGCAUGUGCGCCUCGGGAUCGGCUGCUGCCUGCUGCACAUCCCGACACGUCUGGUGGGUCAUCAGACCUGCAUGCAGCCGACGGCCAUGCAGGUUCAGGUGCUCCAUGUCCGCUACAGGACUCGCCCGAUGCAUCACAUGUCUCUGCUAUAGUGUCGUGUCUUCAGCAACAGCUUAAUCGUCUUGCGCCUCCUCCGCCUGCUCGAGCGCACACACGUGCACAAGGAGGUAUUCUCAAACCUAAGGUAUAGACUGAUGGUUGUGUACGCUGGGGCUCGUUCUGUUCCACAGGUGAACCACAAAGCCUUGUUGAAGCCCUUGGUGAUACUCGGUGGAAAGCUGCCAUGGACGAGGAAUAUGCUGCUCUCAUCAAGAACAAGACAUGGCGUCUUGUCCCUCCUGCUGCAGGCCGAAUAUCAUUGACUGUAAAUGGGUAUAUAAAGUCAAAAGAAAAUCUGAUGGCACUAUAGACAGGUACAAGGCACGUCUGGCUGCUAAGGGUUUUAAGUAGCGCUAUGGAUUGGAUUACGAGGAUACGUUUAGUCCUGUUGUCAAGGCUGCCACUAUCAGGUUAAUUCUAUCAGUGGUUGUAUCUCGUAAUUGGUGCAUGCGACAACUAGAUGUGAAGAAUGCGUUCUUGCACGGUGUUCUGGAAGAGGAAGUAUUUAUGCGGCAACCCCCAGGGUAUGAGCAUCCCCACUCACCACGUUAUGUCUGCAAACUUGAUAAAGCAUUGUAUGGUCUGAAACAAGCACCUAGAGCCUGAUAUUCUCGUUUGUCCUUCAAAUUACAAUCUCUAGGGUUUGUUCCAUCCAAGGGAGAUACAUCACUCUUCUUUUAUCAUAAGCAUGGAGUAACUAUUUUUAUGCUUAUCUAUGUUGAUGAUAUAGUUGUUACUAGCUCAUCAAGUCAAGCAGUUGAAGCUCUUCUUAAGGAUUUGAGAAAAGAUUUUGCUCUCAAAGACCUAGGUGAUCUACACUUCUUCCUUGGCAUUGAAGUUAAAAAGUACCCAGUGGGAUCAUGCUAUCACAAGGAAAGUAUGUGUAGGAAAUACUCCAGAGAAUAGGUAUGAAAGGAUGCAAACCUUCUUCUACACCUUUAUCUACGUCUGAAAAAUUAUCUGUCCAUGAUGGGGAAGCACUUGGAGCAGAAGACUCCACCAAAUAUAGAAGUAUUGUAGGAGCAUUGCAGUAUUUGACAUUAACUAGACCAGAUAUUUCUUAUUCAGUAAAUAAGGUAUGUCAGUUCUUGCAUGCUCCUACUACUACACACCGGACAACAGUGAAAAGGAUACUUAGGUAUUUGCAAGGGACAAGGAGUCAUGGACUCAAGAUUAGCAAGUGAGAUUCAAUGCUUGUAAGUGCUUUUUCAGAUGCAGAUUGGGCAGGAUGCCCAGAUGACAGAAGGUCUACAGGAGGCUUUGCAGUAUUUCUUGGAGGAAAUCUAGUAUCAUGGAGUGCUCGUAAACAACCCACGGUAUCUAGAUCAAGCACCGAAGCAGAAUAUAAAGCUCUAGCAAUGCCACUGCCGAAGUUAUUUGGGUUCAGAACAUGUUGAAUGAACUUGGGAUACGACAUCCAAAGGCAGCUUCCCUUUGGUGUGAUAAUCUUGGUGCUACAUAUUUAGCUGCUAAUCCAGUUUUUCAUGCCAGGACUAAGCAUAUUGAGAUUGACUAUCACUUUAUUCGAGAACGUGUUGCUGACAAGCUGCUGAAUAUUAGGUUUAUACCUACAGGUGAUCAAGUUGCUGAUGGUUUUACUAAACCACUUACUCUUAGGCAGUUAGAAGCAUUUCGACACAAUCUCAACUUGGAUAGUUGUGAUUGAGGGGGAGUGUUAAACAUUGUAUUGUUACGGUACAUUUUGCUUCAUCAUCAUCAAUCAAAGCUUCUUUGAAAGAUUGCAAUGCUGUGAUAAGGAUAGAACAAUGUUUUUCUUUGCCCACGGGAAUAUCAUCUGCAACACAGUUUUUAUUAACUUUAGCUUGUGAACCAUCCUGUCAAAAAGAAAAAGAAAAAUAUGAGCGUACAUUUAUGCAAGGCUAUAGAUUCUAAUGAUACACACCAACCUUUUAUCUUUAACACAAGCAACAAAAGUAAAAUGCUCCACAGUAACCAUCUCAUGGUUGUUACCAAUUUUUAUGGAGUCAUUUUAGUGUAAAAAAAUUUAAAACACAAAUAUCAGCAGUGCCCUGUGCUUAAUCUGCACAAAACCUCAUGGUCAAAAAUGAAAAUAGUGCAAUGGUGAUAACAAAUCAGCCAUAUGUGGUGCCACCUUGAUUCUCUCCGCAGUGCUGGUUGUCGUACUUGCCCCUGUUGCCAGGCUGUCCAGGCCGACUUGAAGUUUCAUCGCGUCUACGAGUUCCCGUCUCAGCUCCGUAAGGAGUUUGAGCCUCGGCGUGCUCAAUUGUUUGCUCGUGGCCGUAUUUCUCUCAUGUAGGCGCUUUCUGAGAUUCGUGCUGAGAAGACUCGCUUACGUGGUGCUGGUUUGGUGGAGGUUCCCUCGGUGCUCGCUGCUCGGACUCUUUCUACGCCACCUGCUGCACCGACCCCUUCUUGCUCGAGUGCUCCGCCGCUCUUGCCCACUCCUUCUGGAGGCUCAGGUUGCCCCCGUCCACAUUGUGGCUACUGCAACAAUGAUGGUCAUAUUGAGUCCCACUGCUACACGAAGAAGAAACACUUGCGCAAGGCGCGAUCAUCAUCUACAGCGACUUCGUCAUCUACCUCGAUAGCUUCAGCCAUCGCUUUGACUGGGCAUGAUAUUUUGAGACUUAAGCGUCUGCUCGCUGCUUCAGGUUCUUUCUCGACAGGUACUGUUGGUUCUAUGACUCAGGCUUCCCGCAAUGAGCAACCACCUUCUACACAGUCAGGUACAUCCCCAUGGGUUCAGGACUCGGGAGCUUCCUUUCAUAUGACUUCUAAUUCUUCCACUCUGUCCUCUCUUCGAUCGCUUGAUUCUCCUGUUCAUGUCCUCACCGCUGAUGGUACUCCCCUUUCUUUCGUUAGUAGAGGCAAUCUUACCACUCCUUCUUAUUAUGUUCCUAAUGUUGCUCAUGUUCCUCGACUUACCAUGAAUCUGUUUUCCGCUGGUCAACUUGCUGAUUCUGGUUGUCGUGUCAUCCUUGACCUUGACUCUUGUUCUGUCCAGGACCGUCGCACGCACACUCUAGUUGGGGUUGGUCCUCGCCGUCGUGAUUCUGAGUGUCUUUGGGAGUUGGACUGGCUUCAUGUUCCUUCCGCUGCCCACUCUAUUGCCAGUUCUUUCGCUUUGGUUGCCUCGGCUACUGGUUACUUUCAACAGUGGCAUCAUCGACUUGGUCAUCUGUGUGGUUCUCGUUUGUCAUCGUUAGUUCGUCGAGGUCUUUUGGGGUCUGUCUCAGGAGAUGCCUCUUUAGAGUGUCAGGGUUGUCGUCUUGGCUGACAAAUGCAAGAGAAUGUCUUGAGGAUAAGUGGCGACCCUACUGAAUGCAAGAGACCGUGUCUUGACGAGUACUUGUGCAUUCUAUCACAAGUUUACAAUUAUAUGGAAAAUGAAGUUACAGUCAGUUGGACUUUUCAUUUGUAGAGGCCAUAACAGGAAUCCCAUUGCUUCUGUUAUAAUGUCUAUCUCUUGGGAAAUUUGAAAGGAACGAAACGCGACAACUUUUCGCAACGCUGCUACCCUGAGCACCUUGUCCUCGUGAAAAUCAAACCAAAGGCCGAUCUUUGGGUGGCGGGAGCCAAGCACUUGAGUAUUCUUAUGCCGUGAGAAUAGGACUUUUCUUUUUUGCCACUUUGUGGUUUGUGUCUAAACAUUCAAGUUAAUCACUGAAAACGGCAAGUCUUUUGCCUUGUUUCACUAAAAGAGGAAAGUUGGCUUGUCCCGGUUGAGCAUGAGAAAAUGUGGCAAAAUAAUGCUUCUUUUGUAGAAUUAAUAUAAAAGCGUUUAGAUCACUAAGCCGAUGAUAUAAAUGCUCUUAAAUUUGUUUACAUAGUGAGUACUAACUAUUGUCGACUCAGUUUUUUGAACAUGGAUUCAAAUACAAACCAAUAAUUUAUGGAUGGAAUUUAUUUAAUUUAACUGAAGUCCAAUUUAACACUCAAGAACAAUAUCGAUGCUCUGUGAAUAGUUGACACUACAUUUUUUGUUAUUACAAAAGAAACCACUAAAACAAAAAAAAAAUGCAUUCUUUUAUUUACGCAAACAGAUAUCUAACGAAAAGAGGUCGAUCGGUGAGAGCUAAUCAAAGUGUACGGAAGUCUGCUUUGUCAUAUACAAAUAUCUUAAGGGUAAAAUAAUUAGGCUUGUUGAACAUCUUAUCUAUCCCUAAUAAUAAAGCAAAUACGAUUUCUGGUCGUCCGUCGUGAUAUUUUUUAAAAAAGUCCCUCCGUUUUUAGUUAAUCAACACGCAGUCCUUUCCUAAGUGAGCCCGAACCUUUUUUCAUUUUUACACAAAACCCCCUGAAAUUAACGCUAAAUAACCCUCAGUCCAUCUUGUAGGCACAACGAAUCGUUUUAUAUACUUUUGCGUAAACCCCCCUCACAUAUGUGUUAAUAAUCCCGGAGUCUAUUCAGAAUAAAUAUGUAUUUUCAAAUAACCAUAUCUUUUAAAUCAUAAAUCUAAUUUAAACAUGUUACAUAUGAAAUUUGAUUAGAAAAAUGUGUAGAGUUUGAAUAUAUUGUUAUUUUUCAUGUUAAAUAUUUUUAAUAAUCCGGAGUCUAUUCAGAAUAAAUAUGUAAUUUCAAAUAACAAUAUUUGUUAAACCGUAAAUCCAAUUUAAACAUGUUAUAUAUCGAAUUUGAUUACAAAAAUGUGUAGAGUUUGAAUAUGUUGUUAUUUUAUAUUUUUUAUAUACUAUGUAGGGUACAAUGUAAAUCAAUAUAUUGAAAAUCGUUACUACCCGUUGCUCAUUUAGGCCCAUGUCAAAUCUUAAUCAACAUAAUUAUUGUCCGAUUCAUUGGUAUUCGACAUGCAGCGGGGCAUGUUUUUUAUAUGAUAAAAAACAUGUUCACAAAAUCAAGGGUGUCUACUAAUGUUUACUGAAAUCAUUUAUAUGUAUUAAUCAAUAUUAUGCCAUUUAAAAAAAUCAAUUAACUAAGCUAGAGACAUGAGAGGGUUUUUUCGUCAUGUUGCAACGCACGGGCCUUUUUCCUAGUCUCUCCCUAAUAAUAAAGCAAAUAGGAUUUCUGGUCGUCCGUCAUGGAAAUUACCCCUAAAGUUUGCAUAAAUUACCUACCAUGCCACCGUAAGUAAUAAAAAGCGUUUCACAAAGCAAAAAAUCUUAGACUGGGCCGGCCAUGUAAAAACCUCCUAUAUUACGCUCUGCACCCUGGGAGAAUAUCCAGCACACCGUAUGGGCCGGCCCAUGCACAUGCCCAGUUUUUUAGUUCCGUUUAUUUAUUUCUCUUCAGUUUCAUUUUAUUUUUCUAUUUUAAAUAAUUUAUAACUUCAAAUAACCUUUAAAAUUUUAAUAAACUUAAAUUUUUAAAUCAACAUAUUAAAAAAAAUAAAAUGUUUGUGACUUAAAAAACUGCUCGGAGUUUUUGUAAAAAAUGCUCGCAUAUACAAUAAACUGUUUGCAAGUUUAAUUUGUUUUUGUAAAAUAAUAAAAGUCCAUGAUUUCAAAUCAAACUCCAUGUAUUAAAAAUUAUUGAAAGCAUUUAACAAAAUUCUUUCUAAUUCAAAAUAUGUUAAUGCAUUUAAAAUAUGUCCUAAAAUUUUAAAAAUAGCUAAUGCCUGUUUUGAUAAUUUCUUUUUUUUAUUUACAUUUUUCCGUUCCAUUUUUGUUUACUUCUAAUUUAAACAAUUUAGAAUUACAAAAGCAUUUGCAUAUUAAAAAAUAGGAAUUUUGAAUUAAAAUGUUUACGAAAACAUAAAAUGUUUGUGGAUUCAAAAAAGGCGCCGGAUUUUUUUUAUUUUUUUGCAAAUUCCAAAACAAUGUCCGUGAAUUUAAUAAAUAUAUUACUGACUUAUAAAAUGUUUGUUUAUUCAGAAAAAUUUCAGGCAUUUGAAAAAUGUUUGUGAAUUUAAAGUAAAAUCCUCCAACAUCAAAAAUUACGUUCGUCUUUUCUAGAAUUGGUCGCCAAUUCAAAAGAAAAUAUUUAAACCCGUUUGAAAUAUAAAAAUUGUUCACGAUUUUUAGUAAAUGUUUGUAAAUUGAAAAAAAUGUUCUCGAUUUUAAAAUUGUUCUCAUAUUUGUAAAAUUAUUCAUGAAAGAUCUAAUGUAUGUAGUUGAACAUUAAUGCUUCUAAGUCUUUGUGAAAAUAUACCCGUGUGAUUUUUGAAGAAUUAACUGUUGGAUGGAUCGGAUUAUUAUUGUAUGUUUUCUAAAAGAAAUUAUUGAAAUUAAGAAUAAUUCUUUGAGUUACCAAGAUUUUUGACAACCAUGAUAUUUUUUUUUUGAAAAUGUAAAGAUUGCUUCAACUUGUGAAUAGAUUUAAAAGAAGAAACAUUUUCUUGCAUUUGUACACAAAAUUUUAAAAUCAAGCGAUGAUGUGUGAACAUAAUAUGGUCAUCAUCAUUAAAGAUUAUGUUUUUUCGUCACGUAGCAACGCACGGGCCUUUUUCCUAGUGUUAAAUAAAACAAAUAGAUAUGUGCAGCAAGAGGAUUAGAAAAUAUGAAAAAGAAAGGGUUACAAAAAGAAUAGGAAAUGGUGGGAAUGGUUUGAAGGUCAGUUUAAAACAAUUGUGCUAGCCCACAGUAGAGUACUGAUCGCUCAUCCGGGCUGAAGGCUCGCCAUUUCUUCACGAGAAUUUCUGAGAUUGGGCCCGCCGGUCCACAGUCCUGGUCGUUCUCUUCUCAUCCCCAAACCCCUAGGCUAGCUCGCACCAAACACCCACUGCCACUGGAAUCAGCCAUGUCCACCCAAGCAUCGCCGCCGCCGCCGCCGGCCGCUGAAACCACCAUCGGCGCUCUCGGCGACGACCUGCUCCGCGAGAUCUUCGCCCUCCUCCCCGACCUCCCCAACCUCGCCCGCGCCGCCUUCGCCUGCCGCGCCUUCCUCCGCGCCAUCCGCUCGUCGCCCGCCUUCCGCCGCCGCUUCCGCGAGCUCCGCCCGCCGCCCCUCCUCGCCUUCUUCCUCGAGAUGUUCAUGGAUCCGGUCCCGGUCUACCCCUCCCCCUGGCGCCCCUCCGACACGGACCUCGCCGACGCCUUCCGCGGCGCCGAUUUCUUCGAGACCCGCCGCAUGUUUGGCCUCAAGAACGACGACGACCCCGGGUGGGCGUUCGACUACAUGUUGGACGGCGAGAUCCGCAUCGCCCACCGGAAGCAGCGAGCGAGCUACAGCCCGGUACGGCAGGCCCUGUCCCUCUUCCCCGACAGGCACAUUCUGGGGGACGGCAGCUUCCUUGAGUUCCACACCCUCUCCUACCAGGAGGAACAGGGGCUGCAGCGUGUGGUCUGCAUCCGCCAUGACCGCUAUUGGGCGCGGGCGCGCGUCGCUGUCUUCUCAUCCAACACCAUGGAGUGGCAGAUUUUCCCUUGGGUGGAAACAAAGGCCCUGGUGCCCAAGGAUGCCAAAAACUCUAACCCUGGUAAGGUGGUCGAUGGAUUCAUCUACUGGAUAUUUCCCAUGGGAGCCGGUAUGCUCGCGCUCGAUGCGACGACAUCUCAGUUCCACCGAAUGGAUGUGCCGCCGCCCGUGAGUAGGAUGCUUGUUACUACAUUCGAGCUUGGCCAGACCAAGGACGGGAAGCUCUGUAUCGUGCACUUAAAUUCUGCGGGCAUCAAUGACGGGAUGCUUUUUGUUUGGUCGUGGGGAAAAGAUAGUGAUGGUGUGGAGAGAUGGGUGUUCGACAAGCCGUUUCCAUUGCGCACCAUUGUUGAAUUCAUCAAGUCCUCAAUGGUAGUUCACUCCAAAGUAGGAGUUUUGUCCGUCAUUGAUGGCUUUGUGUACCUGUCGGUUGACUGUCAUGAGUUUGCCCGGAACCAUAGUGAUUCUCCAGAGUGGUUCCUAUCAUUUUGCCUGGAAACUACGGAGCUUCAUCUGCUCUUUGAGGGCCAAUAUCAGAGACAUCAUCGUGCCCACCCCUAUGUCAUGCCGUGGCCUCCUUCUUUGGUACACAGCAAGGUGAGCCCAUGCUUAUGCGGGACGAUUCUGGUAAAAUUUCUUCCUACCUUCGGUUUGGUCUCCAGAUUGUAGAUCUUAUGUUACCUUAGAGCACUAGAUUACAGUGUUCUUGUUAAAGCUGCUAUCAAACACGUAGUUUCACAUACAUGACAUGGCUGAUUUGUUAUCACCAUUGCUCUAUUUCCAUUUUUGACCAUGAGGUUUUGUGCAGAUUAAGCACAGGGCACUGCUGAUAUUUGUGUUUUGAAUUUUUUUUACACUAAAAUGACUCCAUAAAAAUUGGCAACUACCAUGAGAUGGUUACUGUGGAGCAUUUUACUUUUGUUGCUUGUGUUAAAGAUAAAAGGUUGGUGUAUCAUUAGAAUCUAUAGCCUUGCAUAAAUGUACGCUCAUAUUUUUCAUUUUCUUUUUGACAGGAUGGUUCAUAAGCUAAAGUUAAUAAAAACUGUGUUGCAGAUGAUAGUCCCGUGGGCAAAGAAAAACAUUGUUCUAUCCUUAUCACAGCAUUGCAAUCUUUCAAAGAAGCUUUGAUUGAUGAUGAUGAAGCAAAUAGUACCGAGGCAGCGGCCUUUUUCACAAUUGAGGAUGAGAAGAUGUCUCUCGUGAGAAAAAUUACUACUGCGGAUGUUCAACUGACAAAUGCAAGAGAUCAUGUCCUGAGGUUAAGUGCUGACUCUGCUAAAUCCAAUAUACCACGUCUUGACAAUGAUUGCCGCUUCUGCUUUCUAUCAAAAAUUCACAGUUAGAUGGAUGAUGAAGUUAGAGUCAGUUGAACUUAUGUUUCUGAGAGGAUGCUUAAUAUUAGAAGGCUCGAGUUAGGUUCCGAAUCCUAUAAAAUGGAACAACUUGCCAUGGAUAGUGAUUUUUUUAGGGAUGCUGGUGCUUAUGAAUCGACAGCAGGGCUUGUUGAUCUACAACGGGUAAUUGGAUUUGUGGCGGUGACAACUGACAAGUAAAGAUCAGCUGCAUGGUUGUUUCCAGCGCUUUGAGGGUGAGUUAACUUCCCUGUGAACUGUUAGUGUACACCUUAUCUACGUAGAUGUCAAGGCCUCAUGGUUAUGUGAACAACACCGCUAGUUGUAUGUUGAAUGAUUGCUUCAUCUUUUGUGCAUAGGGAUGCAAGCGGAUGGCGUCCACUUGUCCGCAAAGCAAAACUUGCACUAAUCUUCAUUACCUUAAAAACCGUGUUAGUUUAAUUUUUCUCUUUGUGGACGAUUGCGGACAAGCAGACACAUUCCGCUUGUAUCCCUAUUUGUGCAACUACAUUUGAACCAGGAGAUUGUAUUGCUAUGCUGUUUUUUUCAAGUUUCACCUAUAGUAGAUUUGCAGCGUAUAUGGGUGCCAAUAUUUCCAACCUUUGUGUGCUAGAGAUACUGCAUUGUUUAGCUUACCAGGUUGCAGUUUAAGUUGCCAUGGUAACCCUAGAAUUCCUCUUUUGUGAUGAAGUAACUCUAGAGUUUUUUUUGACAUAUGAGUAACUCUAGAGUUCUGACAUCAUUAACAAUCUAUAAGCAGCCAUGCUUUGCACAUUACUGACUAGACUCGCAUCUUCAUGGAAUAACUGGACACUCACAAUGCUUUUGGGUAAAAUCUGCUCUACUAACUAAUCAAUGUAGACCAAUUUUUGUCGUUUCUCCGAACAAAUGUAGCAAAGAAAGCUUAAGAAAGAUCCGGUUGGUGAUAGUCUCAAUUGUUUUAGUUGGUUGAUUGAACUAUUGUCAUCCGGUUAUACAGGUAAACAGCUGUUCUUAGCUGGUUAUAUUGAAUUUGAAAUUUUUUGGGUGGGAACCUUGAAUUCAUGUCCUCGCAAUCCUGGGUCUGCCGCUACCAGCUGCUCUAAAAUGCAGGUGAUCACCUCUGUCAUCGUCGCUUUCCGCCCUUCCCGGAAGUUCCAGACCUCAUUCAUGAUGCACCGCUUGUCAGGACUGUACUCGUUGAGCUCUUUCAGUGCAUCCUUCACUGCAUUGCAGACGCUGUCGCCGUACCGAGACCGCAGCUUGCUUAGUUUUGGAUCAUUGUCAUCUAUAACCUCCUGCAAUUGUCACAAAACACCCUUUUGAUUGUUCACAUAAAAUUCAGAGAAAUGUAAGUGCAUGAAUGCUGUAGGGAAAUUGGAUAGACACCUGAUCUUCUUCUUUGACCUGAAUAGUAACAAACGGACGCCACGAUGGCUUCUGUAUUUUCACCUGCCAAUACGAGACCAACCUUGCAGCUUUGUCCUCUGGAUCACUGUCUCUGUAUUUCAAAUUGCAUGUGGCGCGAAAAGGACUUUCAUCAAGUUGGCCCAUCCUUUUGAUUCCAAAAACUGCACCCCCACUAAUCAGCAUGUUCUCGGAAACCUGCACAUUACGAUCAUUUCAAUGAGGAAAACUUUUAGCAACAAUGUAACUUCUCCCAGAUAGAGCAACUAGAAAUUUUAAAAACUGUGGGCUUUUACUUGUACUUGAAUCAACUCUUGGCGAUUCUCUUGGAGCUCUUUGCCGUUAGGCUGCUCUCUGUUGAGGAGGUACAAUGAAUCACUCAUCCUUUUUACUUCCUCUUCCAUAAUAUUUCUCACAUUAGUCGUUACCCCAUAAAGACAUUGAUGGUCUUCCUCUGGGUGCUUCUUCCCUGCUUGUAGUUUCAUGUUCAGCUGCCGUGUGAUGAGCACCAGGUCUUUAUCCCUUUGCUCCAGUUGCCUCUCAAGUUGAAUUAGCUUGCAAUGAAUAGCCUCCAUCUCUUGCUACAGCCUACAAGGCGCGUAUGGAUAUGUUAUUUUGUAUGAAUAGCAUGGUCAGCUGCUUGAUGGAGCUGAUAAGAAUUUGAUGCAGCGUAUGGAUAUGUUAUUUUGUAUGAAUAGCAUGGUCAGCUGCUUGAUGGAGCUGAUAAGAAUUUGAUGCAGAUGAGCUUAUCGAUUGUCCUAUCAAAGAGAAGAAGAAACCUUGUGGUUUUCAUGAAGCAUGAGAGCAUGGUCAGCCACAUUGCACUCUCCACCUAAAAGCUCCGAUGUGUUGAUCUCCAAAGCACCCUGUGUAUGUGUAUGGGAGUUUCGUUAAGACCAUGAAAAGGACAUGAACCAGGUGAUAUUGCGAUGGAGAGCUUAGUCUGUUAGUUCUGAAUGUAGUGAUAAUCCAGCUAAAAGAGCCAAUAUUUGUCCCACUGACAUCAUCUUAAGAUGAUCCUUCCUAAUACUAAUUUAGGGGGAAUAAUGCCUGAGUAGCAUCUGGAUUAAAUGAGGGACUGACACUGAAGCUAAUUCUAGCAUUAAGAUUGGGAAUAAUGCCUGAGUAGCAUCAACUGGCCUCCUCCGCGCUCUUCACGGCGGCACUCAGGAAACUCCGCGCAGCAUCCUCACCGCUCAGGUCCAGGAAGUGGUGGCCGGGCUCGGGCGGCGCCGCUUCCUGGGCCGGGUCCUGCUGCGCGUAGGAGGCCAGGUGAUGCUGCGCGUCGGAGGUCAGGGCGGCCGGGUGUUGCUCCGCGUCGGAGACCAGGGCGCUCUCGGUGGUGGGGUGCUGCUGCGCGUCGGCGGCCUGGGUGCUAGUGGCGGUGGCUGCGUCGAGGACCUCGCCGGCGUCGGCCAUGGGCACGUCGUCGCUUGACAUGGAAAUGGAAUGGAGCGGAAGCCUUCGGGUUGGUUGCGAUGGGUAGGAAAUUAGGAAUAGGAUGGCUUGCCAAGGAGGAGAAGCCUUGGCAGCGCGUGUACUUGUUGGUCUGAUCAGCGAUCACUGUAUAUGCUGCAAUUCAUCUCAUGUUAACCCACAUUAUCAGUGUACUCUUUCAUGCUCAUGUUAUCCUCGUGAGGUCAGGAUUUUUUUUUGUAAUUGUUUUUCAAAUAAAUAAUCCCAAUAAUGUCAUUAUGAGCUAAAUUCACAAAUACUAUGAACUAUUCACAAAUACUAGGAGCACAUCCUUUGUAUCUCGGAUGAUUUACUGGUGAUCCAUAUCUCGAAUGAUUUAGGGGUGAGCGACACGGUCGUUCGCAAUGGGGCCAGCCUGCCCCUUCGCUCCCCUAUCGGGACGAGAAAUCCUCUGUCGCCCCUCUCGCCCGAAGUUCCCUUCCCACGAUGGAAGCAUGUCUUUUUCUUUUGGACAAGGGAGCAUGCGUCAUCCAUACGAUGUUUCAUGUUAUCCGUAUGUUGAUGCAUCGCCCACGCUGUGAUGUGCCAUGGUGGGGUGGUCCGAUUGUGUUUGCGACUCGAGUUGCCUUGUCCGUGUACACGGAUGGUGCGGGUCGAUGGGGAGGUAGUGCUUGGAGCUUGGUGUUGGCCUUCCACCUGUGGCGCUAGGCGGUGGAAGCGGGCCUCCUUCCCCCGGCUCUGGCUGUAGACAUGGCUAUGAGUUAGGGCGAGUUGGAGUUUGCGCUCCAGGUAGGUGUGCUUGGGCUUGAUCCUGGAGGAGCCCAUUGGCGGUGAGGUCCCUCUUCUCACGGGUACGGUGGACGCUGGUGGUGGUCGAGGCUUCGCAACACUGCGGGGAAGAUCGGCGUCAAGGGCCACAGACAUGGCAUCGUGUGAGAGCAAACACAGGUGCUGGGAUGCAGUGCUCGCCGGUGGCUCUUGGAGCCGCGGUGCAGGUCUUGUUGUGCUGCAAUGUCGGACCGCUGGGAGCAUAGCCGGCACUGCAAUGAAGACUCGUUGGCAUUGCAAUGAAGCUUCAUCGGACAAGCCUUGCUGCGUUGAAGCUCUGCCGAAAUUGCAAUGGAGCUCUGCGAGAGCUCCGUCGAAGUUGUAAUGAAGCUUGGCCGGAGCAUCGGUGUUGUGUUGCAGCUCUAUCGGCUGCAAUGAAGUUUAACCGGAGUUGCAAUGAAGCUCGCCGGACGUUGUUGGUGCUGCAUUGGAGUACCACGCGGCCUGCAAUGAACCUGUCAUGCUGUGCUGUUCCGGUGGCAGUGCUUUGAUCCGACGGACUCUUGUACGCACGCAACGCCCUAUUUCUUUUUGAGAAAAUCUAUAUUACACACGACGCACCGUAGGGUUCCCGUGCAGCGGCCGGUGCCCGCGGCUUCUUAGAAUAAGGUGCCGCACUAUUCACUAUAUGGGUACUGUUUGCUACAAGGUAACAUCACUCAUCACUAUAGUUAACUAUUCACCACAGUGAGCUGUGUCUUUUACCGAAUGUACCCUCCUAUCGUGCCUUUAUCUCCAUAAGUACAUGGUGUUGUACAUAUCUUAUUAAUCCAAAAGCCCACCUAGCCCUAGCUAUUAAGCUAGCCAACAACAGUGUUUCUGACCCCUCUCAACAUGCUGCAGUUUUUUCAUCUCUACUUCUAUUUCAACACUGAUGAAAAGAGGGAGACAGAGGCAGCUAGCUAGUCAAGGGCCUGCUCGCGCUCGCGUACCUCUCCCCGCGCCUGCUCUUCGCGGGCAACGCCGACGGCAUCAUCGACCCUUCCGAGCGCUCGCUUCAAGGUGCAAUGGUGCAUGCAGGGAGAAGCUCAACUCCAUGGACCUGCUACGGUACAUGGCGCCGAUGACGCUGAUGAUGGAGCCGUGUGGAUGCUGAUCGGCAACUCCUCGCUGGCCUACCUACUAGUGAACCUGACCAACUUCCUUCCUCGUCACCAAGCACACCAGCCCGCUCACCCUCUAUGUGUGAACCCACUUAAUCCAUUUAAUUUCUGGUGAGCUGGCCCUUAAUGCCCACCAAGCAAGCAGCCGUGGGACUUAGUACCCCUUUGUUUGGGCUUAAAUUCUUGAUUCUUGGAUUCUAGCUACUGUGAAAUUAGAAUCUGAAACAAACAGCCCUUCAUAAUAUCCAGAUUGUCCAGAAUUGAUUCUAAAAAAUACACACGGAGUAUCACAAUCUGAGAAUUGAGCAAAUAGGUGAUUCCCGAGCUUUUUUUUUGGGCCGAAACGUUUUCUUCACAUCCGCCCCGCGCGUAACCCCACCCUCUCGAUUUCCCAUCGUCCUCUGGUCGAUAGGGCGCCGCCUCGCGUCCGCUUCCCGCAGGGCCGGCCGCCGCCCCUCGCCGGCACGCAGCCAGCUUAUCCCGGCCGCCGAACCGCUCCUCCCUCCUGCUCCUCCGGCCGCCCGUUCCUCGCCCGCUCGCCGCCCGCCCGCGUCGGCUCGCCGCCCGCCCGGCGUCGAUCCGCACGACCCAGCCGCCACCCGCGCCCGCUCGCCGCCCUCUCCUCCUGGCCGCCGACCCGCUCCUCACCCGCUCGCCGGCCGCCCGUUCCUCCCGGCCGCCGACCUGCCCCUCGCCCGCUCGCCGCCCGUUCCUCCCGGCGUCGUUCCCUGUGAAGGUAUUGCCUCGUUUCUUUAUUUGCUGUUACUUAUGAACUGCAUACUGUUAUAGUUCUCGUUCGUGUAAACUACUGCUAUAUUUCUUACUGCUAUAUCGUGAAGUAAUACGAGUUCACUGUGUAAACUACAGCUAUACUGUUCACUGCUAUAUUGUUUACUGCUAUACCGUCAAGUAAUAUGAGUGAUGUUAGAAACUGUGAAUACUACUGCUAUAUUGUUCACUGCUAGUUCUCGUUUGUGUAAAUUUAAUUUAAUCGUAUACACCUAUAGAUGGCAAAAGAGAAAGCAAUAUGGCAAAAGAGAAAGCAAUUUGGGAUGCGGAAGCCACUGCAAUUUUUUGCAAACUUUGUGUGACUACAACAAAACACUAUACCUACUAUUAUGUUUUCAGGAAAACAAGGAGUUUCUGGCACGCCAGGAGAUCUACUACCUCCACCUACUGGUCGGGUAUCUAACAUUGUGCAUGGUGAUGAUGCUCUGAUGAAAGUAACCAGGGAGAGAAUAGCUGAUGGAUUAUUGGCAGCUACAGAUGAAGUUUAGUUUUACGCACUACUUUUGAGUGAUGGUUGAUGUACGUUUAGGAUGAUUGUUGGUAAUUGAACGUACAUUUUGGAUGAUGGUUUCAAUUUUUAAAAUAUUUUACAUUAAUUACGAUCCGUAAAGCUGCCUAAACAGCAAAGUAAACAAACAGACAGAUUCUGAUUCUCAGAUCCCACAGCAGGGUAAACAAACAGUCUGCUUCUGAUUCCAGAAAUCAAGAAUCACAGCUGAUUCUCAGAAAUCAGGAUUGACAGCAGAAUCUCAGAAUCCAAAGCCCAGACAAAGAGGGCCUUAGUGGGAUUGUGGCCUGCAGCCUGACCAUUGUGUGUGGACUUGUAGUAUUGUACAGUAGUUUUCGCCGCAAAAGGGGCCCGUGUGUCCGCGGUAGUGCCAAACGAUCGAUCGACGGAUGGCAUGAGCAGCAUGGAUGGUGUCACGCGCAUGUAGGACAAGUAGUAUAAGUUUUUACUAAUUUGCUUAGUAAAACCUGAAUUAUGUGCGCUAGCGGCAAACGCGGACUAUCUGUAGGUUACGUGGGAAGCCCGCAUAAGCCCACUUAAAUAAACGGGCUGACGCAGCGUGAUGCGGAGUGUCCCACUUGCAGCUUGACGUUCCCCUCAAAAAAAAAAAACUUGCAGCUUGACGUGUCGAUGCGGGGUGUCCCGCGGACUUGCAGCUUGACGUGUCUCCCCUGUAACGAAUGAAAAGAACUGUUGCUUUCAUUGAUCAUCAAUCUGGGUAUUUAUACAAGGACUCCCGUCUUUUGAGAAUGUCGGUUACAAGAAGAAGGCGCCUGUAGGAGACGUCGCUAGUUUGGAGAGGCGUCUGUUUGGAUACAGGCGUCUGUACAUAUGGGAAAGGCGUCCGUGCGAAGGAACGCUUUGGGCACUAAAGAUAACUGCCUAAGGCAGUUGUUAUCUAAUCCUAACACUCCCCCUUGCACAAAGCUACGUCUUGUAUAUCUUGUAUCCCUUGCAUAAUCUUGAGAAUCUUCCAUGUAGUCUUGAUGAUCUUUGAAGUUGAUAGUUACUUCUUCAAAAACCCUGUGGGAAAAAUAUGAGGAGAAUAGUAUUUGAUAUGUUGUGAAAACUCCUUUAAAACCCUGUGGGAAAAGUAAGGAGAAAAUGAUACAACAUAUAAUGAUCAUUGUCUCUUUCAUAACUUAUAUGAGAAAACCUUGAGAGGAUAAAACUCAUUGAUAAGUUUAGAGGACAAUUAAUAUGUCUUGUAUACUUCCGUUAAAAACCCCGAUGGGGGAAAAUAGGAUGUAUGACAUAUAUUCUUGUGUUGAUAUUACCUCAUUAAAAACCUUGAUGAGAACCUCGAGAGUAUACUCAUAAAGGGAAAAAGAGUGUAAUAUAAUGUUUGAAUAGGUUAUAAUUCAGGAAGAGAAACUCCCCCUGAUCUUUGCAAAUCCCGAAGUCGUCGCAUACCUAUCCCAUGAACAUAUUUUUCAAAUGUUGAAGUUGGGAGUGAUUUUGUAAAUAGGUCAGCGAGAUUAUCACACGAUUUGACUUGCAAAAUGUUUAUCUUCCCUUUCUUCUGUAAUUGAUGGGGAAAAAAUAAUUUAGGAGAAAUAUGCUUAGUGAUAUUGCUCUUUAUGUAACCCGUUUGCAUUUGAGCAACACAAGCAGCAUUAUCUUCGUAGAUAAUGGUUGGAGAUUCGGUAAGACCUUGCCACAUGAUUUUUGUAUGUGGUUUAUCAUUCUGCGAAGCCAUACACAUUCACGUGACGCUUCAUAUAAUGCGAUUAUUUCAGAAUGAUUGGUGGAUGUAGCCACUAGGGUUUGCUUGGAAGACUUUCAUGAUAUGGAUGUCCCACCAUGUAGGAACACGAAACCGGUUUGUGAUCUGGCAUAGUGGGGGUCAGAUAAGUAGCCAGCAUCUGUAUACCCAAUCAAAUCAAUGUCCAAAUUUCUUUGAAAUUGAAAGAAUAGGCCAAGAUCCUUUGUGCCUUGGAGAUAUCGAAAGAUAUUUUUAACUCCAGUCCAAUGUCGUUUAGUGGGAGCUGCGCUAUGUCUAGCUAGUAAAUUUACUGCAAAUGCAAUAUCAGGCCUGGUGCAAUUUGCAAGAUACAUGAGCACUCCAACGGCACUAAGAUAUGGAACUUCAGGUCCUAAUAUCUUUUCUCCAUCAUCCGUUGGUCUAAAUUGAUCUUUCUCUAUGUCUAGAGAUCGAACUACCAUAGGGGUUUUGGAUGGAUAGGAUUUGUCCAUAUUGAAUUUCUCCAAUAUUUUCUGGAUAUAGGCGGUUUGAUGAACCAAAAUACCUGAGGGAAGGUGCUCAAGUUGCAAUCCUAAGCAAAAUUUGGUUUUACCCAAAUCCUUCAUUUCAAAUUCCGUCUUUAAGUGAUUGCGUGCUUCAUCAAUAUCUUUGGUGGUUCCAAUGAUGUUAAGAUCAUCAACAUACACUGAAAUAAUGCAAAAUCCGGUUGCGGACCUUUUUAUGAAAACACAUGGGCAAUCAUCAUUAUCGGAGUAUCCUUUUUUUUAAAAAGAACUCACUAAGUCGGUUGUACCACAUGCGACCCGACUGUUUUAAGCCGUAUAAAGACUUGUUUAGUUUUACACAAUAUGCGUUGCGUUUUGUGUUUGGAUUCGGGAUUGGGACUCCAUCAGGAACCUUCAUAUAUAUGUCCGAAUCAAGUGAACCAUAAAGGUAAGCGGUCACUACGUCCAUCAACUGCAUAGAUAGACGAUUUUGUACUGCCAUAGAAAUAAGGUAUCGGAAAGUAAUACCACUCAUUACUGGGGAGUAUGUUUCAUUGAAAUCAAUGCCUGGUCUCUGCGUGAAACCUUGGGCUACAAGCCUUGCUUUAUAUCUCACCACCUCGUUGUUCUCGUUUCUUUUACGGACGAAAACCCAUUUGAAUCCCACAGGGAAAACUCUGGGAGGUGUAGGUAUUGCUUCAGUGAAUACCUUUCGUUUACUGAGCGAGGCUAACUCUACUUGGAUUGCAUCCUUCCAUUUAGGCCAGUCGGAGCGUUUCUUGCACUCUGCCAUGGUCUUUGGAUCAUGAUCAUUUAGAAGGUUGUCUGCAACUGUAGUUGAGAAAUAUAUGUCGACAAUAGUAGACUUACGAUUGUAACAUUCUCCAGAAUCCAUAUAGUUGGUGGAAAUUUCAUUUACCCAUGUUGACUGGUCGUGAUUUCCCAAUACGAUUGAGUCAGGAUUUUCCGAUGUCCCAGUCAUUGAGUGCACAACUGAGCUGGGUUGUGGAGGCCGUUCUUCCACUGGGUGUUCAUAACCCAUUUGAUGAUUAUCAACGCUAGGUUGAUUUACAUUUACUGGUUCAUAGGGUUUCUUCCUCUGUUUCCUUUGUUGCUUGCGAGAAGCUGAAUCCUGUUCUGUGGCCGUAUUUCUCCCCCUCUUCCUUUGAACAGGGGGUUGAGUGGUUUUUGUUGCUACCUCCACUCUUUCGGGCGCAUUUCUGGCAGGAUUGUAGGAUUUUGUAACACCUUUAUAGUCAGUAAAUGAAUCUGGCAGGUUAUUUGCAAUAUGUUGCAAAUUAAUUAUUUUCCGAACUUGAAGUUCAGUUUCUUGAGUACGUGGAUCAGAGGAGGAAAUGUCUUGGGCAUUCCAAUCGAUUUCCGGGCAUUCUUUUUGGUACUUGAUGUCUCCCGCUAAUGCCGGGAAAUGUUCCUCAUUAAAGAUGCAGUCAGCGUGACGGGCUGUGAAUAGAUCCCCAGUUAGGGGUUCAAGGUACUUGAUUAUCGACGGUGAUUUGUACCCCACAUAGAUCCCCAAUUUCCUAUGUGGGCCCAUGGAUGUACGCUGCGGUGGUGAGAUGGGCACAUAUGUGGCGCAUCCGAAUUUACGCAGAUGGGAAAUAUUUGGUAGGUUUCCACGUACUAAUUGCAGAGGGGAAGUGUUGUGAUAUGCAGUUGGUCGCAAUUGAAUUAAGUCAGCAGCGUGUAAAACUGCGUGACCUCAACAUGAAGUUGGUAAGUUGCAAUUCAUUAGCAAGGGUCGUGCAAUGAGCUUAAUUCUCUUAAUUAGAGAUUCUGCCAAUCCAUUUUGUGUGUGGACAUAUGGGACCGAGUGUUGAACUUCAAUUCCUAGGGCCAUGCAAUAAUCGUUGAAAGCACGCGAGGAAAAUUCAGCAGCAUUGUCCAUUCGAAUUGAUUUAAUUCGAUUUUCGGGAUAAUGAGCUUGUAAUUUAAUAACUUGCCUCACUAUCUUGGCAAAUGCAUGGUUUCGUGUGGAUAAUAGGCACACAUGAGACCAUCGUGUAGAUGCGUCAAUUAGAACCAUGAAAUACCUAAAAGGUCCAGACAAUGGUUGGAUAGGACCACAAAUAUCACCUUGAAUGCGUUCAAGGAAUUGUAGUGGUUCUGCUUUAAUUUUAAGAUAGGAGGGCCUUAAAAUGAGUUUCCCAGUAGCACAUGCGGUGCACAUGAAAUCCGAAGAUUGUGGGAAUUUAGCUUCAUUUAAGUCAUGACCAUUGGAAUUGCAGAUAAUUUUUCUCAUCAUCCCGAUACCGGGAUGACCAAGGCGAUCAUGCCAAGUUUGGAAUGCAUUUACAUUCUGAAAAAUUACCUUAUACGCAACGUGUUCUACGGGUUUUAUGUAAGUGUAGUACAAUCCUGAUGAUAAAGAGGGAAUUUUCUCAAAUAUUCGUUUGCCAUAUCCGUUAUUUUUGGUAAAGAGGAGAUAUUCCUCUUUAUUGUCUUCAUGAGUUUCGAUGUGGAAACCAUUUUUACGGAUAUCUCUAUAACCUAUGAGGGUACGAGUUGAAUCAGGAUACAAUAAAGCAUCCUCAAUUACAAUUUGUGUACCCAUAGGGAGGGUAAAUAUGGCACGUCCACUGCCAACAAUUACCGCAUCGCGUCCAGCGGUUGUUAAAAUAUCUCCAUUCAACUUUGUAAGAGUUUGAAAAUACUUUACGUCCCUAAGUAUAGAGUUUGUGGUGCCACUGUCCACAAGGCACAUUUCCUCCUCCAUUGGAUUUAACUCCCGUAGAAAUCUAUAUAUUAAAAUGUGGAAUUUUUAGUUUAAUGAAAAUACUUUAUUGAAUAUAUAGAAUACAUAUAACUUUAUUGUUACCAAAGUGCUGACACAAUAUACAUAAUAUAUAGAAAGGACGACUACAACAAUAAUAUUAAUAAUAUGUUCUUAUUACAACAAUCUAAUGGAUGUACACCAAUAAAAUAUCUAAAUGGUGUCAAUAGUCUAGUCAAAGUCUCCGAACAUGUCGGUGGCGUAUUCUGUCAUCAUAUUCUCCGUGUCCAUGGAGUCCUGCGGUAGAUGGAAUUCCUUGUUGUUACUUGGUGCUCCUUGAACAUCUUGUGAACAGCCAGCUUCCAUGUUGUUGUCAGGUUGAAGAUUGAAGUGAGAUUCAUAUCUUGCUCCUUGGGCAGGUUUGUUACGUCCCAUGGAUUGCAGGUAGAGGUUUACCAGAUGUCUUGGGGUGCGGCAUUUUUUGGUGUCAUGCUUGUAGCAUCCACAUUUCUGGCAAAGUUUAGUUUUGUCAAACUUAUUCUUUGUUAACCAUAUUUUUGUUGCUCGGUUAAUUGCGCAACUCCAGCCUGGUCAGGUGGUAGGAGUGCACCUGCAACUCCACGGGAUGCAAGACUAACUUUAACAUCCAUAGCCCAUGUAGGAUAGUUAUGCCCGUCGAGCGCAAGCUCUUCAAAUUCUUUGACGGCCAUUUUGUCCUACAAGAUUAAGAACCAGAUAUUUGAUCAAUUUACUUGUAUGUAAAUUAAAAUCAUCAUGGUCAUGUUGUAAUAAAAUUUGUAAAAUCGUGAGUUCAAGUGAAGACUUGAAUUUUGUUUGGUGUAGUCCUCAAACAUCUAUCACUAUAUUUUCGAGAUAUCAACUUUUGGAGUUGGUCUCGUUUUGUGAUAGUCACCUCACAAUUUUAUUUUAUUUUUCAUAUCAAUUCAAUUUGAAUUAAGUCACGCCUUUUUAGGCAUUUUUGAACUUAAUUGAUGGUGAGUUGAUAUUUAAUUUUGCAAGAAAAUAAAUUUCAAUUGCAAAAUAAUAUUAUUAUACCAUUUAUAUAUGUAAUAGGGAUUGCACGAUGCAAACACAUUGAACAUAUAAUGAUUUAUAGACACAAUAUCGUCUAAACAUCGAUUUACACAUUGACUGAGUACAUUUACAUAAAAUCUAAAACAUGAGAAGUACUAGUACUAGUACUAGUGUUAGUCGGUCACUUUGCUAGUGCUAAUGCAUGCAUACAACUAUUAAAUAAAGGAAUAUAUUGCUGGUGGCCACGCAUAGUAGUCUAGAAAGGACCAGGUUGGCGAGAAUGGCUAGGAGCGACCCAAGCCACAUCUCAUUCCCCAUUACUUUCACCAGCACAGACGGAGGCCCAUGGCCGCUCGGCCGCAUCACCAGCAGCGAGAGGAGCUCCCGACAUGCUCUUCCUUGCCGGAGAAGCCAAGGGAGGCGGGAUUCCAAGUGCCUGCACAGAAGCCGGGCUGGCGGGAGGCCAUGGCCGCAGCAAAUUGGUGUAGGAGCCGGCGAGCUUCGUGUGGCGGCGUUGGUGCUGGUGGCCCAGCCGGCAACGUUGCCUGAGCCGGAGGUGAGGCUGGGGCCGCAUUCGAUGACUCCUCGUCCUCACGCUUGAUCUGGACUUGGAGGUCGAGGGCGGAUGGCGCGGCAACGAGGGGUGCGCCGGCUUCCUCGUCCGGUGGCGGCGAAUCGAGUUCAGGGACCAGACCAUAUCCCGGCGGCAUGAAGUGCUCCGGGUCCUCGUCGCUUAGUGUCGGCGUCGGCGUCGGCGUCGGGAGGUCCAUGUACGCGUCUGGACCCAACCCCGGCGGGAACUCGUACUCCUCGAGUUCGGCGGUCGGCGUUGGCGACGGUGGGUUGAAGAUGACGGCCGGCUGCGGAGGACUCGCGCCGUAGCCCUGCAUUGGGCAGAAGGCGAUGCCCCUGCGGGCAGGGCAAGGCCCGUACCCGUGCUCCCGCCUCUACCUGCGGUGGCCCGACGACACCAAAGGAAGCGGCACCGCCGAGCUGGCCGCCGCACACCGCGACCUCCUCCUCUUCAGGCUCGUCUACUUUGACCUCCACCUCACAUAUGACCACUUCCUUUGCGUGGCAUCCUCGGAUCCUGUGCCGCACAUCGAGCUCAAACGGCUCCCCCUUUGCACCAUACCAAUGGUCCUACCUCCCUUUUUCAAGGAAGACACGGUGGAACCCAUGACCACACAUCGAUGGUUUCUGUCCAACACAGUAGGGCUCGUUCGUGGAUCAUCCCCUGGCCAUGAAGAUGAGUUUGUCCUCGCACAGCUGGCCAGCAUCACUAAUACACCGGGCACACACGAUCUCAAGGAAGCUGAAGUGUGCGUGCUCCGCUCACGCGUAUCAGCUACCGAUGAUGAAGGCAAAUGGGAGCUUCAAAAAAUACCCAUCCAGCAUAAGGAGCAUCAAUACUGGCGACUCGACGAUUGGUCGACGAGCGCUGUCACCACCUUCAACAACCUUAUUUGCUGGAUUUGCUACUACACUGGAGGUAUUCUAUUUUACGAUGUGUUCGCGGAAACGCCCCGCAUCUCUUAUCUACGGUUACCUACCCACAACCGUCCGUUAUAUCGAGAAAGGGGUUUUCUUGAGGUGAACCGCAGCAUAUGUGUCACCGAUGGGGGUGACGCUCUCAAGUACACUUCUGUUGUUCGCACCGAUGAUCGGCUCUGUGGCCCGCUUGAACAUCGCGAGGGUUAUAGAAUCAUUGCUGAUAUUUUGAAGACAACGGAGAUUGCUGACAUGGAGUGGGUCCGCGAGCCGAUAGUGACGGCUUCUGAGUUCUGGCGUCACAACACCUCUGAACGUCUCCCGCGUGAUGCCGUCCCCGAGUACCCUCUUGUGAGCAUGCACGACCCUAGCAUCAUAUACUUUCUGCUGUCCGAGGAAGAAGAAAAGAUUAACAAGGUUUCGGUCGUUACCAUGGAUAUGGUCACUAACAAGAUGAUUUCAGUUUUUCCAUACAUUAAAGGAGAGGAAGACCUCUAUGGCGAAGAUGCCGACAUGGUGCAAGAAAAAUCCCACCUUCUCAAGUCCUUCCUUACAUCCGAGUUCCCCAAGUUCUUGAAUCUCAAGUAGGCAUUGAUCAAUGCGCUCAAUUUCUUGUACUUCUAGAGCAUUUUAGAGACAAUAAGUCUGUGAUAUGAGUGCAAUCAUUCUAAACUUUAGUUUGACGCAAGCUCAUUGUGAUGACAUGGUAUCUCUAUGGCUCUAUCCUAGUUGUUAAUUAUUAGAACGUUAGAAAGGAAGCCCAGUUUUCUAUGUGCGAUGGCCACCCCGGCUGGCUGGAUUGGUGUUGAGAAACCCCGGCUAGCACGUACGUAGAGGCACUUCUAAGCCAUUCCGCGGGAAUAAAAUAACCAGCCGCUAGGUACUUCAAAAUUACUGACCUCUUUCCUCCUAUGGUUAUGGUACGGCAUGCAGCUAACCAGUGCAACUAGAUUCUUCUAGUCUAGUACUCACUGGAUUUAGGAUGAUUUCGUAAUCAAGAGAAGAAGAAAACUAAAGAACUGAGAUGUCUGUUUGCUGUAGGAUUUUUUCAUAGCAUCUCACUUAAUGAUAAAAAAUCUUAAAAAUUAGGCUAAUAUGAACACAAUACCAAGGAAUCUAUGAACGGAUGUUGCACAUAGGAAAAAACUAUCUCGUGCGAAGAAAUCCCGCGACAAUCCUCUAUGGUCUCCUUCGACUCAAGAAAAAAAGGGUGAAGGAAACACAUAGGACAGUAUUUUUUUUCCUCGGUGCCACUGUUCAAGCCUUUGGCUGAAAAAGUAAUGCAACAAAGUAAAUUUCCUUUACUCCCAGUUAAAAAUGCAUGUUUUACAAUCUACUUGAACCUUCGUUCUUACAAGCAUGCAGCAUGAGAAUUUUAAAAUUAUUAUGCUAUUUAUUUAAUAAAUAUUUUACAACUAUAUACAAUAAUUGAACAAAAAAAUCAUAAGCAUUUUCAAUUUUAAUUAUCAUAUUAUUAUUAUUAUUACUCUAAUGUUCAUGUUUCAUACAACCAAAUCUUACAAAAAUAUGUUGUAAAAUAUCCCCGCAACAAAGUCUAGGGUGUCAUCUUCUUUUUUUUUAGAAAAAAAAAGAGACAGCCGAGCUAGAUAGGAAAAAAACUCAUUAGGGAACAAAUUAAGUAGGCUUAGUUGAAUACUCGUUGUAGUCAAGGUGGCUGAGCCUGUAAAUGCACUUCAGCUUGUUAUCUUGCAUGUUGUAAGAGUGUCCCCAAACAGAACUAGCAGAGCCAAAGAGCUCAUUAUCAACAUGAUAUAUUUGAGUUCCGCUCCCGUCGCCGUUGUUGUUGUAGGUAGCGUGGUAAGCAUCCAUGAAUAUUUCAUAGUUUCCACUGACACAUUUGUCCGCAGUCACUCCGCGCCAAGCGAGCCCUUCGUCAUCCUCAGACCCAGGCCCCCCAACUCAAAGACAUGGAACCCAUAUGGGACAUAUGAACCAUGUGGCCCGCAGCAAUUCAUCAAGACCUUGACCAAAAGCAGCUUGUGCGGUAGUGCAACAAGGUGAAGGUACUCAAACUCCUCUCGCUCACUACUACCGCAUAACUUGAAGCCAAAGUUAAACGUCGCUGGGGCACCUCGAUCUGGUAAAUGAUCUUGAGUGUCAUGGCAUCGAACACGAACGUGACAUAGUUGUUGUCCAUAGCAAACAUCUUGCCAUCAAAGUAGGCAAAUUCGAGGAAGCUAGUAUCGGAAUUAGAGUUGUCAAUCAUUGUCGAAGUGGAAGUAAUUUGAAAGACCGUGGUAGUUGUCGUAAGAAACAUGACUGUAGUGGGCAUGGAUCUUGAUCUUAAGCUGUCGAUAAUGAUAGACCACCGGUUAUAUAUAUUUUCUAUAUAAGCUAUCCAUGUCGAAAAAAUCCGCUUCACUAUCGGUAAACUGCUCGUCUGAAUCCUCGGAAGAAGGCACUUCUUAUGAGUUUUUCGUCGUGAUCUUCGUAAACGAUCUUCUCGCAGGAACUCCCCUCGCGGGAUGAGUGUGCUUGGUCAUCAUGUAUGAUUAUUUGUUAUACAUAGUGCCAUGGUCUUGAUAACCGUCCCCGUCGUCCCUCGUCCAGUUUAUGAUUGGGAUGUGGUAUAUUUUCUUUUAUAACUAUUUGUUGCAUAUCUCGUUUAUAUGACAAUUAUGCACAUCAAGUUAAAAUACAUAUUUUUCUCUAGAAGGUAUGUGAAGUGGAAAUUGGAACCGACCCUCUUGUCAAGAAGUUAAAUUUAGUUAAAAAUAAAAUGAGUAUUUGAAAGAAAAAUUAAAAAGAAUUGACGAAGAGAAGAUGAAAUUGGAGUUGUAUGUUGCAGAUGUCGUCAAUGAUCACAAGAUCAACAUGGAUGCAAUGCGUCUUGGUAUUGUGAUCCUUCAAUGACACCCCACAUCUACUCGCGCCUCCUUUCGUGUUCGUUCUAGCUAGGCCGGGCCUUAUCCUAGGCGUCCUUUUUUUCUCAUCUGUUUUAAGCUUGUUACUUGUAUGGUUUUUGGUCCAGUUUUCCUUAUAAACGGGGUCAAUUUGUUUAGGUAUUCGAUCUGAUUUCCCUUAUAAACUGGAUUAGACAAAGCUUGAGGGGUGACUCUUGGCUUUGGCAGCUUUUUGAGCAAUAUAUUCAGACGGGAGGAUCCCCUCUCCCGACUGUUAAAAAAAGAUCACUUGAAGCAACAAAAGGCAUUAGACCAGGUAACCCCUAAAUUACACCCCUAGCAAGAAAAUUGACAAAAAUUGGCAUGACCAAAUGAUAAUUGAUUCAGAGAAAAGAAAACAGCAUGAAAACACUAUUUUACUGACGUAAUGAACAACCAAGCAGACUAACAUAUCACCAUUCUUUGCUAACAGUCAUUGCACAUCACCCUGACGUUCAUAUGAAUAUCAGAGACUACACAAAUCAAGUGCAACACAGACGAACAUCUUCAUUUUCUGCAGCAAAUUCAGUUCUAAGUAACAACAACCCAUGUAGCUGCAACUAAACUAGAAGCAACAAAAGGUAUCUUCAUUUCAGCUCAGGACAGGGGCAGAUUCUAUCUAAUUAAAUCCUUGGGGGUGGGUAUUAACAUUACAUGAUUAGCCAAGUGUUAAUUGGGUUCAUAUCAUUCCUCUUGUUCAGAAGAAGCAGAAGCACGCCACUUCACUUCCGCCUCCCAGCGCAAUUGAGGUAGUCAUGGUGGCCAUGUUUUUAAGGCGUCGCCUUAUGGACGCUUUAGGCGGUAAGGCGCCAUGACUAAAUUAUGCUGCUGCAACUGACAAACUCAUAUGGCAGACAUAUGUAUAUGUAACAGAGGAUUUGCUGGCAACAGUGUGAUUAACGACCAACCAGAUGAACAUGUAACCAUAAAACCAUUCCUUUCUAGUCAGUCGUUGCCAAAAAGAUUCAGUACCGAUAAUAUACCAAAGCCUUAAACUUCAGAUAAACACCAGAGGAGACUGAACAGAACAAGUGCAGACAUCUUAAUGCUCUGCAGCAAACCCAUUAAGUAGUAACUAGCUGCCAUUAGAGCUCGCAUAACCGUAACAGCAUCACGAAGAGCAAUAAAAGGCGUCGCCGUGCAAGUUCUGUGUAACUAAAUCCUACUAUGUAGGUAUUAAUGUUGGAACUCAACCCUCAAGAUCGAUUACAUUAAAUCACGAUAAACACACGCACACAAAAUCUUGUAGCCAAGGGCCCUUGUCGUGUCCUAAUUUUCCCUUUUAUUGCUUCCUUCUGUCUCAACUCAAGGUCAUGGUCGUGUGUAUAUAUAUACACAGCCAAACCAACCAACGCAUCAGACCAAGUCUUACACGGACACCAACUCAGCCAAUGCAAGGCAAUAGCCACACACGUAUCCUACUAGUACUUCUACAUCUGAUUACAAGCACUACUAGAACACGUAUGAGACUGGUACCAAACCUAGUCGGACGUCUAAUAUUUCGUCUACCAAAAACGUCAUCAAUUAACCUAACCUAAUACGUACAACGACUAGUACUCUUGGUUCUGUACCUCUAAGCCAAAACCUGCCCACUACAAAGUCUGAACCGACUUGGACUCAAACUACACGUACCGGAUACAGCCUACCACUAGAACACUGCUAACUUUCCACGGCAGCGCUGAUCACACACAACUAAACAUAGCAACGUAAAUAAGAUUAUCUAACAAUUAACACAAUAUAACUUCACUGGGUGUUAGUUGGAGCCAUCUCAUUCAUCUUCAUCAGAAAGUGGAAGUUCGCCUCUCGGGGCAGUUGCGGUAGUCAUGGUCAAGUACAUAUUCCUUACAGAACCCGCACAGCCUUCCUUUUUUUCUGUGGAUUUGCCUGGUACACAGGAGGAUCUAGUCAGUAACAACUAUAUACAACUAUUCGUAAGUGGAAAAAAUGUUUUCAACAGAGGACAUGGCAUGCCCAUAUCAUAGCUAAAUGGAUGAUUUACUGCGAGUAAAAGAAUGAAUAGCAUCAGGAUAAGUCAUGUGCAGCUUCUAAAAAUUAUCAUAAUAUUUUAAAUAUUAAGAUGCGCUAGUUAUAUCAAGUUUUUGGGACAUGUCAAUGAGAUAUAACACUAUGGAGAUUGCUUGCUUAAUUCAUACAUUAUAGCACCCAAAUAAAAGUAAUGUGAUGGCCCUAGGAAUAUAGGGGCUAAGGCAGAAUGAAAGUAAUUUGUAAUACACUUAUACACAUAACAUCUACAGCUGGCUCAGUAGUCAAGACAGAGGCAAUUAAUCUAGAGGCACACGGGUAUGAAUUGAAUUCCGUGUAGAGCUUACGGUCUUUCUGUAGUACUCAUUCUCAGCUCUCAACUCUUCAUUCUGCUUCUUCAAAGACUUGUUCUCCUCUGUCUUGAGAUGCAACUCCAGUUUGAGUCUCCGAACCUGUUCGGCAUCGAGCUCUUCGGUCUUGCUAACGAUCUGCAGCCUCACCAUCUGAUUCUCAGCUCUCAGACACUCACCUGCAAUAAUACAAAAGAUUAUCAAGAAACUCAUUGUGUAUUUUGAAAUGUGCGGGUACUAAGAGCUAGUGAUUAUUUUUUCUAUACCGUGACUUGUUUUGUUCUGGAUUUCAAUUCCAAUUGGUUGCACUCCGUUCGGUGUCACACUCACAGUUGCUUUCCUCUUCCUUCCUUGCUCCCAGCCUCCAAUCUGAACAUACUUGUCCGCAGAAACAUACUUGUCUGCAUUUGAACAUUUCACUUGCACAUUACUCGAAAUGUAACAAAUAAAUCACAGAUAAUGAGGCACACAUUCUACUCAUGAUGAAAGUGCAUACAUGGAAAAUGUGUUCUAUAAGUAGCAAUUGCAACAAGGUUUGUGUGAUCAAUACUUCUUUAUACCUUGACCUUCUUUGUUCUGGAUCUCAAGCAGCCCGCUUCCAAUCUGUAUGUGGUUGUCCCCAGAAACAUGCUCGGCUGCAUUUAAACAUUUCAUUCGCAUGCCACCCAAAUAAGUAAGUAGUAAAUCUCAGAGACACCAAAGCACACACUCCAGUCAUGAUGAACUGCAUACAUGGAUAUUGUGUUCUAUAAGUAACAAUUGCAAGAAGGGGUGAUCGAUACUUCCUCAUACCUUCACCUUCCUCUUCACCUUCAGAAGCCCGUGGCGUACUUAGUUUGGCGGCUGCUUCUCUGUUCCUUCCCUGCAGCUCACCUUGACGCGGAAAAUGGCCAUCCUCAGAAACCCCCUCCUCUGCAACUGAUAUUUCCAUUUGCAACAUCACUCAGGUAUCAAAAUCCACUCAAUUUCAUAGAUAUAGCACCAAUUGAAUGGAAAGCCAAGAACAUUGCCGGUCUACGCCACAGCCAGUACCAAAUGCUCUGCUCUGCUACUGAUUGUGUUGACAUAAAUGUAGUUGUACAGACUGUACAUAAAUAUAGAAAACAAACGCAUUUGGCUGAUCGUUGAUUAGGAUUCACAUUGUGGAGUCGAUCGAUNNNNNNNNNNNNNNNNNNNNNNNNNNNNNNNNNNNNNNNNNNNNNNNNNNNNNNNNNNNNNNNNNNNNNNNNNNNNNNNNNNNNNNNNNNNNNNNNNNNNNNNNNNNNNNNNNNNNNNNNNNNNNNNNNNNNNNNNNNNNNNNNNNNNNNNNNNNNNNNNNNNNNNNNNNNNNNNNNNNNNNNNNNNNNNNNNNNNNNNNNNNNNNNNNNNNNNNNNNNNNNNNNNNNNNNNNNNNNNNNNNNNNNNNNNNNNNNNNNNNNNNNNNNNNNNNNNNNNNNNNNNNNNNNNNNNNNNNNNNNNNNNNNNNNNNNNNNNNNNNNNNNNNNNNNNNNNNNNNNNNNNNNNNNNNNNNNNNNNNNNNNNNNNNNNNNNNNNNNNNNNNNNNNNNNNNNNNNNNNNNNNNNNNNNNNNNNNNNNNNNNNNNNNNNNNNNNNNNNNNNNNNNNNNNNNNNNNNNNNNNNNNNNNNNNNNNNNNNNNNNNNNNNNNNNNNNNNNNNNGAGGACCGAAAGUCAUGCAAUGUCAUGGUUCCAUCUCAAAGUCAUGGGUUGGUUCCAUCCUUGUGUUUAGUUGAUGAUAAAAAGUGUCAUGGGUUGGUUCCGUCCCGGUGUUUAGUUGGAGAGAUGAAAUGAGAAGAAUUUGAUGCCACUCACCUCUUCGAUAUAAAUGGUGAGAUUACGCCUGUGAACAAAUAAAGUUCUUUGCAUUUGACAAGCCUAUAAUUUAAAUUUUUAGUAACAUUUUCUUUCUAUUUUUGACACAUGUAAAUAAAAAUAUAUGAUCAAGAGUACAUACCAAAUAUUUACGAAAAAUUAUCACAAAAAUGAAAAAAUAACCACGAAAAAAAUAAUCACGAAAACGAAAAAAAUAACCACGUAAAAAUAACCAAAAAAAACCACGAAAACUUUUGUUCAGGUGCGGGGGUGAGCGCGGUGAGAAAUGCUUGGUUAUUUCUUUUUUUCUUUGCUUUCAUGGACGAAUAACGUGUCAAUUCCUCUAAAUCGGCGGAAUCACUUGGUGAAGCAUCUGGAGGGAAUAUUCCUUGCAUGCGGAUGACCCAAUUCCGGUUCCUAACUCAACUAAACACGAGAACGGCUCCUAGGGAUGGAACCAACCCGUCCGAUUCCACCUCAUCCUGAAACCAAACACACCCUUACACCGUGGGCACGCUUAGGGACGCAUUCGUUGACACUGCGCGUCGAACUCUCAUAUGUUGGGUCACACAUUCACCCACCCCAAAUGUAAUUUUUAAAUUCAUGCAAUCCAUGCACGUCGAUCAUCCGAUACAAAUUGUUCGAAUUCAACGUCGGCGUGGCAGGGGAGACAUCUACUCACACCAUGUCCGCGUCUACCUGCGACGCGGCCACCGUCUCCCUCUCUCGCUGCCGGUGACGCUGCAACUUCCGGAUGACGUUCUCUACCUUGCAAGACGCAGUGGAGGAAGGGACGCCAACGGACAAGGCAGACUGCGCCUCCGUCGCGGCGGUCGGAGACGGGAUGGAAGACAUCACGACAGCAUAUCGAGACCCGUGUUGAGGAUGAGGAGCAAGAGUGAUGGACGACAAGGGCUCGGUCGCGAGAAAUGUUGGAGGGCGGCAGGAGAAGGAGGAAGGAUUUGGUGCACUAUGCGGUAGGGGCGGGAUGUGAGAUUCUACAUGGCGGGCGUGCUCGGACGCGCUUGUGCGCCCCCAUAUCCACCUCAUAUUUAGGCUGGAUAUGAGGGGUGCCGGUCAGCCCGGAUGUAUGAGGCACGUUUAAGAAGCCCCUCUGGGUCAAAAUUUUGUGACCGGACGGGUAUGAGGGGUCCGGAUGUAGAUGCUCUAACCAUCACAGAAGAGGUUCUCGAAAAGCAACACCCACAAACGUUGUCAUUGUCCUAUCAAAGAACCUAGUUUUUCAUCCUCGGAGAAGUCCGAGCUCACCUAAAAACAAUGCCUUCAGUAAGGCCACUUCCAGGUACAGCCAACUCGGUACUCGAGGAGUACCAUCAAAAAUGCAGUCCUCAAGUGUUGUCGCCCCGCUUAUCGAGGCCAUUGUUGUUAGUCAUCAAACACCUCGCACACAGUCUUCAUCGCAUUCAAUACACACUUUCACAAAAUCUUAAAGACCCCUAAUUGCAGCCGCCAUGACAUUCUCCACCUUUAUCAAUGCCUUGAAAAUCUUGACUUAGACAUGUCCCAUGACACCUAUAAAAAGCGCAGCUUCGCAUCACACCCUUUCUCAGGCCGUGAUGGCUGAUAAUAUGAAUGCACACGAUCGAAAUGUUUCCGAUCUAAAUAUCCAGGAGCAACGCUAAUCCAUAUAGAACUCCGACUUGGAAGACCGAAACUCAUUAGCGGAAAAGUCCAAUAAGUCGUCAUCCGGCAAUAAGUCGUUAACUCCACGAGCCGACGACCACAACGGAGCCGGCCACCCAGGACCCAUGUCGCCCUGCUUAAGCGGUUGGAUCGUCCCCUCUAUUGUCUGACACCCCUGACCGCCUAGGGCACACCACGUUGACCCGACACACUGCCACGCUGUUACGCCCACCACCAGCGUUGUAGAGGCCCCACGCGAGGAGAAGAAACCACCCUGUCAUGGCCUACAGGGAUUUGUCCGGUUGCGCUCACUCCAGACGGCGACAUAGGGGCGAGAGGAGGAGGGGGAUCCCCGCCAGCGGCGGCUGGUUUAGUGCAACAUUGAGCAGUAAUCACAGAGUGGAUCCACAUUAACACAUAUGGUCCAGUCGGGGCGCAUCAUAUCAAAAAAAGGUCGAGCAUGUGUCAUCUCAUUCUGAAACGUGUGGUGCUGAGACUGUUGGGAAUAUGCCCUAGAGGCAAUGAUAAAUAGUUAUUAUUAUAUUUCUUGUUUCAAGAUAAUCAUUUAUUAUCCAUGCUAUAAUUAUAUUGAAUGAAAACACAGAUACAUGUGUGGAUACAUUGACGAAACAAUGUCCCUAGCAAGCCUCUAGUUGGCUAGCCAGUUGAUCAAGGAUAGUCAAAAUUUUCUGACUAUGUGCAAGUGUUGUCACUUGAUAACUGGAUGACAUCAUUAGGAGAAUCAUGUGAUGGACUAGACCCAAACUAUGAACAUAGGAUAUUGAUCGUGUCAUUUUGUUGCUAUUGUUUUCUGCGUGUCAAGUAUUUAUUCCUAUGACCAUGAGAUCAUAUAACUCAUUGGCACCGAAGGAAUACCUUGUGUGUAUGAAACGUCGCAACGUAACUAGGUGACUAUAAAGGUGCUCUACAGGUAUCUCCGAAGGUGUCUGUUGAGUUAGUAUGGAUCAAAACUGGGAUUUGUCACUCCGUCUGAUGGAGAGGUAUCUCGGGGCCCACUCGGUAAUACAACAUCACACACAAGCCUUGCAAGCAAUGUGCCUAAGUGUAAGUCACGGGAUCUUGUAUUACAGAACGAGAAAAGAGACUUGCCGGUAACGAGAUUGAAAUAGGUAUGCGGAUACCGACGAUUGAAUCUCGGGCAAGUAACAUACCGAAGGACAAAGGGAAUGACAUACGGGAUUACAUGAAUCCUUGACACUGAGGUCCAACCGAAAAGAUCUUUGGAGAAUAUGUAGGAUCCAAUAUGGGCAUCCAGGUCCGGCUAUUGGAUAUUGACCGAGGGGUGUCUCGGGUCAUGUCUGCAUAGUUCUCGAACCCGCAGGGUCUGCACACUUAAGGUUCGAUGAUGUUUUAGUAUAGUUGAGUUAUAUGUGUGGUUACCGAAUGUUGUUCCGAAUCCCGGAUGAGAUUACGGACGUCACGACGGUUUCCGGAAUGGUCCGGAAACGAAGAUUGAUAUAUAGGGUGGUUUCAUUUGGUCACCGGAAAGUUUCGGGCAAUUCCAGCAGUGUACCGGGAGUGACUAAUGGGUUUCGGGUGUUUACGGGGAGGGCCCCACCCACCCGGGAGUGAUCCCAAGGCCCUAGGGUGGCGCACAAAGUCCUUAGUGGGCUGGUGGAGUCAGCCCAAGAGGGCUAUGGCGCCACAAGUAAAAAUACCAAAGGAAAGAAGAAGAAAAAGGGAAGAGGGAGGUGGGAAGGAAUAGGAGGACUCUUCCUUCCCAAACCGAAUUGGAGGAGGAGUCCUCCUCCACCCUUGCGGCCGGCGCACCCUUGGGGCCCUUGUGCCCUAAGGCUAGCCCCUCCCAUCCUCCUAUAUAUAUUGGUGGUUUUGGGUUUUUUGAGACACAACUUUGCCACGUGCAACUCAAGCCUAUUCCACAUAGUUUUACCUCUACAUCGGAUUUCUGCGGAGCUCGGGCGGAGCCCUGCAGGAGUAGAUCAUCACCACCACUGGAGCGCCGUCACCCUGUCGGAGAACUCAUCUACUUCUCCGUCUUGCUUGCUGGAUCAAGAAGGCCGAGAUCAUCGUCGAGCUGUACGUGUGCUGAACGUGGAGGUGUCGUCCGUUCGGUGCUAGAUCGGAAUGGAUCGUGGGAUGACGGUGAUUUGAAUCACGAAGUUGUACCACUACAUCAACCACGUUUUUUAACGCUUCUCGAUCAGUGAUCUACAAGGGUACAUAGAUCUAAUCUCCUCUCAUAGAUGGACAUCACCAUGAUAGGUCUUCGUGUGCGUAGGAAUUUUUUUGUUUCCCAUGCAACGUUCCCCAAUAGUGGCAUCAUGAGCUAGGUUCAUGCGUAGAUGUUAUCUCGAGUAGAACACAAAAGAUUUUGUGGACGGUGAUGUUCUAUUUGCUGCCCUCCUUAGUAUUUUUUCGAUUCGGCGGUAUUGUUGGAUUGAAGCGGCCCGGACCGACAUAACUCGUACGCUUACGAGAGACUGGUUUCAUCGACUGACAUGCAACCUCGUUGCAUAAAGAUGACUGGCGGUUGUCGGUUUCUUCAACUUUAGUUGAAUUGGUUUUGACCGAGGCGGUCCUUGGAGAGAGGUUAGAUAGAAAUUUGCACAUCUCCGUUGUGGUUUUUGCGUAAGUGAGAUGCGAUCAUACUAGAUACCCAUAGCAGCCACGUAAAACAUGCAACAACAAAUUAGAGGACGUCUAACUUGUUUUUGCAGGGUAUGCUUAUAUGAUAUGACCAAUGACGUGAUGUGAUAUAUUGGAUGUAUGAGAUGAUCAUGUUGUAAUAGUUAAUAUCGUCUUGCACGUCGAUGCUACGACAACCGACAGGAGCCAUAGGAUUGUCUUUAAACUAAGUUUGUGUUUGCAGAUGCGUUUACUAUAUUGCUAGGUCGUAGCUUUAGUAGUAAUAGCAUAGAUAGCACGACAACCUCGAUGGCGAGACGUUGAUGGAGAUCAUGGUGUGGCUCCGGUGACAAGAAGAUCAUGCCGGUGCUUUGGUGAUGGAGAUCAAGAAGCACAAGAUGUUGGCCAUAUCAUGUCAGUUAUGAAUUGCAUGUGAUGUUAAUCCUUUUAUGCACCUUAUUUUGCUUAGAACGACGAUAGCAUUAUAAGGUGAUCUCUCACUAAAAUUUCAAGAUGAAAUUGUGUUCUCCCCGACUGUGCACCGUUGCGAUAGUUCGUCGUUUCGAGACACCACGUGAUGAUCGGGUGUGAUAGACUCAACGUUCACAUACAACGGGUGCAAAACAGCUGCACACACGGAACACUCGGGUUAAACUUGACGAGCCUAGCAUGUGCAGACAUGGCCUCGAAACACAUGAGACCAAAAGGUCGAGCAUGAAUCGUAUAGUUGAUAUGAUUAGCAUAGAGAUGCUUACCACUGAAACUAUUCUCAACUCACGUGAUGAUCGAACUUGAGUUAGUGAAUUUGGAUCAUGUACCACUCAAAUGACUAGAGAGAUGUACUUUUUGAGUGGGAGUUUAUUAGUAAUUUGAUUAGUUAAACUCUAAAUAUCUUAAACAUAGUCUAAGUCCACUUUGCAAUAUUUGUGUUGUAGAUCAAUGGCUCACGCAACAGUCACACUGAAUUUUAAUACGUUCCUUAAGUUGCUCCUGUAAGCUGUGAAGAAGGAUUAUGUCCUUAAUGCUGCGCUAGGAGAUGAACCACCCUCUACGGCUGACCAAGAUGUUAAGAACGCGUGGUUAACACGUAAGGAGGACUACUCAGUAGUUCAAUGUGCAGUCUUGUAUGGCUUAGAGCCGGGACUUCAACGUCGCUUUGAGCGUCAUAGAGCAUAUGAGAUGUUCCCGGAGUUGAAGUUUAUUAUUCAGAAGAACGCCCAGAUCGAGAGGUCUCAGACCUCCGAUAAAUUCUAUGCUUGCAAGAUGGAGGAGAAUUCAUCUGCCAGUGAACAUGUGCUCAAAAUGUCUGGGUACUCAAACCGUCUAACUGAGCUGGGGAUUGAACUCCCGCAAGAGGCUAUCACUGACAGAAUUCUUCAAUCACUCCCACAUAGCUAUAAGAGCUUUGUGUUGAAUUAUAACAUUAAAGGGAUGAACAAGUCACCCGACGAGUUAUUCACGAUGCUGAAAGUCGCAGAGUCUGAACUCUGGAAAGAGCAUCAAGUGUUGAUGGUCAAUAAGACCACUAGUUUCAAGAGAAACGACAAAGGCAAGAAGGGUAACUCCAAGAAGAGCGGCAAGCCUGUUUCCAAUCCGACGAAGAAACCCAAGGCUGGACCUAAGCUUGAAACAGAGUGUUAUUAUUGCAAGGGACUGGGCCACUCAAAGCGCAACUGCCCCAAGUAUUUGGCUGAUAAGAAGCCGGCCAAGGAAAAAUCAGGUAUAUUCGAUAUAUAUGUUAUUGAUGUGUACUUAACCAACUCUCGUAGUAGUGCCUGGGUAUUCGAUAUCGGUUCUGUUGCUCAAAUUUGCAACUCGAAGCAGGAACUGUGGAAUAAACGAAGGUUGGCGAAGGAUGAAGUGACGAUGCGCGUGGGAAAUGGUUCCAAGGUUCAUGCAAUCGCCGUCGGCACAGUUUCACUUCAGUUACCAUCAGGAUUAGUUAUGAACUUAAAUAAUUGUUAUUUAGUGCCUGCGUUAAGCAUGAAUAUUAUAUCUGGAUCUUGUUUAUUGCGAGACGGUUACUCGUUUAAGUGAGAGAAUAAUGGUUGUCCUAUUUCUAUGAGUAAUAUCUUUUAUGGUCAUGCACCCAAUGUGAGAGGAUUGUUCAUAUUGAAUCUUGAUAGCGAUGAUGCACAUAUACAUAACAUUGAGACCAAAAGAUAUAGAGUUAACAAUGAUAGCGCCAUGUUUUUGUGGCACUAUCGCUUAGGUCAUAUUGGUGUAAAGCGCAUGAAGAUACUCCAUUCCGAUGGACUUUUGGAGUCACUUGACUUUGAAUCACUUGACACGUGCGAACCAUGCCUCAUGGGAAAGAUGACUAAGACUCCGUUCUCCGGAACAAUGGAGCGUGCAAGUGACUUGUUGGAAAUCAUACAUACCGACGUGUGCGGUCCGAUGAGUGUGGAGGCGCGCGGCAGAUAUCGUUAUUUUCUCACCUUCACUGAUGAUUUGAGUAGGUAUGGAUAUAUCUACUUGAUGAAGCACAAGUCUGAGACGUUUGAGAAGUUCAAGCAAUUUUAGAGUGAAGUUAAAAAUCAUCAUAACAAGAAGAUCAAGUUCCUACGUUCUGAUCGUGGGGGUGAAUAUCUGAGUUUUGAGUUUGGUGCUCACUUAAGACAAUGUGGAAUUCUUUCACAGUUGACACCGCCUGGAACACCACAGCGUAAUGGUGUGUCCAAACGUCGUAAUCAUACUUUGUUAGAAAUGGUGCGGUCUAUGAUGUCUCUUACCGAUUUGCCGUUAUCGUUUUGGGGUUAUGCAUUAGAGACAGGUGCAUUCACUUUAAAUAUGGCACCAUCAAAAUCCAUUAAGACGACACCAUACGAACUGUGGUAUGGCAAAAGACCGAAGUUUUCGUUUCUUAAAGUUUGAGGAUGUGAUGCUUAUGUCAAAAAGCUUAAGCCUGAAAAGCUGGAACCCAAAGCGGAAAGGUGCGUCUUAAUAGGUUACCCAAAGGAGACAGUUGGGUACACCUUCUAUCUCAAAUCCGAGGGCAAAGUGUUAUUUGCUAAAAAUAGAGCUUUUCUUGAGAAGGAGUUUCUCUCGAAAGAAUUGAGUGGGAGGAAGAUAGAACUUGAUGAGGUUGUCGAACCUCUAGUCCCUCUAGAUGGUGGCACAGGGCAAGGGGAAACCCCUGUCGAAGCGACACCGGUUGAGGAGGAAGUUAAUGAUGAUGAUCAUGAAACUUCAGAUCAAGUUCUUAUCGGACCUCGCAGGUCGACAAGAUCAUGUACUACUCCUGAGUGGUACGGUAAUCCUUUCUUAUGAAUCAUGUUGUUAGACAACAAUGAACCUGCAAAUUAUGAAGAAGCAAUGGUGGGCACGGAUUCCAACAAAUGGUUGGAGGCCAUGAAGUCCGAGAUAGGAUCUAUGUAUGAAAACAAAGUGUGGACUUUGGAAGUAUUACCUGAAGGUCGCAAGGCUAUUCGGAAUAAAUGGAUCUUUAAGAAGAAGACAGACGCAGCCGGUAUUGUGAUCGUUUAUAAAGCUCGACUUGUGGUAACUCAUCGAGCCGACGAAUUUUAUGACUAUCUUUUUGGGAUUGCCACAAGGUUUCAUAAAAAGUUCUAUAACUCGCCGCGACUCACUGAGCCGGCCGCCGUGACUCACUGAGCCGGCUUAAGCUCUUUUGGGUACCACUAGAGCCUUGAAAACUCGUUUUACCAGCCGAGACUCAUUGAGCCGGCUAUGGUGUAACCAACACUAUUCUGUCAUAUACAUGCAUCAUCUUGCAUUGCAUCAUGCAUCAUACAUACAUAUCAUGUCGGUCUUCAAACCGGGUCAAAGCAUAAACUUCUGCAGGAGCAAAUAAAUCUUUGAUAGCCAAUAUGGUUGGAUUUUCAUCAUGGUUCAUCGUAACUAGUGUUAAAUGAUUGGGGUUUUUAAGCCAGCUCGGAAGAAUUGACUAUUGUCGAAGAGCCGCCCUAUCACAUAUAAUGCCGAGUCAUCUAAUUGACCGGCCCUUGGAUUUCUUCAACUUGUGCUCUAUAAUAAACUACAACACUUAUGUAUUUCUCAAAAAUAUAUUUGCUGGGUCACAUUACAACCACGGUCAAGGAUUUCUUUCAUCGCAAAGGUAUCAUGAGAGUGGAUAUGAUUCUACAAUGGAAGGAAUAGUCCCAAGUUGCUACAGGCACACAACCCGAUACUUGGGGGCUACAUUAUUCAAAUCAAGAUUACAUCAAAGUAUGAAAGUCCCACGUCGCAGCAAGCAUGCACCAUGACACUUGGGGGGCUAAUGCAAUCCGCUUUUCAAAUCAUCACAUCAUCAACAGACCUGGCUACCUCAAGGAGAUAAGCCGACCCUGGAGAGCUACAUAACGCUCUUUAUCCAAGUAUGGAUUCAAGGAAGCACCGGCUCAUCAUUUUUAUAAUGACCCGCUCCUUGGGGGCUACACAUUGCCGCUCAAGGUUACAUCAUCAGAUUUACAAAGUCCCUGCUCAUUAUUGCAUAAUGACCCAGCCCUUGGGGGCUACAUCAUAUGAUGUUUUAUUUUCAAAGAAGAAGAACGUGGAAGUCCCGAGUCGCCGCAAGCAAUCGACCUGUCACUGGGGGCUACACUACUCAGAUCAUAAUUUCUACAGUCCCAGGUUGCCACAGGCAAGACAACCCGACCCUUGGGGGCUACAACACUAAGUUGUUUCACAGAUCAUGAGGUUCAAAUUAAAGACCCAACCCAUCACACACUGAUGACCCGACCCUUGGGGGCUACAGGUAAUAUGGAUAUAUAAAAAAAUUGAAGAGCACAUUUCAUUUCGCCAUGGAGGUGAAGCAUUGAAAGACCGGAUCAACAUCACACGGAUUUCUUUAUCCCCAAUAGUUCGAUAUAGUCAAUUGGAGUUCAGUUGUUUGACGGUGCACUACCAAUAAUCUUGACCCGCCAUUAGCAAUCAUGACUCGCCAUUGUCAAUCAUAACCCGCCGAAGCAAGAGAAGCUGGUUCAACAUUGUGUGGAUUUCUUAUUCCUCAAAUUUUCAUCAAGCCAAAGCAUUGGAGGUCGACUCAAUGGCAUAUGUAUUUUAUUGCAAAGGACACGUACCAACAAGAUGAUUGUAAAGACGGCUCGUUAAUAUGAAUAAGAAACCCGGAUUUUUCAAGGCGCCACUUCAGUAAAUCAAGCCGGCCAGAGGAGCAAGCCGGUCCCUUAACAUAUUUAUUAUUCUUAUUUCAGGAGCUUACCUUGAAUAAAUUCAACCUAACAUGGGGGCUAAUGUUGGGGAUAUACCCCACGGUGUAACCGGCUUGAAGUAUGAUCUGCCAAGGACUUGGCGACUCACCGGUGACUUAGCAGUGACCUGGCGGGCGGGACAUACAUGACCCGGCAGGCGACCCAGCCAAAUGACGAAGGCCCAAGGCCCGACGUACACCGUGGCAUAAGGCGACUCAUAGAGAGGCCAGGAGGGCCGACUCACAAGAGAAGGCCCAAGAAGAGGAAAGACUCCCACAAGAAGGAAACAAGACCCGGAUUAGGAUUCAAGAGAGACUAGUCCUAUUUCUACUCCUAGUAGGACUCUACAUGUAAACCUACCCCUUCCACCUAUAUAAGGAGGGGUAAGGCGCCCCAAGAGGGACAAGAUUGACAACUUAGAUCUAGACAAGUCAAAUCAUGAGAUAGAUAGAUGAGACACCCACGAGAUUAGAGGUGGCGAUUCUACACACUUGUAAUCGAGAUCAUCAUCUUCAUCAAUGAAACACAAGCAGGACAUAGGCUUUUACCUCCAUCAGAGGGGCCGAACCUGGGUAAACUCGCGUCCCUCGAUUCCGACCAACCCCUCUCAAGCCACCACAUGGUUGCGAUGGCCUCACACCUAAGUCCUUGCACGAGGACAUCUGCCGUGAUAAAAACACGACAGGUAGCGAUGCUUAAGUCCGUCCGAAUCAUGUUAGCAAUAGCUGUAUUUUUCGAUCAUCAAAUCUGACAGAUCGAUGUCAAAACGGCGUUCCUUAAUGGUUUUCUUAAGUAAGAGUUGUAUAUGAUGCAACCCGAAGGUUUUGUCGAUCCAAAGAAUGCUAACAAAGUAUGCAAGCUCCAACCAUCCAUUUAUGGACUGGUGCAAGCAUCUCGGAGUUGGAAUAAGCGCUUUGAUGAGGUGAUCAAAGCAUUUGGGUUUAUACAGGAGGUUGGAGAAUCUUGUAUUUACAAGAAAGUGAGUGGGAGCUCUGUGGCGUUUCUAAUAUUAUAUGUGGAUGACAUAUUGCUGAUUGGAAACAACAUGGAGUUUUUGGAGAGCAUAAAGGAUUAUUUGAAUAAACAUUUCUCUAUGAAGGACCUGGGAGAAGCUGCUUACAUUCUAGGCAUAAGAUCUAUAGGGAUAGGUCGAGACGCCUGAUAGGACUUUCACAAAGCACGUACCUUGAUAAAGUUUUGAAGAAGUUCAAAAUGGAACAGUCCAAGAAGGGGUUCUUGCCAGUGUUACAAGGUAUAAAAUUGAGUAAGACUCAGUGCCGAGCAACUGCGGAAGAUAGAGAACAAAUGAGUUCCUUCCCCUAUGCUUCAGCCAUAGGUUCUAUCAUGUAUGCAACGUUGUGCACUAGACCAGACGUCAUCUUGGCCAUAAGUAUGGCAGACAGGUUUCAAAGUAAUCCAGGAGUGGAUCACUGAACGGCGGUCAAGAAUAUUCUAAAGUACCUGAAAAGGACUAAGGAAAUGUCUCUCGUUUAUGGAGGUGACGAAGAGCUCGUCGUAAAGGUUUACGUCGACGCAAGCUUUGACACUGAUUCGGAUGACUCUAAGUCUCAAAUUGGAUACAUAUUUAUUCUUAAUGGGGGUGCGGUAAGCUGGUGCAGUUCCAAGCAAAGCGUCGUAGCAGAUUCUACAUGUGAAGCGGAGUACAUGGCUGCCUCGGAGGCAGCAAAUGAGGGUGUCUGGAUGAAGCAGUUCAUGACGGAUCUUGGAGCUAUGCCAAGCGCACUAAAUCCAAUAACUCUGUUCUGUGACAACACUGGUGACAUUGCUUUAGCAAAGGAACCAAGGUUUCACAAGAAAACCAGGCACUUCAAAUGAUGCUUCAACCUCAUCCGCGACUACGUCGAAGGAGAGGACGUAAAUAUUUGCAAAGUGCACACGGAUCUGAAUGUAGCAGACCCGCUGACUAAACCUCUUCCACGAGCAAAACAAGAUCAACACUAGAACUGUAUGGGUGUUAGAUUUAUUACAAUGUAAAUCGCAUGGCGAUGUGAGGACUAGAUUAUUGACUCUAGUGCAAGUGAGAGAGUGUUGGAAAUAUGCCCUAGAGGCAAUGAUAAAUAGUUAUUAUUAUAUUUCCUGUUUCAAGAUAAUCAUUUAUUAUCCAUGCUAUAAUUGUAUUGGAUGAAAACAUAGAUACAUGUGUGGAUACAUAGACGAAACAAUGUCCCCAGCAAGCCUUUAGUUGGCUAGCCAGUUGAUCAAGGAUAGUCAAGGUUUUCUGACUAUGUGCAAGUGUUGUCACUUGAUAACUGGAUCACAUCAUUAGGAGAAUCAUGUGAUGGACUAGACCCAAACUAUGAAUGUAGCAUAUUGAUCGUGUCAUUUUGUUGCUAUUGUUUUCUGCGUGUCAAGUAUUUAUUCCUAUGACCAUGAGAUCCUAUAACUCACUGGCACCGGAGGAAUACCUUGUGUGUAUCAAACGUCGCAACGUAACUGGGUGACUAUAAAGAUGCUCUACAGGUAUCUCUGAAGGUGUCCGUUGAGUUAGUAUGGAUCAAGACUGAGAUUUGCCACUCCGUGUGACGUAGAGGUAUCUCGGCCCACUCGGUAAUACAACAUCACACACAAGCCUUGCAAGCAAUGUGACUAAGUGUAAGUCACGGGAUCUUGUAUUACAGAACGAGAAAAGAAACAUGGAUGCUAGUAGAUUUCUUUUUGUAGAGCACCUCACAACCAGAGGGCCCUGAAACACCUAUACUUAUAUCUAGUAUAAAAAAUGUCUGUCCUAAAACAAUACGUGAGUUGCAGGAAAACAAAAGCGACUUCGAUAGACGCAGGAACACACAAUCGAACGACCACGGAGCCGAAGGACGGCCGCGCGAUCAGUCGGUACUAGAUAAUAUUUUCCCAAAAGAUAAUGCAUGGAUGCUAGUAGAUUUAUUUUCAGAAGUACUCUGCAUACGAUACGAUACGACAUAUCAUACCAAAAUCGUAUGCCAAAUUAUCGUAUAUAGAGUAAUUCCGUUUCUUUUUUGUCCCGGUGCAUCUGAAAUAACCGGUUUCUGGAAAAUCUUGGAAAUUUAGGUUUUUUCCGCCCGAAUGAAUUUAAAUGAACUUUGAAUUUGAUUUUUUUUUUGCUGUGUGAAAAAAUAUAUGAAGACGUUAACCUACUGACUAACGUAACUCCCUCAUGCUCGACUGAUCAGUUGGGUACACUCUUUCGCCCGCUAGGUCAUGAGAUUGGAUCCUCUCAGAUCGGCUGCAGACAUGAUCUCGACUCAUAAACCAAAUGAGAGUUUACUUGAAGUGCUAGAUUACACUACGAAUAAACAUGGAAGAGAAUGACAUGCAGAUGAACUAGGGAUAAUCUCGUUAUCUCUUUUCGUAGGGUUCUUCUUGGACCUCGACUGGCAGCAUGGGAUGAAGUAUUCACUCGUUUGGUUCAGCUGUCACAUGAAUCAGAUUUUUUUCAAUGAAAAUUGCAUCAAAAUGGCAAGUUUUCGGUCAAGUUCAUGUAUGAUGUGCUGGCUCAUAACGAGGUGCCGGUUGAUAACAGAAAAUUGUGGAAGCUUAGGAUUCCUCUAGAAGUGAAGAUAUUCCUUUGGUUUUUUAAUAAAGGUGUCAUCUUAACCAGGGAUAAUUUGGCACGACGCAAAUGGCAAGGAUGCAAAAAAUGCGUCUUCGGUCAUCACAACGAGUCUAUCAAACACUUAUUUUUUUAGUGUAAGUUUGCUAGAUCUGUGUGCGCCAUUGUCCAAAUUGAUUCAAACCUAUACCCACCACGUAGUGCACGGAACAUAUUCGGCAACUGGUUGACGGGUAUUCACAAACAUAUUCCUGUUCACAUUCUUGUGGAAGCGGCUGCUUUAUGUUGGGCAAUAUGGCUUACCAGGAAUGAUAUAUUUUUUAACAAAAAAUGUGUUCCAUCUCCUGUGCAGGUUAUUCAUGUAUGUUCGCGAUGACUCCGUAUUUGAUCUAUCCUGCAGAAGCCGGAAGACAGGGACGUUUUUAUGAUGGCGUCUACACGGCUGGAGCGUACGACCACGGAGGUUUUCUACCCUCAUCGAUGACGGUGUGACCUUCGGAUAGGAUCGGGAACAUCCUAGGCUACUAUACUUGCUUUUCUUAGUUGCAUCUUGUUUUUUACUUUUAACGAAUUUGUGGACUGUGUUGGCUGCAUGCAUCUUGUUAUGCAGAGGCCGGGUCUUUUUGCGGUGUGAUUAUAUCAACUCAGUAAUUCAUUUUUAAAUGUCCUUUAUCGAAAGAAAAAAAAAAUGCAGAUGAACCAGGGAUGUAGCUCUUUGCCACGUAGUAUGAUAAGACAACUCAUGCCAAGCACACCAAGAAAGGAAGGAACCCAACAAAUGUGGUUAUUCUUCCACUCAAACCCCAGCUUUUGCAUUCCCCUCCGAGUUUUGUUAGCACAAAGCUCCAAAUUCUGUUAGCAAAAAAGGUUAUCAAAGCUACCCUUUAACCAAAAUUUCCAUGUCGCGGCACUCCAACAACUAACAGAAAGUCAGAAAGCACUUCGGUACUUACGAUGCCAGCUGCUUGUCACUUCACAUUUCACUAUAUAUAUAUACAUGUGAUACGCCUGGCUAGCUCCAACAACAUCCCUUCUAAACGAAAACAAUGGCGUUCAAGUACCAGCUCAUCCUCUCGGCCGCCGUCAUGCUCGCCAUUCUCGUCGCCACUGCCACCAGUUUCGGGGAUUCGUGUGCUCCAGGGGAUGCGUUGCCACACAACCCUCUCAGAGCCUGCCGCACCUACGUGGUCAGUCAAAUCUGCCACCAAGGCCCCAGACUCCUCACCUCGGACAUGAAGAGGCGGUGUUGCGACGAGUUGUCGGCCAUCCCGGCGUACUGCAGGUGCGAAGCGCUGCGUAUCAUCAUGCAAGGGGUAGUAACUUGGCAGGGUGCGUUCGAGGGUGCCUACUUCAAGGACACGCCCAACUGCCCUAGGGAGAGGCAAACGAGCUACGCCGCCAACCUCGUCACCCCGCAGGAGUGCAACCUAUGGACCAUCCACGGCAGCCCGUCCUGCCCCGAACUGCAGCCCGGAUAUGGAGUGGUCUCGUCAUAAGUUAUAACGACUAGCUCGAUCAUGAAUAAGCAUGGUGCAUCGAUCAAUGGACCAAUCGAUUGUAUGCAUCUAUGCCCAUGUGUGAUGUGUGUUAAAUCGUAAUAAAGAGCAUCAGAGUAUUUUCAGUAUUGUGUUCAAAUGUUUGGCGGUAAUCAACUACCGAGCAUGAUACCCCCGAACCCUACCCUCUCCCGUGCCGCCACCCGUGAUGCGGCCGGGGAGGAAUUCCAGAUCCUCGCCGCGAUCCUCCCCUCCUGCAUCCUCAUCCUCACGCGUGAUGGGGAGGCGCAGGCCGGUUCCCUUGGGCCUGGGCGCGGUGGUUGCGCAGGGUGCCGUGGCGCGGCGGCUCUUAGGUGUGGAAGUCACGCGGGGUGCGGCUGCGGCUUUAAGGGACCGCGUGCCUGGUGGUGCUCGCCGGCACUGCGGCGGUCGGAUCUGGCCAGCAGGCGGAGCAGGCCGCGGCAAUAGGCACUGGUGGCUGCUGUGAUGGGCCUCGACGAUGGAGGCCAUGACGUGGUGGCACUCUUCUCGUGAGGGGAUGACGGCAGCAGCUAGCGGCGGUGGUGGUUCCCUCCUCUCCUCGGUCUGCUCCUCGGACGAGGCGGGUUGGGAUGGGGUGCGGGCUGGUUCUGGUGUCGGCAACGCGGUGGCUGUGGUACGCCUGGCAGCGCAGGGUGGUGGAAUGACGGGUCCCUUCUCCUUAGUCGGUGCAGAUGGCGUGCAGAGCAAUGACAUCUUCUUCCUAUGGUUUGUGCUCUGUCGGGUCAGAUCUGGGUCCUAGGCAUAUCAAGGCUGGUUCCUGGGGUAGGUGACGCUGGGCUCAGCCUGGGAUGUGCCCACGAGAGGUGUAUUCGCGGGUGCGAUGUGCAAUGGUGGUGGUUCUGUCAAAGCUGCCACUCCAAUGGUCCUACAGAUCGUCGCCGAUGGCCACGGACUAGGCGUCAUGCUGGCACUUCAAUGCCUACAUGGUGGCUAUCGGUAGUCUCAAGAUCGUGUCCUCAUGGUUCACCAGGACUAGCUGGGGAUGCACGUGUUGACGACUCCUACUAUGGAGCUGUGGGCCAAGAUCCAGAGACUGAUGUCGGGCUAGGAGUGGAAGCAGGCCUUCUACUCCUCCUGUGGUGGUUGGCGUGUCGUGAAGUGGUCGGGUGACGAUGUCUUGCGGCAGGGAUGGUGGUCCCCAUGGUUGGCUCUCCAGCGAGUCUUAUGGAGGUGGUGGUGUCUUACCCUGGUCGUGUGGGCGGCAAGGGGUAGCGACUGGUGGCUCGGACGUGUAUCAUGCCAUUGGCAAAGGCAUUGCCCUUGGAGCUCGCCACACAUGGCAUAGCAUCAUCGAGAUGGCACGGGUGAGCCGUCGAGCCAAGACUACGUGCUUCUUCGUAGACAAUGACGGCGCCCAAUGGGCGCCUCUAUCUUAUAGAAGAAGUCAUCGUGCUUCUCUCUCUGUGCUAAGGCUCUGGGUGAAAAUCCAUGCCCGCUUCAGACUCGGCAGCGGCAAUGCUCGGCGUUGUUCUCCCUAUUAAGGGUGUUGUCGUGAAGACUAGAUGUGCUAGGGUGUGGUGUGGGAACGUCAAGGGAGGUAGAGCCACUUGCCAAACACUAGACCCAUUGAUGAAAAUAAAAAAACUUACAAGAAUAAAAAAUCACAAGAAAUUUGGUAUGGCUCUUUUUUGGGAAACUUUUGAAAUUGGGGAGAAAAAAAUCAAACUAAAGGAUAAAAGUGGGGGCGGGGGUAGCGCUCCAAAUUCGUAGUAACGUGGUUGUUGAUACCAAUAUGAUACGGGGUAAACCCGAGGUGGCCCGAUCUGCAUGAAUUGGAGGUGGAUUUGAGAAGAACAUGAUGAACAUGAAGAACAUGAGGGAAAAACAUAAAGAAAUCAAAAAGGAAACCACCACUAGUAGAAAACGGGCCUUUGGCCUGGACCAUUUAGUCCCGGCCUGCCUCUGGGCCGGGACUAAAGGCCCGGCCACGUCGCCCCAAUUCUCAAUGCCUCCCUCGAGGCUUUAGUCCCGGCCCGUAAGGAGCCUUUAGUCCCGGUUCGUGUCCCAAACCGGGACUAAAGGGCUACGCGGCGGGCAGUGGUGGUGGCAACCGUUCGUAUCCCCCUUUAGUCCCGGAUGGUGGCUCAACCCGGGACUAAAGGACUAACACGUGGCCUGCCGUAGUGGUGGCGACCGUUGGUAUACCUCUUUAGUCCCGGUUGGUGGCUCAAACCGGGACUAAAGGCCUAACACGUGGCCUGCCUUAGUGGUGGCAACCGUUUGGUAUACCUCUUUAGUCCCGGUUGGUGGCUCAACCCGGGACUAAAGGCCCAAACGGUUUGCAUCCCGCGCCGUUUCGGGCGAUGAAAAGCACGAACCGAAGCGUACAGUCGUCAUUUCUCUGUUCUUCUUCUCUCUCGCGUCGCCCUCUCUGUUCUUCUCCUCUAUUCUUCCCUUCUCUUCUUCCACCAUGCCAACUAGCUUUCAUGAGGUGCUCGCACAUGGCACGACCAAGCUCCGUGUCGUGUACACGAACCUGAGCAGGGAGGUGCCGUUUUUUCUUCAACAGUUGAAGGAACGAUGGUUUGACCACGCAGCGGAUCAUGAGAAGUUCUUGGGGCUUGAUAUGGAGUACACGGCCGAUCAACGCGGUGUUGCCGUCAUCCAACUAUGCUUCGCACGCCAUGUCUUGAUCUUCCAAUGGGCGAGGUAAGUUUUGAGGCUUUCUUUGAUCCAAGAUAAUGAUAUUGUAAGUUUAUUUGUUUCAAUCAUAGUUGGUUCCCUUCAAAUAGUUGUAGUGAAACAAUUUUGAUUAGUUGAAGGGGAGCACAAUCUAAUUGGAAUAGUGUUCCAUAAUCUGAAAAAUCGUAUUAGAAUCAACUAGUGUUUAAUAUGUUUCAUUGGAAUCAUAGUUGGUUCCCUUCAAAUAGUCGUAGUGAAACAAUUUUGAUUAGUUGAAGGGGAGCACAAUCUAAUUGGAAUAGUGUUCCAUAAUCUGAAAAAUCGUAUUAGAAUCAACUAGUGUUCAAUAUGUUCUAUUGGAAUCAUAGUUGGUUCCCUUCAAAUAGUUGUAGUGAAACAAUUUUGAUUAGUUGAAGGGGGGCACAAUCUAAUUGGAAUAGUGUUCCAUAAUCUGAAAAAUUGUAUUAGAAUCAACUAGUGUUUAAUAUGUUCCAUUGGAAUCAUAGUUGGUUCCCUUCAAAUAGUUGUAGUGAAACAAUUUUGAGUUGAAGGGGAACACAAUCUGAUUGGAAUAGUGUUCCACAAUCUGAAAAAUCGUAUUAGAAUCAACUAGUGUUUAAUACGUUCCAUUGGAAUCAUAGUUGGUUCGCUUCAAAUAGUUGUAGUGAAACAAUUUUGAUUAGUUGAAGGGAACACAAUCUGAUUGGAAUAGUGUUCCACAAUCUGAAAAAUCUGAUUGGUUCAAUAUGUUCCAUUGAAAUCAUAGUUGUAGUGAUACAAUUUUAUGCGGUGUUCUUUGAUCCAAGGUUAUGAAAAUUGAAUAUAGCUAGUGAUCUCUCUAGGUUCCAUUGGAUAGCAAUAUGACAUGUCAUAGUCAUGAAAAUUGCAUAUAGCUAGUGAUCUCUCUAGGUUCCAUUGGAUAGCUAUAGUGAUCUCUCUAGGUUCCAUUGCAUAUGUUCUAUUUGAAUCCUAAAGAUAAGUUUCUCUUUUGUUCUUGUGAAACAUGUUUCCUUAUUGCAGCAGUAUGUAACAUUUGUUCUAUUUUAAUUUGUUUCUGUUGCAGGAGUGACAAGCAUUGUCCAGAACUCAUGGAGUUCCUUCGCAGCGGCAUCACUUUUGCUUCCGUUGACAUAAGGAACGACAAGCUGAAGAUGAGGCACAGCUUCGGUAUUGAGAUACCAGCUAGUUGCCUCGUUGAUCUCCAAACGAUAUUCAGGCUUCGACAUGACAGGACUUCGAUGGCUCAUAUGGCAGUUGCCUUGAUCGACGAGUCAUAUGGUGAUAUGAAGACCAGUUUCCCAAAGUCUCAGCACAGACUUUGGGAGAAGGGCCCACUUGAUGAUAUCAACAUUGAGUAUGCAGCAAAAGGUGCAUACGCUUCAUACGAGUUGUACCGCAAGAUUCGAGUCGUCCAGUAUGGCCAGCGUCACCUCGAGGAAGGUGGACAUUCUGAUUCAGAUGAUUCAGACGAGUAGUGUUCUGAACGUCGAACACUUGUAUAUAUAUAUAUGGUAGCUAUUAUUAUGUACUGUUUGGACUAGUAUCAUGUACUUCUUGGACCAAUUUAUAUAUGUCUAGUUUCUGUUUGUGCCAUUAUAGCUUCCAAAUUUGAAUGGUUUAGCCCUUUCUAACUUCAUUUGCUACUUUUGAAUGGUUUAGCCCUUUCUAACUUCAUUUGCUACUUUUGAAUGGUUUAGCCCUUUCUAACUUCAUGGUAUCAUGCAUUUCGACCACAUAUAUAUACAAAAAGUCUUCAGUUCAAAUAAGUUCAAAAAAUGAAAUCCCUUUUGUAACAGAUCUGUUUUUGAUUAAAAUACUCAUUUAAAAAUGAAAGACCAUUAGUCCCACGUGGCGUGCAGCGGAACCACGUGGCGUGCCGCGGAACCACUUUUGUUGUGGGGGUCGCUUCUCCUUCUUCGAAACGCUGCUACUUCGAGAGAGAUUGUCCGUUUUGUACACGAACUGCAUCCAGUUUUUGUCGUAGCCCUCUCAACUUUUUAACACAUGCUAUGUGGGUGAAAUGAUGAUAGCAUGCCAACUUUCAACAUUUUCAGAGUUCAUUUGUAGUGCUUUUCAAUUUCAGGGUCAACUAGCUCGAAAAAAAUUAAGUAAAUGCAUGAAAUAUACCAAAUGAAGUCAGAAAUUAGUUGAAAUUUUGUGAAUGUGCCUUAGAAUGGUGCAUUUUGAACACACAAAAAGUAUGGAGUUCAAAUAAGUUCAAAAAAAUGAAAUCCCUUUGUAAGAGAUGAGUUCUCGUUCGAAACGCUGCUACUUCGAGAGAUAAUAGUUUGGAUAGUCAAAAUUAUUAAUUAUGAAAAUAAAAAAUAGUUUUGCAUUAUUUAUUCAAUUUGAAACACUUUUCAUUAUCAUAGUUUUGUCAAAUUCUCAAAUAUGCAAAAAGAAUUAUUAAUAAACAUAGUUUUUAAUUGAAAAUAACAAAAUAGAUAAUAGUUUGGAUAGUCAAAAUUAUUAAUUAUGAAAAUAGAAAAUAGUUUUACAUUAUUUAUUCAAUUUGAAACACUUUUCAUUAUCAUAGUUUUGUCAAAUUCUCAAAUAUGCAAAAAGAAUUUUUAAUAAACAUAGUUUUUAAUUGAAAAUAACAAAAUAGAUAAUAGUUUGGAUAGUCAAAAUUAUUAAUUAUGAAAAUAGAAAAUAGUUUUGAAUUAUUUAUUCAAUUUCAAACACUUUUCAUUAUCAUAGUUUUGUCAAAUUCUCAAAUAUGCAAAAAGAAUUUUUAAUAAACAUAGUUUUUAAUUGAAAAUAAAAAAAUAGAUAAUAGUUUGGAUAGUCAAAAUUAUUAAUUAUGAAAAUAGAAAGUAGUUUUGAAUGAUUUAUUCAAUUUCAAACACUUUCAUUAUCAUAGUUUUGUCAAAUUCUCAAAUAUGCAAAAAAAAUUUAAUAAACAUAGUUUUUAAUUGAAAAUAACAAAAUAAGUUAAUAGUUUGGAUAGUCAAAAUAAUUAAUUUUGAAAAUAGAAAAAAAUUAGAAACUAUAUGAGAAAUCAUGGACAAAAUUCAACCUGAAUUCACUUUGAAUUCAGAUUGAAUUUUCUCCACAAUUUCGAAUAUAGUUUCAAUUUUCAGUAAGUUUAGGCCCGUAAGCCUGCUUUAGAGAGGAGCUUGAUGGACAAGCUGCGACGGGGCUUAUAAACAAGUGUUAGUCCCCCUCGUUGGGCGAGGUGGGACUGAACUGAUCGUGCAGCCGAGGAGGGGCUUUAGUCCCGGGUGGAGCCANACUAAAGGGGUUCUUUAGUCCCGGCUCGAGCCACGCACCGGGACUAUAGAUCCACCUAUAUAAGCGGGACUUCGAAAAUUUCCAACCCAAUUCGUCCAUUUCUCUUCUUCUUCCUAUCGUUCUCCUGCCCGGCGCGGCACAUCGACGAACUAACCGAUGCCGUCAGGCUGCCCGCCGUCCCGCUCGCCGCCGCCUGCCGUCCUCCUCGCCGCCGCGCCGUCCUCCUCGCCACCGCGCCGUCCACCUCGCCGUCGCGUCCUCCUCCUCGCCGCCGCGCCGUCCUCCUCGCCGCCGCACCGUCCUCCUCGCCGUCGUGCCGUCCUCCGCGCCGUCCUCCUCGCCGCGCGCCGUCGACACCUCCGGCCGGUAAGCCCCCCGCCCCCUCCUCCCCAACACUCCGGCCAGUAUAGAAGAAAAGAAGAAAAAGGAGAAGAAAGGAAGAAAAAGGAGAAGAAAAGAAGAAAAAGGAGAAGAAAAGAAGAAAAAGAAAAAGAUUUUUUUGUCAUUUAAUUCCUAUUGUUAUUAGGUUCGUGCUAGAUUAUUAGGGUUAGUAAUAUUUAGAAUUAGGUUAGGGUUACAAGAAGAAGAAAUAUGAACAAAAAUAAGAAAAUAAGAUUAGGAAAAAUGAAAAUAAGAAGAUGAGGAGAAGAAAAGAAGAAAAAGUGUAUAUUGUAUAGUGUAUAUGCUUAAGUGUAUAGUGUAUAUAGUGUAUAGUGUAUAAGAAAAGAAGAAAAGAAGAGGAGGAGAAGAGAAGAAAAGAAGAGGAGGAGAAGAAAAAUGAAAAUAAGAAGAGGAGGAAUUUUGCUAUUGUAUAGUGUAUAUGCUUAAGUGUUAAUACUGUUUCUUAGAUUAUUGCUUAAUUUUGCUAUUGUAUAUGCUUAAGUGUUAAUAGUUUAAUUUUGCUAUUGUAUAUACUUAAGUGUUAAUAGUUAAUUUUAGCAAGAAAAUUAAUAGAACUAGUUUAUUUUUUUAGUUCACUUUACGAUGCCUAUCACGCAUCCUCGUCGUCGACUCGGCGGAGGACACCUGCUUGAUCAGAGGGGCCCUGUCCGGGACUGGGCUCCGCCCGACUGGUAUUGGGAGGUGCUACCUUCCGGGGGGGCGUAGGUUGGUGAGGAGCCAGCCCGUCGUUGACCCGAUCCUUGUUUGGUGGCGCUCGCGUGGGCCAGUGAGGGUGCCGAGGCUUCCGGACACCGCGGAGGUGGUACAUCACCGUGUCAGCGAGGAGGAUGAGCACGUCCCUCGCUACAUGGUUCCGUUGGAGGACAGGUUCGAGCAUACCUGACAGGUUCUUCGGGGAUCUCACUGGAGCUAUGAUCCUGUGAUGGUUCCUUCUCUUUGGGUGUCCACCGCCCGCGCCGAUACCCGUCGGGCGCUACGGUUCUAGAUGUAUUAGUAAUGCUAUAUGUAUGAUAGUAUUCGAGGAGUAUUAGUGAUAAUAUUCGACGAUGUACGGACAAAAGCUUAUAAUUGAAUGCAUGCUACUUUGAAUACUACUUUAUUUUACGAUUUGGUUUUGCUUAUUGAAUGCUCAAAUUGGAAAAGUACUCCUACUUUGAAUACUAUGCAGAAAUCUAGGAGUCCCGGGUGGAGCCACGACCCGGGACUUAAGUUGUUUUGAAACGGAGUUCCUCAUAGAAUAAUUCUUUUUUGGUACAAAGUAGAGAGAAUCCGUUUUUUGCAGAACUAUGGAUGCACAUAUCAGGAACCUCGAAGAGGAAGAACUCCUCGAAGAUAUAAUCAAAGACGGCCCCGACGUUGAACCAGCUGAAUCUCCGUCGUCAUAUCUAAACCAGGACGUUGGAAUGGAGGUCGAGCGACACGAAGAUGAAGCCGAUGGGGUAGGAGAUAGGUCCAAUGACGGAGAAGGUGAUAGCUCCACUGACGGAGAAGCCGGUGAAGAGGAGAAGUCCGGCGAGGUAUACAUAUGAAGUUCGACAAUCACUUGUAAUAUGUGAAAAAUAUUGGAGAUAGCUCUAUAUUGUAUACAUAUACAUUCAUUUGACGAAUGUUUCUCCCUCUUAGGCCUCCACAUCGAGCAAAACUACGAAACGAGGCCUGACUAGGAAGUUGGAUGCACGGACGCAUUACACAUUUGAGGUGAUAUUUCCUAUGGGCGAACCCAAGCUUCCUAAGAAUGCUGCUGACACAUUCAAGAAGCAAUGCGGAGUUCUCGUUAGGGAUCACGUCCCGAUCAGCGUUUGGGAGUGGAACAAGCGCAAAGGGGCAGCCGGUAGUGACCAUGUCGCCGAAAGGUACAAAGAUAAUCUUUGGAAUGAUCUCAUGUCACAUUUCAACCUGCCAGAAUGUGCGAAUGAAGACGCCGCAGACAAACUGAGGGCCAAAGUCAAGCAGUGGACUCUGAAGAAGAGACUGCCAUCCCACCACAAGCUGGGUGCAGGGGGCCAGGGGGCUAUGAGACUGCCAUCCCAGAGUGGGAUAAGAAAGAGCAAGAUCUGAUAGAUAAAGGCAUCGUACCUGAACCACUCAGUGAUGAGUGGGAAUUGAGAGCAAGAAAUUGGUUCCUUGCGCAUGGUGGGUCGUAUGACGAAACAACAGGGGACCUCAUCUGCAAUGACGAUCUUAGGAUACCCAGGGUGAAUUGGAAAAGGAUAGUGAAAGAAAUUAAGGAGGGACAAAGAAAGUUCACUGCAGAUAGAGAUAAAGAUUUGCUCACACUGGUCCUCGGCAAUGACGAACAUGGAGGACGAACGCGAGGCUUCGGUCCUUCUUACCCGUGGUGGCUUGGGUUUGCCAGAGACCAAGACACUUACAGAAGCCGAGAGAGAGCAAAGAAGCGGCAGCAGGAUGAGGAGAAUGACAAGUUCAACCAGUUGCUUGCCAGGAUUAACGAGCAACACAAGCAGAUUGAUGAGCUUAGAGGAGUACCGCGCGAGGAAGAUCCUGCACUUGAUAUUACCGGCGCCCCAUCUAAGCGGAAAAGCAGCGUGGCUGAGUCUGAGGCCCCGCCCGACGAUGAACGAAGAAUGAUAGAGGGCGGUCCCGGCUACCCCGUGGAUGGAAUCAAGGAGUCAACAUCAUGUGAACUCCAUCAGAAAUUCAAGAACAUAUCCAUGAAGGUGGCCGUCGGACAAGCUUUACCUUCUGGCCCUGAUGCACGCUGGCAUGGCCGUGAGAUUCCAGCUGCCUUUGCUAAAGUCGGGGUGGAUGAAAUCAUGACGGGGUUUAAUGAUAUGGAGCUCGACAUAGCUGGACCCGAAGAUGAGAGGACACUCGGAGAAGUACUGGGUGGAGUCAUCCUAUGGGACAAGAACUACAUCAAGCUUCCAGGCUCGGCCCCAAGGACAACACCGCCUCCGAGUCGUCGCAGGUCACCUACACCUCCAUUACCUCCAAGCCCUCCACAUGACGUCGGCCAGCACAACACGAGUCCAUCUCGAUCACCGCCGCCGGACUUGGGUCGUCCGUCUCCGCCAUCGCCCGCACAUGAUACUAAGCGGAAGCGUGCCAGCAAGAACGCUCCGUCGAUGAUUUCUAAGCGACGGAGCUCCCCAAAGCGCAAACUGUCGCCCCUCCAAAGGUACCUCAUGCUAAUCUUCCUAUCAGACCUUAUGAUCGUACCCCCGAGGAAAACGUCAGGAUAGCAAAGGAACAACAUGAUGCACAGAUGAAAAGGAAGGAACCCGAGCCCCGCCCGGAAUACACCGAGAAGCACAUAGCAUGGGCGAAAGACUUCAUAACCACUCCAUCACAGUAUGACUUACACUAUAAGCCUGAUGACUAUACACGCACAUUGCAGAAGGAAGUGAAAAAGAGCAGGUCACGUGCAAGUGCAAGUGGGAGAAAAUCGAGUUCAACUACAAGCAAGACAAAAUCAGACGUUCCUCAGCUUGGACAACAGGCCAAACAGUCGAUCCCACCCCUCAAGGUGUUAACCGAGAAUGUUCCCCCUCCGGUGCAGGGGCAAGCUUUUGAAAGAGCAAAGGAGUUGGCGGAUGAAUGUGGUAUCUCGGUUGAAGACUUGCUGGCUUCCCAAGACGACAGGAUACCCAAGGCUGUGGUAGCCCCUAAGCCACAGUUUGUCAUGGGAGAGCCUUUGGUCAGCAAAGAUGAUCUCCCAAAAAAUAUGCGUUACUUGCAUAAAUGGUACUUAAGUGAAUCAAAGAAUGGGAGAACGAUGAUCGUGCUGAGUGUCCCACGGGAGUACUACGGCCGCUCCGAAGAAAUCCAUAUUGACUUUGAUGAACUCUUCCAGAUGUACAAUGGCGACGCCCUCGACAAAUCGCUUAUGAGUUGCUAUUGUCUGUAAGUUUUUUAAUUCGUUGUCUACAUAUAACUUGUUUAGUUAUUUCAAUUCAUUGUCUAUAUAUAACUUGUACUCUAUUAUGCAGAAUGAAGAUUCUGGAGUGUAAAAGUAAGAGCAUCCUAAAUAUUGGGUUUAUUGACCCAGAUAAAAUACAUAUAGCGACGCUAACUGACAAACCCAAGGAGACGGAGGAAAACCUUCAAAGGUUUCUAACAGAUCAAAAUUUCUGUGACCACAUACUGUUUCCAUACAACUUCAGGUGGGGGUCUUUACUCUGUUGUGUCUAUUCACUUAUAAGUGUAAUUGAUAAGUUACUGACACACACACACACACACACACACACACACACAUAUAUAUAUAUAUAUAUAUAUAUAUACAUGUGCAGCUUUCAUUGGAUUCUGUUGGACAUUCAAAUUGAUAAGGGAAGAGUUGAUGCCUUCGACCCAUUAUCGAGACCCUUGAAACAGUUCCAAAGCCUGCAGGACAUGCUCCAAGGGUAAUUUUAAUCAUUCUUGCGCUCUAUCGGUCUCUUUCGAUGAUUUUUUGAUAUAUCAAUUAAUGAAAAACUUAGCAAAUCAUUAUCUUUGUCGGGCAGAGUUUGGAAGCGGUUCAAGUGCGUGACUCCCGGUAACUUUCCUGAGAAGCUGACCUUUAGAGCGGCUCAGGUAAGUAGUAGUAUGAUAUACUUCUAUUAAUUUUCAAUACAUUUAUGAUGCUAGAUUAUUGUUUUGAUUAUAUAUAUUCUAUUCUCGUAAAGUGCGACCAGCAGCCACGGGGAACGCAUCGAUGCGGAUACUAUGUUUGCGAGACCAUUCGCACGUUUACCUCUGAGUUCAAGGAUCACAGAUUCGACAUAAGCAAUGAACAUUCACACCUCUAUUUUUACCCGUCAUUCUUUGUUAUCAUGAUUGAUAUUCAUAUUCAUCUCCUCUUCUUAUAUAGCACACGGCCAUGAGGACGAAGGUCCUACCACAGCAACGCGCGAUUGUUGUUGCAGAGGAGCUUGCGGGAUUUCUGAGGACGGAAGCUAUAGAAGACAAAGGGCGAUUUAGUGUAGCUAAGGGCCAUUACUGAUGUUCGUCCAUGUAAUCGAAUAGACGGGCUCUAGUCCCGAUAAUUCAGAUCUCCAUAUAAUUGUAUAUAUACGAUCGCUUGUAAGAUAAGUUAAUCUUAUAUAUAUAUAUGCAUAAUUAUUUUUAUUUAAAUUAUAUGAAAACUAAUUCCCGAACACCAAACGAGGCAUCACGUUAAUCUCCCCAACACCUAAACCCUAAAACCCUAAAAUAAUUUCAUUCAAAAAAAAACUCAAAACCAGCAAAAUCUGAAAAACGUUAGUCCCGGUCCGUGUAACGAACCGGGACUAAAGGGCCUGCCCUGGGGCGCUACGAGGCGCCCACGUGGAGCACCUUUAGUCCCGGCGUGUAAGAGGACCGGGACGAAAAGGUUAGGCCUUUAGUCCCGCCCCUUUAGUCCCGGUUGGUGAAUCGGGACUAAAGCUCUUACGGGCCGGGUCUAAAGGCCCCGUCCCCACUAGUGCACUCUAUUGUACAAGAUCCACAUCAAGUACUCGUCAAAUCACAAGCAAUACAUGAGGUGCAAUACAUAAUACCACACAACCCUCUCGGGGCCUGCCGCACCUACGUGGUCAGUCAAAUCUGCCAUGAAGGCCCCAGACUCUUCAGCUGGGACAUGAAGAGGCGGUGCUGCGACGAGCUGUCGGCCAUCCCGUCGUACUGCAGGUGCGAAGCGCUGCGUGUCAUCAUGGAUGGGGUAGUACCUCCGCACGGUGUGUUCGAGGGUGCCUACUUCCAGGACAUGCCCAACUGCCCUAGGGUGACGCAAAGGAGCUACGCCGCCAACCUCGUCACCCGGCAGGAGUGCAACCUAGAGACAAUACAUGGCAGCCCGUACUGCCCCGAACUGCAGCCCGGAUA
RNAcentral lists this long non-coding RNA (90393 nucleotides) under Hordeum vulgare. Its description in RNAcentral is "long non-coding RNA (HVUL_LNC006354)". The record is from RNAcentral. Lineage: Eukaryota; Viridiplantae; Streptophyta; Magnoliopsida; Poales; Poaceae.